UGCAGCAAGGUUGGUGUAGAAGCCCUUUGUAAUUGAUCCCCCCUCGGGCAGAGUACCAGUGAAGGCCUUCAGAUAGGAUCGCGAAAGAACAGAGACUUGCGACAUCAAAAAAGUUGUUUUGUUUGGUACUUUUGGGGGUUUUCCAAUAUUUAGGAAUUUAUAGUGCUGGAAUUAUGUCCGACGGAGCCAAGGGGGCCCACAAGACAUCAGGGCGGGCCUACCCCCCAGGGCACGCCCUGUUGUCUUGUCGUCUCCUCAUUUCUCUUAUGGACUCCCUCUGAAGCUUUCAGGGUAUCUUUUGGUCGAGAAAAAAUCGUCAAAAAGUUUUGUCGCAUUUGGACUUCGUUUGGUAUGGAUUUUCUGUAAAACAAAAAACAAGCAGAAAACAACAACUCACCCUAGACAGUAGAUUAAUAGGUUACUUUCCAAGAAUGAUAUAAAAUUUCAUAUAGAGCAUAUAAGAUUAAUAAUAUAAUUGCAUAAAACAAUAAAAUUAUAGAUACAUUGAAGACGUAUCAGGGGUGGCGGCAUAAGGGGUGGAAGCACGUCCCUAAGGCAGCCAAAACCUAACCCUAGAUCGUACAAUGCUCAUGGGCCCAAGUGGAGGAGAUUGUUGACGCGUAUCCCCGAUGGGCCCUGUCACGCGCAACGGCUUUAACUUAUUUUAGUAAUGCCAAUUUUCCUAGCACUAAGCCAUUACAUUAAGCUACACUACACAAACCACACCAGGCACGCACACCAUUUCUCUGUUUAUUUCGGUAAUUCACAUUGCAAGAACAUAUACUACAUGAAACGAUGGAACUUAUUUCACAUUUUUCUAAUUUCCAGUAAUAUAGUAAGCUACAGUUGGCACAUGAACCAGACAAACCUAAUUUAACUAAUCUACUCUAAUUCAUAGCGAUUCCAGAAAUUUCUAAAUUGGAGGCCAUGAGAACCCUAAACCUAAAUCNNNNNNNNNNNNNNNNNNNNNNNNNNNNNNNNNNNNNNNNNNNNNNNNNNNNNNNNNNNNNNNNNNNNNNNNNNNNNNNNNNNNNNNNNNNNNNNNNNNNNNNNNNNNNNNNNNNNNNNNNNNNNNNNNNNNNNNNNNNNNNNNNNNNNNNNNNNNNNNNNNNNNNNNNNNNNNNNNNNNNNNNNNNNNNNNNNNNNNNNNNNNNNNNNNNNNNNNNNNNNNNNNNNNNNNNNNNNNNNNNNNNNNNNNNNNNNNNNNNNNNNNNNNNNNNNNNNNNNNNNNNNNNNNNNNNNNNNNNNNNNNNNNNNNNNNNNNNNNNNNNNNNNNNNNNNNNNNNNNNNNNNNNNNNNNNNNNNNNNNNNNNNNNNNNNNNNNNNNNNNNNNNNNNNNNNNNNNNNNNNNNNNNNNNNNNNNNNNNNNNNNNNNNNNNNNNNNNNNNNNNNNNNNNNNNNNNNNNNNNNNNNNNNNNNCCCAGUGAUGGCUGCUAGUCAGAGCUGCCACUAUUGCACGGCCAGGGCUGCCGCCGUCCUAUGCGCCAGUGACCCAUGUGAUGGUUGUUGGGGCCCUGUCGCUAAGCUCUGGUUACCCAUCCAGUUGUCCACCCCCACGAACUCAUUCCCCUCGCCGUCGGUCCCUCCACCGCCAUUGACUCGCCAUCACCACUAGCUUUGGCCGCUGCCAUCGCAUGAGAGAGAGAGAGAGAGAGAGAGAGAGAGAGAGAGAACUAACCUAGUGAAGACGACCCACCGACAACGUCAGUGAAAGGCCGUCAUCCUUUCUCAGUCUCCCCCAUCCAAUGCGGCAAGUUCCAGUCAGAAAUUUGAUUAAAUCGGUCAUAAGAGUUUAUUAGAAAAUUAGUAAGAAAACCAGCGGAUUUAUGUAGCACCCAAGAAAUGUGCUAGCUAGCAAAUCUGCAAUCGUAUAAACUAGAAACCGGGAAUGACCUAUUCUAGAAGAUAACCAUAGGAAUGACCUUUUAAGUUUUCACUUGAAACCGAGGCUUGUGUUCGGGAUUGAACUUAAAAGCCUACAAAAUGUCUUAUAUUUUGAGACGGUGUUAAUAGUCUUUUGCAAUUUACUUGGAUUUAUCAGCUCAAUGAUUAGAUCUUUUAGUAUCUUAAAGCAACUCCAACGGGCCGACCCAAACGGACGACGCAUUUGUCUGCUUUAUGUCUGUUUGGGUCGGCCGCCCGCCCAGCUUCCGCCCUGUUUUGCAUUUGGGUCGGCAGUGCGCCCAACGCGCCGACCCAUUUUCAUGUCCGCACUCAGUUUUUAAAACUUUUAAAAAAGACCCGCGACCAUAGAUCAUGCCGGCGGCCAUAGAUCAUGCCGGCGACCCAUAGCUCAAUGAUUAGAUCUUUUAGUAUCUUAAAGCAACUCCAACGGGCCGACCAAAACGGACGGCGCAUUUGUCUGCUUUAUGUCUGUUUGGGUCGGCCGCCCGUCCAGCUUCCGCCCUGUUUUGCAUUUGGGUCGGCAGUGCACCCAACGCGCCGACCCAUUUUCAUGUCCGCACUCAGUUUUUAAAACUUUUAAAAAAGACCCGCGGCCAUAGAUCAUGCCGGCGGCCAUGUCUCAUGCUGGAACCAUACCAGCGCUGGCAUACAUUGCCAGCUUCAAAAAAUAUCACCACAUAGUUCAUGCUGGCGCACUCGCCAGCGGACGGGCCACAUGCCAUCACACAAAAAGGGGUGGGACUUGAGUUCGACCAUGCCAUCACUGCCCUGUGGCCAUGCCAGCACAUAAGCCAGCAUACAAAAAAGGAAGGCGCUCGUGGCCACGAGAUCACUCGUCGGUGAAUUUGAGCAUGUCAGCCUGCAUCUUCUCGAACCACGGCCUCUUCCUUGGCGACACGAUGUUGAGAUCCACCUUCAUGAUCUCCACCCCGGUGAUCAUGCUCGCGAGAGCCACUUCUUUCGCCUUGUCUUGGUGUUGGCGGCCUCGAUCUCGAGAAUCUUGGCUUGCUUCUCCGCCUCCAGCUCAAGCAUCUUGGUUUGCUUCUCUGCGUCCAUCUCUAGCCUCCUCCUUUGGAUCGUCACGAAGGCGUUCAUUUGCUCUUCUUUGAAACGCCGGCGCUCCUCCUCUCUUGAGUCUUUCUUGUUCAUCAUGCCCUCCACGCUUGUGAUCAAGGCGUUCUAUGCCGCACCCCGCUUGUCCUCCUUCUUGGAGUUGGUCUUCCCCCGCGGCUGAGCCGGCUCACCGUCCCCAACCUCCUCCAAGGCUUUCUUCCCCCCGCGCGACUUGAGGGCGAUAUAUUGCACCUUGAACUACUCCUCGUCUUUGAUGACCCUAAUGAAGGAAAUAUGCCCUAGAGGCAAUAAUAAAGUUAUUAUUUAUUUCCUUAUUUCAUGAUAAAUGUUUAUUAUUCAUGCUAGAAUUGUAUUAACCGGAAACAUAAUACAUGUGUGAAUACAUAGACAAACAUAAUGUCACUAGUAUGCCUCUACUUGACUAUCUCAUUAAUCAAAGAUGGUUAAGUUUAGACAUGAGUUGUUAUUUGAUUAACGGGAUCACAUCAUUAGGAGAAUGAUGUGAUUGACUUGACCCAUUCUGUUAGCUUAGCACUUGAUCGUUUAGUAUGUUGCUACUGCUUUCUUCAUGACUUAUACAUGUUCCUAUGACUAUGAGAUUAUGCAACUCCCGUUUACCGGAGGAACACUUUGUGUGCUACCAAACGUCACAACGUAACUGGGUGAUUAUAAAGGAGCUCUACAGGUGUCUCCAAAGGUAUAUGUUGGGUUGGUGUAUUUCGAGAUUAGGAUUUGUCACUCCGAUUGUCGGAGAGGUAUCUCUGGGCCCACUCAAGUAAUGCACAUCACUAUAAGCCUUGCAAGCAUUGUAACUAAUGAGUUAGUUGCGGGAUGAUGUAUUAUGGAACGAGUAAAGAGACUUGCCGGUAACGAGAUUGAACUAGGUAUUGAGAUACCGACGAUCAAAUCUCGGGUAAGUAACAUACCGAUGACAAAGGGAACAACGUAUGUUGUUAUGCGAUUUGACCGAUAAAGAUCUUCGUAGAAUAUGUGGGAGCAAAUAUGGGCAUCCAGGUCCCGCUAUUGGUUAUUGACCGGAAACGUGUCUCGGUCAUGUCUACAUAGUUCUCGAACCCGUAGGGUCUGCACGCUUAACGUUUCGUUGACGAUAUAGUAUUAUAUGAGUUAUGUAUGUUGGUGACCGAAUGUUGUUCCGAGUCCCGGAUGAGAUCAUGGACAUGACGAGGAACUCCGGAAUGGUCCGGAGAUAAAGUUUGAUAUAUGGGAUAAUAGUGUUUGAUCUCCGGAAGGGUUCCAAAAUUCACCGGAAGGAGUUCCGGAUGUUUCCCGAAAUGUUUGGGUACGAGAACACGUUAUUUGGGCCAAAGGGGAAAGCCCACAAGGUUUUUGGAAAGCGCAAAAGGAAGUUUUGCGGAGUCCAGGGGCCAGACGCCAGGGUCCCUGGCGUCUGGGUCCAGACGCCGGGAACCCUGGCGUCUGGCCCUGGAGUCCGAGAAGGACUCUUGCCUUUCGGGUGAAACCGACUUUGUGGAGGCUUUUACUCCAAGUUUCGACCCCAAGGCUCAACAUAUAAAUAUAGGGGCAGGGCUAGCACCAAAGACACAUCAAGAAACACCAAGCCGUGUGCCGGCAACCCCGUCCCCUCUAGUUUAUCCUCCGUCAUAGUUUCCGUAGUGCUUAGGCGAAGCCCUGCGGAGAUUUUUCUUCACCAACACCGUCACCACGCCGUCAUGCUGCCGGAACUCAUCUACUACUUCGCCCGUCUUGCUGGAUUGCGAAGGCGAGGACGUCAUCGAACUGAACGUGUGUAGAACUCGGAGGUGCCGUGCGUUCGGUACUUGGAUCGGUCGGAUCGUGAAGACGUACGACUACAUCAACCGCGUUGAUAAACGCUUCCGCUUAGCGAUCUUCAAGGGUAUAUACACUCUCCUUCUCGUUGCUAUACAUCACCAUGAUCUUGCGUGUGCGUAGGAAUUUUUUUGAAAUUACUACGUUCUCCAACAGUGGCAUCCGAGCCUGGUUUUAUGCGUAGAUGUCAUAUGCACGAGUAGAACACAAGUGAGUUGUGGGCGAUACAAGUCAUACUACUUACCAGCAUGUCAUACUUUGGUUCAGCGGUAUUGUGAGAUGAAGCGGCCCGGACUGACAUUACACGUACGCUUAUGCGAGACUGGUUUCACCGUUACGAGCACUCGUGCUUAAAGGUGACUGGCGGGUGUCUGUCUCUCUCACUUUAGUUGAACCGAGUGUGGCUACGCCCGGUCCUUGCGAAGGUUAAAACAGCACUAACUUGACAAACUAUCGUUGUGGUUUUGAUGCGUAGGUAAGAACGGUUCUUGCUAAGCCCGUAGCAGCCACGUAAAAUUUGCAACAACAAAGUAGAAGACGUCUAACUUGUUUUUGCAGGGCAUGUUAUGAUGUGAUAUGGUCAAGACGUGAUGCUAUAUUUUAUUGUAUGAGAUGAUCAUGUUUUGUAACCGAAGUUAUCGGCAACUGGCAGGAGCCAUAUGGUUGUCGCUUUAUUGUAUGAAAUGCAAACGCCCUAUAAUUGCUUUACUUUAUCACUAAACGGUAGCGAUAGUCGUAGAAGCAAUAGAUGUCGUAAUGACAACGCUAUGAUGGAGAUCAAGGUGUCGCGCCGGUGACGAUGGUGAUCACGACGGUGCUUCGAAGAUGGAGAUCACAAUCACAAGAUGAUGAUGGCCAUAUCAUAUCACUUAUAUUGAUUGCAUGUGAUGUUUAUCCUUUAUGCAUCUUAUCUUGCUUUGAUUGACGGGUGAUGUUUAUCCUUUAUGAUGAUGGCCAUAUCAUAUCACUUAUAUUAAGAUGAUCUCUCACUAAAAUUAUCAAGAAGUGUUCUCCCUGAGUAUGCACUGUUGUGAAAGUUCUUCGUGCUGAGACACCACGUGAUGAUCGGGUGUGAUAGGCUCUACGUUCAAAUACAACGGGUGCAAAACAGUUGCACACGCGGAAUACUCAGGUUAAACUUGACGAGCCUAGCAUAUAACAGAUAUGGCCUCGGAACACGGAGACCGAAAGGUCGAGCGUGAAUCAUAUAGUAGAUAUGAUCAACAUAUUGAUGUUCACCGUUGAAACUACUCCAUCUCACGUGAUGAUCGGACAUGGUUUAGUUGAUAUGGAUCACGUGAUCACUUAGAGGAUUAGAGGGAUGUCGGGAGUUCUUAAGUAAUAUGAUUAAUUGAACUUAAAUUUGUCAUGAACUUAGUCCUGAUAGUAUUUUGCAAAUUAUGUUGUAGAUCAAUAGCUCGCGUUGUUGCUUUCAUAUGUUUAUUUUGAUAUGUUCCUAGAGAAAAUUGUGUUGAAAGAUGUUAGUAGCAAUGAUGCGGAUUGGAUCCGUGAUCUGAGGUUUAUCCUCAUUGCUGCACAGAAGAAUUAUGCCCUUAAUGCACCGCUAGGUGACAGACCUAUUGCAGGAGCAGAUGCAGACGUUGUGAACGUUUGGCUAGCUCAAUAUGAUGACUACUUGAUAGUUUAGUGCACCAUGCUUAACGGCUUAGAAUCGGGAAUUCAAAGACGUUUUGAACGUCACGGACCAUAUGAGAUGUUCCAGGAGUUGAAGUUAAUAUUUCAAGCAAAUACCCGAGUUGAGAGAUAUGAAGUCUCCAACAAGUUCUAUAGAUAAAAGAUGGAGGAGAAUAGCUCAAGCAGUGAGCAUGUGCUCAGAUUGUCUGGGUACUACAAUCGCUUGAAUCAAGUGGGAGUUAAUCUUCCAGAUAAGAUAGUGAUUGACAAAAUUCUCUAGUCACCAUCACCAAGUUAGUAGAGCUUCGUGAUGAACUAUAAUAUGCAAGGGAUAACGGAAACGAUUCCCAAGCUCUUCGCGAUGCUAAAAUCAGCAAAGGUAGAAAUCUAGAAAAACAUCAAGUGUUGAUGAUUAACAAGACCACUAGUUUCAAGAAAAGGGCAAAGGGAAGAAGAGGAACUUCAAGACUAACGGCAAGCAAGUUGCUGCUCAAGUGAAGAAACUCAAGUCUGGUCCUAAGCCUGAGACUAAGUGCUUCUACUGCAAAGGGACUAGUCACUGGAAGCGGAACUACCCAAGUAUUUGGCGGAUAAGAAAGGAUGGCAAAGUAAACAAAGGUAUAUUUGAUAUACAUGUUAUUGAUGUGUGCUUUACUAGUGUUCGUAGCAACCCCUCAGUAUUUGGUACUAGUUCAGUUGCUAAGAUUAGUAACUUGAAUCGGGAGUUCCAGAAUGAACAGAGACUAGUUAAGGGUGAAGUGAUGAUGUGUGUUGGAAGUGGUUCCAAGAUUGAUAUGACCAUCAUCGCACACUCCAUAUACUUUCGGGAUUAAUGUUGAACCUAAAUAAGUGUUAUUUGGUGUUUGCGUUGAGCAUGAAUAUGAUUUGAUCAUGUUUAUUGCAAUACGGUUAUUCAUUUAAGUUAGAGAAUAAUUGUUGUUCUGUUUACAUGAAUAAAACCUUCUAUGGUCAUACACCCAAUGAAAAUGGUUUGUUGGAUCUCGAUCGUAGUAAUACACAUAUUCAUAAUAUUGAAGCCAAAAGAUGCAAAGUUAAUAAUGAUAGUGCAACACAUUUGUGGCACUGCCGUUUAGGUCAUAUUGGUGUAAAACGCAUGAAGAAACUCCAUGCUGAUGGGAUUUUGGAAUCACUUGAUUAUGAAUCACUUGAUACUUGCGAACCAUGCCUUAUGGGCAAGAUGACUAAAGACUACGUUCUCCGGAACAAUGGAGCGAGCAACUGACUUAUUGGAAAUAAUACAUACUGAUGUAUGCGAUCUGAUGAGCGUUGAAGCUCGCGACAAGUAUCAUUAUUUUCUGACCUUCACAGAUGAUUUAAGCAGAUAUCGGUAUAUCUACUUGACGAAACAUAAGUUUGAAAUGUUUGAAAAGUUCAAAGAAUUUCAGAGUGAAGUGGAGAAUCAUCGUAACAAGAAAAUAAAAAGUUUCUACGAUAUGAUCGCAGAGGUAAAAUAUUUGAGUUACGAGUUUGGCCUUCAGGUAAAACAAUGUGAAAUAGUUUCACUACUCACGCCACCUGGAACACCACAAUGUAAUGGUGUGUACGAACGUCGUAACCGUACUUUAUUAGAUAUGGUGCAAUCUAUGAUGUUUCUUACCGAUCUACCACUAUCGUUUUGGGGUUAUGCAUUAGAGACAACUACUUUCACGUUAAAAAGGGCACCAUCUAAAUCCGUUGAGACGACAGCGUUUGAAUUAUGGUUUAGCAAGAAACCAAAGUUGUCGUUUCUUAAAGUUUGGGUUGCGACGCUUAUGUGAAAAAAUUAACAUGAUAAGAUUGAACCCAAAUCGAAGAAGUGCGUCUUCAUAGGAUACCCAAAAUGUUGGGUACACCUUCUAUCACAGAUCCAAAGGCAAGACAUUCGUUACCAAGAAUGGAUCCUUUCUAGAGAAGGAGUUUCUCUCGAAAGAAGUAAGUGGGAGGAAAGUAGAACUUGAUAAGGUAACUGUACCUGCUCCCUUAUUGGAAAGUAGUUCAUCACAGAAAUCUGUUCCUGUGACUACUACACCAAUUAGUGAGGAAGAUAAUGAUGAUGAUCAUAGAACUUCAGAUCAAGUUGUUACUGACUCAUAGAUCAACCAGAGUAAGAUCCGCACCAGAGUGGUACGGUAAUCCUGUUCUGGAAGUCAUGCUACUAGAUCAUGAUGAACCUACGAACUAUAUGGAAGCAAUGAUGAGCCCAGAUUCCGUGAAAUGGCUUGAGGCCAUAAAAUCUGAGAUAUGAUCCAUAUAUGAGAACAAAGUAUGGACUUUGAUUGACUUGCUCGAUGAUCAGCAAGCCAUGUUAAAUAAAUGGAUCUUCAAGAGAAAGACGGACACUGAUAGUAGUGUUACUAUCUACUAAGCUCGACUUGUUGCGAAAGUUUUUCGACAAGUUCAAGGUGUUGAAUACAAUGAGAUUUUCUCACUCGUAUCGAUGCAUAAGUCUGUCCGAAUCAUGUUAGCAAUUGCCACAUUUUAUGAAAUCUGGCAAAUGGAUGUCAAAACUGCAUUCCUCAAUGGAUUCUUUAAAGAAGAGUUGUAUAUGAUGCAACCAGAAGGUUUUGUCAAUCCUAAAGGUGCUAACAAAAUGUGCAAGCUCCAGCGAUCUAUCAAUGGACUGGUGCAAGCAUCUCGGAGUUGGAAUAUACGCUUUGAUGAGUUGAUCAAAGUAUUAUUGUUUUAUACAGACUUUUGGAAAGGCCUAUAUUUACAAGAAAGUGAGUGGGAGCUCUGUAGCAUUUCUGAUAUUAUAUGUGCAAGACAUAUUGUUGAUUGGAAAUGAUAUAGAAUUUCUGGAUAGCAUAAAAGGAUACUUGAAUAAAAGUUUUUCAAUGAAAGACCCCGGUGAAGCUACUUACACAUUGAGCAUCAAGAUCUAUAAGAUAGAUCAAGACGCUUGAUAAGAUUUUUCAAUAAGUACAUACCUUGAUAAGAUUUUGAAGUAGUUCAAAAUAGAACAGUCAAAGAAGGAGUUCUUGUCUAUGUUGCAAGGUGUGAAGUUGAGUAAGACUCAAAACCCGACCAUAGCAGAAAAUAGAAAAAGAGAAUGAUAAGUCAUUCCCUAUGCCUCAGUCAUAGGUUCUAUAAAGUAUGCUAUGUUGUAUACCAGACCUAUUGUAUACCUUGCUCUGAGUUUGGCAAAGGAAUAUAAUUUUGAUCUAAUAGUAGAUCACUGGACAGCGGUCAAGAAUAUCCCUAGUAAGGACUAAGGAGAUGUUUCUCGAUUAUGGAGGUGAUAAAAGAGUUCGUCGUAAAAGUUACAUCGAUACAAACUUUUACACUGAUCCAGAUGACUCUAAGUCUCAAUCUGGAUACAUAUUAAAAGUGGGAGCAAUUAGCUAGAGUAGCUCCAUGCGGAGCAUUGAAGACAUAGAAUAUUUGCAAAAUACAUACGGCUCUGAAUAUGACAGACCCGUUGACUAAACUUCUCUCACGAGCAAAACAUGAUCAUACCUUAGUACUCUUUGGGUGUUAAUCACAUAGCAAUGUGAACUAGAUUAUUGACUCUAGUAAACCCUUUGGGUGUUGAUCACAUGACAAUGUGAACUAUGGGUAUUAAUCACAUACAGAUGUGAAUAUUGGUGUUAAAUCACAUAAUGAUGUGAACUAGAUUAUUGACUCUAGUGCAAGUGGGAGACUGAAGGAAAUAUGCCUUAGAGGCAAUAAUAAAGUUAUUAUUUAUUUCCUUAUUUCAUGAUAAAUGUUUAUUAUUCAUGCUAGAAUUGUAUUAACCGGAAACAUAAUACAUGUGUGAAUACAUAGACAAACAUAAUGUCACUAGUAUGCCUCUACUUGACUAGCUCAUUAUUCCAAAGAUGGUUAAGUUUAGACAUGAGUUGUUAUUUGAUUAACGGGAUCACAUCAUUAGGAGAAUGAUGUGAUUGACUUGACCCAUUCUGUUAGCUUAGCACUUGAUCGUUUAGUAUGUUGCUACUGCUUUCUUCAUGACUUAUACAUGUUCCUAUGACUAUGAGAUUAUGCAACUCCUGUUUACCGGAGGAACACCUUGUGUGCUACCAAACGUCACAACGUAACUGGGUGAUUAUAAAGGAGCUCUACAGGUGUCUCCGAAGGUACAUGUUGGGUUGGCGUAUUUCGAGAUUAGGAUUUGUUACUCCGAUUGUCGGAGAGGUAUCUCUGGGCCCACUCAAGUAAUGCACAUCACUAUAAGCCUUGCAAGCAUUGUAACUAAUGAGUUAGUUGCGGGAUGAUGUAUUAUGGAACGAGUAAAGAGACUUGCCGGCAACGAGAUUGAACUAGGUAUUGAGAUACUGAUGAUCGAAUCUCGGGCAAGUAACAUACCGAUGACAAAGGGAACAACGUAUGUUGUUAUGCGGUUUGACCGAUAAAGAUCUUCAUAGAAUAUGUGGGAGCCAAUAUGGGCAUCCAGGUCCCGCUAUUGGUUAUUGACCGGAAACAUGUCUCGGUCAUGUCUACAUAGUUCUCGAACCCGUAGGGUCCGCACGCUUAAUGUUUCGUUGACGAUAUAGUAUUAUAUGAGUUAUGUAUGUUGGUGACCGAAUGUUGUUCGGAGUCCCGGAUGAGAUCAUGGACAUGACGAGGAACUCCGGAAUGGUCCGGAGAUAAAGUUUGAUAUAUGGGAUAAUAGUGUUUGAUCUCCGGAAGGGUUCCGGAAUUCACCGGAAGGAGUUCCGGAUGUUUCCCGAAAUGUUUGGGUACGAGAACACGUUAUUUGGGCCAAAGGGGAAAGCCCACAAGGUUUUUGGAAAGCGCAAAAGGAAGUAUUGCGGAGUCCAGGGGCCAGACGCCAGGGUCCCUGGCGUCUGUGUCCAGACGCCGGGAACCCUGGUGUCUGGCCCUGGAGUCCAAGAAGGACUCUUGCCUUUCGGGUGAAACCGACUUUGUGGAGGCUUUUACUCCAAGUUUCGACCCCAAGGCUCAACAUAUAAAUAGAGGGGCAGGGCUAGCACCAAAGACACAUCAAGAAACACCAAGUCGUGUGCCGGCAACCCCGUCACCUCUAGUUUAUCCUCCGUCAUAGUUUCCGUAGUGCUUAGGAGAAGCCCUGCGGAGAUUGUUCUUCACCAACACCUUCACCACGCCGUCGUGCUGCCGGAACUCAUCUACUACUUCGCCCGUCUUGCUGGAUCAAGAAGGCAAGGACGUCAUCGAGAUGAACGUGUGCAGAACUCGGAGGUGCCGUGCGUUAGGUACUUGGAUCGGUCGGAUCGUGAAGACGUACGACUACAUCAACCACGUUGAUAAACGCUUCCGCUUAGCGAUCUUCAAGGGUAUGAAGAUACACUCCCCUUCUCGUUGCUAUACAUCACCAUGAUCUUGCGUGUGCGUAGGAAAUUUUUUGAAAUUACUACGUUCUCCAACACCUAAAACAAUGGGAGAGGUUGAAGCACUUGCUGUUGUGUUGGACCUUGAAUGCCUCCAAAGCUUGAAAUGCCUACAAAUGUUUUCAUGCAAGCAUAUUGGCAAAAAUGGUAUGCAAAUGAACACGCAAGCAUGAACUUUAUGACACAAACGAGGGCGGCUUGCUACCAUACCAUGUCUUGCAUGCCGAUGCCGCUCACGGGGCGGGCCUUGACGCUCUCAAGAGUGGCCCAAAACUUGUUGCACUCUUACUGGAUCACUCUCCAUCGCUUUGAAAUGGACACCCACCCGCGCGUGCUCACAAUUUGGUAGGGAGGAAACUUCUUGCGCUCAUGAAACUCCCGGUGGACACGAAUCCAAAAAGUUGAAUGCUUUUGUUCGACGCCUAUCUUGGGGUCUUGUCCAAUGUCUCUCCAACACUCGCAAAUAAGCUUUUCCUCGGCUGCCGUGUAUGCCUUCGUGCGCUUGCUCUUGCGCUUUGGCUUCGGUCCGGCGGCUUGGUUGGCGAGCUCGUCCUCAAACAAAGGCUCCACUUCGAUGUCGCACUCGUCCUCUUCCUCUUGCCCGUAGUCGUCCGGAAACUCGUGGUCAAGUGGGAAGCUGUCCAGGUCCAUCCCGACCUGAUCACGCAUGAAGGCCGACUGAUCCGGGAUCAUAGCCAGCGCCCGGCAUGAACACCCCGCGGCCGUCUUGGCUUUGUGUCUCGUCGGGAUCAUAGCCAGCGGCGGGCGCACUGCCCUCAAAGAUGAGGUUCUGCAUGUAGUCCUCAUCGCCGGCUGCCGACAUUCCGUCGAACAGGUUGCGGGCGUCCGGUAGCACGUUGGCCGACAUCUCCUGCGCGCGUUUCCUCGCUCCUCCAGAUGACGAGCCACUGGCUAUCAGUGUGGCGUUGAGGUCGAUGGGCGCGGGCGUGGGCGUGGAAGGCGCCACCACGCUCACGUCGGGCGAGCACUCCCCGGAGAGGCGGGAGGGCUGCGGGUACACGUGGAAGCCGGGCAUCGGGGUGCAAGCCGACGCGCGGGGCGAGCCGGGUAGAACCAUCUAAGGGAACGCGGACGAGCCGGUGCUGGCUGCGGCGGCCAUGACGGUGUUGACGAGGCGGUGCUGGCUAGGGUUUAACCCUAGCAUUUAGAGCGCCUCCCUCGUUGCUGCCGCGACGCGGGCAUUGGUGACCUCCUGCUGCGCGGUGGCGGCGACGGCGGCAACUGUGACGGCUUCAUCCCUCGCGUCCGCGGCGUGCCUCCGCCUUCCUCUUGGCCGACUCCGCCGACCGCUAUUCGGACAUCAGCGCCUUCUUUGGCUUGGUCGCGGCGGCGGUCUUGCGCGGGGCACGAGGCUUGCCUUUGCCGGAGGGGACGGUCUUCAUGUCGGACGAGGCGAGGAAGACGAGGCGAGCGGCGGCGUCGAGGUCGAGGUCGUCGUCCAUGCGGGUGUGGGACGGGAGCGCGCGCGGGCGGGAGGGUUUUGGGUGAAAUGGGGAAAAUGAUGGUGGCUGCCACCGACCGGCGGGCCCGGGGAGAGGAGUAGGCACGCGCGUCCGUCUCCUGUCCGCGCCGAUGCAAAUCCGGCUCAAAAAUGGGCGAGAAAUGGGUCGCCCGCGGACGAAAAGCGGACACGCGUCCGUUUGGGUCGGCGCGUUGGACCGCCGUUUGUGUCCGCGGCGAUCCAAACAGACGGCGGUGGACGAAAUGGGUUGCCCCGUUGGAGUUGCUCUUAAAGUUUUUUUUUCCUCGCGGUGAGAUCUCUUGUCUCUAUCUCUACUACCUAAAAGAAACGGAACGUUCCGUUUCCCCUCUUACGUCGCAGGCUUCGUCCGACCUCCUUCGAUCGCCCCUCCCCCCGUGCCCCUACGUUUUUUUUUCGCCCCUUCCAUCUCUGGUUUUCGUUUUACCGGUUUUCUACAAAACCAGCCUUAAAUUAGGCUCUAAUUUGUCUCCCCAAUUGCCUUAGGUUGGGCGGGCCAUACUAGGGUUUCCCGUCGACGCCGUCGUCUAGCCUAGCUAACUCCUGCCGCGUAGAUCUUGAGCCACCCUGCCCUGAAAGCGCAGAGGCGAUGUGGAGGGUUCCAGGACGGCAACAUCUUCCCUGCAGCUGGACCUUCGAUUGUGCGCUCCAAUUCUCUGCCGGAUGUUAGCGCAGCCUCGACCUUCACGACGCUGUCCGCCGCCAAGUUCUUCCGGCGGGUACGCGCACGUACAAUGCUUAGGCCAAACCAAGCUACUGGAUCGAUCUUUGGCUUUCACGUAGGAAAGCUAGCUAGCUAAACCAGCCAUCGGAUACGUCGGACAGCCCAGGAAACUCAGGUACACGAGAUCGUAUUCUUCCCACCACCCCUCUGCCGCCAUGAUCUUGAUCGUCGCGAUGCAGUCUCAGCUCACACAUGUCGAUGUAGAACUUGGCUCAGAUGGCAUGCUACACUUGGCCUCCUGUUCGGCCUUGACUCUUACUCACGCCAUUGACCUCCUCAUUGCCUAGAUGAACAUAUACAUACCUUCAGUUUGUGUCAUCAAAUUGUUGCGUAGUAGAUCCGAGGAUAUGCCCAGAGCAGGCACUAGAAGGAUACAAACGAUUCGAAUGCCCACUGCAGCCUUUAGGAAAAUUCAAAGUAUUCCCACUUUCCAUUUUCUGUUGGUAUUUUUAAUGUGCCGACUGCAAGAACUUUUUCUUCUUCAAACAUGCCCAUUUGUUUGUGUGUUUCUUGAUUGAUUCAUGGUUAAUAUUAUUUUGAUCGUGUUUCCAUGGUUAGUAUUGUUUGUUGCAUAGAAAGUAAUGAGUUAUGAUUUUGUUCCAUGCAAGAGCAAGGAGGCAAAAGCAAUCCCCAAAAGCAAGCAGAGUCUGAACAUUUGGUUCCUGACCAGCUGAACUUCUUUGUGAUAUCCUACGUUGUACAGGAUUGCUUCUCCUAUGUUGAGCCAAAGCGAAAUGCCAUGUGGUCAAUGUCGACGAUUCCUUCAUAUAGUUCAAGUAAGUAGCAACUUGCUAGAUAGAAUAACUUCUACAUGGGUGCGCAAGUUGUGCGAAAGCAUUUAACACCAACCAUUUGGAAUUUCAGAUACACACUCUUUAAGAUCACAACUGUUGAAACUUAUGAAAUUAAACGAGAUGGUCACAGAUUCAGUUUGUCACAUGAACGUGAGAGUAAAAUAAUACUCCCUCUGUAAGUGAUCUAAAACGUCAUAUAUUAGUUUAUAGAGGUAGUAAUUGCUAUGUAUUACCAUCGUAUUUUCGAGUACAAUUCUCUGCCCUGGAUGUUUAAUUUAAUAUAGGCAGUGCAUUUUCUGUUCUCGAGUGUACUACACCUUACAAAAAAACAAAAAACAAUAUCAAAUGUGAUCCAAAAACUCUGAAAUUUUGUGAUAUGAAACAUGAUAAAAUGUUUUAGGUUAUUGCAGAAUUUCAUCCACGAAAAACAUUUGAGGAGCUCUCGAAUAAAACACAAAAUCAUGCACUCAAAAAUGAAGAAAACAUUAACGAGUGAUUUUUUGUGAGAGCACCUCCAAUGCUAUUUGUGGCUGAAAUUUUGCAAGUAUCUAAAAGAUUUGAUCAUGUUUGAUGUCACAAAAAAAUGGAUUUUUGGAUAACGUUUGAUAUGUGUUUUGUCGGUUUUUUGAAAGCUCAGGUGUAUUACACAUGAGUGUAGCCACACCUUUCCGUUUAGUAUAACUCUCAAUAGCUUCAGAGAACAUCUUCUCUUUUUUGUCUGCUCAUAGUGACUUUCAUUGAGAAUUAGUACCUCCCAGAUUACUCAUAAUUUGGGACAGAGGAAAUAGAAUUAAUUAUAAACACAGUUAUUAGCUCAAAAUUAGUAUUUGUAAAUGUCGCAUGGUGGGCAUGAAGAUUUUAAAGGUAAAUGUUAGACAUAAUUGAUGUUGAACCAUUCGAACAUAUAUAUGUAUGCCCCGGUGCAACGCACGGGCAAUUACCUAGUUAUCUUAAAGUUCACUUAAUCCACAUGCGGAACAUGCCUGGCUGACGUCGUUUCACCACCGAAUUUAAAGUGGUUAUAAAAAUUGAUUCACCUUUUGGCUCUUGUCAUGUGCGAUCCCUUAGAAUAAUGUUCUCAGAGCAUCCUUUUGGGUCAAGAGAUUUACCGAUCACGUGUUGCCGCCCGCAGUGAACAGAAAAAUUGAACGUAUUUUAAAUGGUCCAAGAGAUCAAAACAAAAGUAGCCAUGCUAAUUGAGUGAGCGUUUCAUAUACUUUUAAAAUUUUCAUGAACAAGCUCUUAAAACGCAAUUUCUUAUGCAUAAAUAAACAUCUAUCAAAUUCGCAAAAGUAAUAUUUUGUUCCUCUAUGAUUUACAAGUGUUUAAAGGACCGGGACAUGUACAUGUGUUCUUCCGCAUAAAUACACACACAUGAGUAUCAACCCUUGUCAUGUGCAUUAGCAUAAUCCCCUUGUCCGGCCUUAGUGAGACUUGUUGUCGCACGGGAAAGUAGAAAUCAACCACCCACUGCAUGUGCCUCAGUCAUGAUCCACCCACGGGAAAGUAGAAUUGUAAGGUUGAUGCAAAACAAUCACGUAGAAUUUGAAUUUCAUCUAGUACUGUAGUACAGUAACAUGGAGCAUAUGGCGAGAGUUGGCAUCCACUGAUUGAUGGGUCACCGGAGCAAGGCGUUGAUUGGACUAACAAUCAGAUGAUCCCAGCACAUUCCCGUCAUUAAGAAAGGUUAUCCAUAUUUAUUGAAAGCAACAGAAAGAAACACAUCAUGCAAUUCCUCAUGAAAAGAACGUAAAGCAACCGGAUGCAUUUCUUUGUGGAAGGAGAACAAAUCAUGCACGGCCACGGCGAGGAAGCGCGUUGCGCACAUGGAAUAGUUCUCUUGAUUCAUGGGUAGGCUUAGUGGCUGGCGAAUCCCUUGACAGAGGAUUAUGUCUCCUCGGUAGGAGGCUACAUGAUACACUCGCUGUUUUUUUUUUCUUCUUCUUGUUUGGGCGGACCUGCAUUUUUCCCCAUGUACCUUUAUUUUUAGCUAAUUUCUCACGGGCACCAAUAAAUCUAUACUUGCAACCGAAACUAGGUGAUAUCCUACACCUUGUGGCAGAAAUUGAUUGACGAUACUUUCAUGAUAUUUGACUAUUUUGCACAUUAAUAUUUAGAUGGUUAAUAUGAGUACUAAAACUACAAACAUAUCUACUGUAUUGCAUUUAUUUAUUGAGGUGGGCCUUUUCCCAUGCACAUUUGCAUUAUGAGGUGGGUGUUUUUCAUGCAUGUUUACAUGAUGAGGUGGCAUUUGUGAAUAUUGAGAGAAAUAUGUUAAGGGGGGCUAGCUAUUUAGAUGUAGAAGAUUACAUUUUGUUUCUAUCUGCAAAAAAAAGAUUACAUUUUUUGGAUUUAAACAGUCCAAACUAUUCAUACAAUUGUGUUGUUCUCUUUAGGAAAUACUAUUGAGCAUGGGCAGCCUGGCUUACGACGGUGCCACAGGAGCGGAAGGAUUAUCACACAAUCUGCUUGCCAGUAUGUUUAGGAGGUUUGGAAGCAUAGAAAUGCCAUUGUCAUUGACAAUGCAGUUAGAGUGUUGUUGAGAAGAGUUUAUGAGGAGGGAUGCGUGUGGCAAUCAGCUGGGUUGUUUAAGGGUGAUGUGUCACCCUUCUUGCAGAGGUUGUUUAGGUGGGCAUACCGGGAUUGGUCGUGUUAAUCUGGCUAUAAUGCCACACCCUUGUAAAACGUGGGCAGUGGAUGGGUUUCUUUGCCCACGUGUCCUAUGAAUAUAUGAUGCACGUGCCUAUGUGUAUUCUAAAAAGACAAAUCAUAAGUAUCUGAGGGGGCAAAUUACUGAACUGUACAUUGCUCUGCCUCCAUGCAAGCACAAGAUCUCGCCUACUAAUUACAAAUUAGGCCAGGCCAACCCGUGGACUGGGGCGACGCGGGCGACGCCCGUGGCGUCCACCGCGUGCCUGCCGCCGGUGUCCAUCUCCGGUGAGGGGCGCGUAGGGGGAAGGUUUUGGGCACUCACGGAGUCUGAAGCGGAGGACGAAGACGACGGGGACUGCUCCAGAAGCUCGCCGGAACUCUACUCACCGACGCCGUCGUCGGUCAUCUGCGAAGCUUUCGAUCCAGGAUAUUCGGAAGACGAAGUGGCUGCGAUUGUCGAUGGCAUUGUGCCAAUUGAUGAUCCAGCGCGGCAAGGGUUGGGACCAGAGGACUAGAUCGAGAUCGUCCGACGCAUUGUUCAUAGACGGACGGCGGCAACGGCGGUCCGGCCAUGGAAGGGGCCGAUUCCAAAGGUAAUUCUACCAAAACCUACCUUGUCCGAUUUCUUCACAGAAGGUUCGUGGAAAGUAGUGAAGAGGAAGAAGUCUCGGCGAUCGUCGGCGGCGCAGGCGCCGCCGCCGGCGAUCGACAGAGCAGCCGUGAUCCAGGCCAAUCGGAUCUCGCGUUUGAAUUCGCUGCUUAGCGCUAAUGGGCUUCGUGAGGGCCCGUCCGCUAACAGACCUUUGGGCCAAGGGAAUGAGCUUUGGGAUGGGCCGGGAUUAGCUGGGUUUCGGACCCAGGCAAAACCGGUGGCCAUCGGAGUGCACGGGAUCGCAUCGGAUCGGGAGCUAUCUCAUGCACGUGCAUCGCCUCGCUGCCGAUACGUUGUUUCUAGGGUUCGCCGCCGUGGUAACGUCGGCUUUCCUGCUGCCUUGGUUCGACGUGUGCGGCGGGGGAAUCAGUUCUGUUGUGGCGGUCCGGUGGUAGCCGGCGAGGAAGACAUGCCGCCCAAGGCCCCGCCGCCGGCCAAAGGACCUCCUCCGGCGAAGCCGCCUGCGAGGGCCGAGCAAGGGGGUCCAGCAGCGGUUGUGCCGCCCUUGACUGCGGCUACGGCGCCAGCGCCGGCUACGACGGCCCCAGCCAGGGCUGCAGGGACUGCGCCGGUUGCGACGGCCACCGCCAGGGCUGCGGCGCCGCCACCGCAUGGGGCCGCGCCACCUCCGAUGCAGCGGCCGUGGCCUCGUCAAAUGGCGGCCGGGCGGGGAGGAGCUGCCACCGGUGCCGCCGGCGCGGGACGGGUGCGUUUGCGGGGGACAGCCGCAACCCUCCACGUGGUCAGUGGGGCGAUGAUGGAUACGAUGCUUAUGGACAGGGUCUUCAUCGGGGUUCUCGUCUACCGGUGGUGGGCGAGGUUAUGCUUGGACAGAUCAUGGUACUGCUGGCCAUGGUUUUCAAGGGCGGCCGGGGAACUUUGUUGAGGGCGCGGUUGGCCCGACCCGCUUCCGGGGCCGCUUCCGUGGUGGUCGUGGUGGCUAUCAGCGUCCUCCGCGUAACCUGCCUGGUGCCACGGGUUCAUAUGAUACUGAGAUGUCCACUGAUGUUGCUGGUCUAAAUCAGGCGGUGGUGGAGACGGCUAAGGCUCUCGCCGAUGUGUCUGUACCGAUGAUCGUGCAACCGGAUGAAACUGAGUCUGAUAAAGGUUCGGAGAAGGCCGGAGGUGACAAGCUGUCCAAGUGGGCGGCUAAGAAGAAAAAACUUGUCUGUUUCCGGUGCGGGGAGACGGGUCACUUCAUGGUUGAUUGCUCUGCUGAGUUAUGUGAUAUUUGUCGGAAACCUAAGCAUGUGGCGGCUGAGUGUCCGCUUCUUCUCGGCCCCAAACCGACACUUAAUAUCUAUGGGCUAUGUUGCUCGGAGUUGAUGUUCUUCGAGUCACCAUACGUGGCUCCGGUGGCCCCUGUCAUUGAAACCUCCUUCCUGGGGUGGUUAAGGUGGUCACUGGACCGCUCAUUGAAGCACAUAUUAUUCAGCAGUUAAGGGAGUUGGCUUCGGGGAAUUUCAAAUGGUCUUUAUUGAAACUUUCAGAUAAGUCUUACAAAGUGGAUUUCCCCUCUAAAGAGGAUCAGAAGAGCAUUCUAAAGUUUGGUAUGAGUCGGGUUACAGGAACUAGCUUCGUGUUGCAGUUUGAUGAGUGGAAAAAGAAGGAGCCACAGGGCACCCCUCUGACCCAGAUCUGGGUUCGUUUUUCGGGGGCACCCUCAGAGCCCUUGGAUGAUUUCUUUGUCACAUGGAGCUUGGGGUCCUUGCUCGAUAAGACGGAGCAGGUGGAUAUGCCCUUCACUCGUGCUCACGGUGUGGCUCGCUUGCUGGUUAGUGUGGCUAACAUUCAGUUCUUGCCGGACGUGGUCAGAUGGUGUCAUGAGGGUAUUGCUUACAUGUUGAAUGUCGAGUAUGAGGACCCGGACUUGUUUUAGGAUUUUGAGGAGGUGCUUCCUAUGGAUACUUCUGAGGGGGGAGGCGCUUCUGGAAACCAUGGAGAUGAUGCACCUAGUGAUGGUGACAGGGGUUCCAGGCCUGUGGAUUCGUCUAAGCCAGCAGAGUCGGCUCAGGGGAAAAUGCCGGUUUCAGCACCGUCCAACAUGCUUCAACUUGGUUCUGUAGGCGCCCCCUCAUCUUUGGAGUGAUCGUGUGGAUCUGGACGACCCGUCUGAGCAUGUGCCUCCGGUGAUUUCGGAGGUCGUGUGCGUUGAUGGUCCGGAAGGAUUAGCUGCACAGGAGGUUCACGCUUAUCCUCCUUCAUCGCCGGUGCCUCGGCAGGUGGUGAUGACUUAGCAGGAAGACUCGGCGGAGUUGGCUGGGAGUGCGGUCAGGCCCUCUCCUACCUUGCCAGCGCCUUGUUCGAUGGAGCUCAAGGCCCGCACAACUCCCUCUACCUCCGAGGCGGGUGGUGCCAUGCUGGGAGGGUCGGCCGCGGGGGGUGCUUCACCGACUAUUACUGCUACUGUGGCUCGGGCGGCGUCAUCUCUUUAUGUCGCCGGUGUGGCUGAGCAGGUGGUGGUCGGCUCGCCGGCCCCCGUUCUAGGUGGGCUGGGUGGCGCGACAGCUGCUACUGCCUCCUCACCGGUGAGCGUCGUGUGGGCGGUUCCGGAGCCAGCUGAUGGCGGGUCGCCCGUGGACGGGCUGCCGGUGUCGCCGCAUCGCUCUUCUCCUACUCUGGUGCCCGCGACCCGAGACGCCGGUGUGGGGGGAUGGGUGGGCGGCCCUUCCCCUUGCAGGGCUUCUCGCGAGGAGGUCAUCGCCUUUGGGGGUAUCCCGGACUUUGCUACCCAGGGGGGGCGGAUCAGCGGGAGGCUGCAGGAGCAGCCGGACGUCGAUGAUAUACAACUGAGGUGUGCAUUGAGGGCUGCCAAGUUGCAUAACUUCGAGACCUCCACCGGUAUGUCUGUUAUUAAGUCAAAUUCCAUUUUGCAUUUCUCUGAUAAUGAAAUCAUACAUAAUGCAAAUCAAUUAGGAAUUUCACUUGGUAAUAAUGAUCAUCAAAUUGCCAAAUCGGUUAAUGACAUUCUUGAUUUGGAAGCUGAGCGUGCGGUAGAUAUGAUUCGUCACAUUGCCGCAGUUAAACCUAUAAAUGAUUCGGAGAUUGAUGCGCUUGGGGUGAGGGUUCUUGAUGACAUGUGUGCCGAUCUUGACCCUGCAUGUCUAGAGACAGAGGAUGAUACCAAUCCUCAGACGUCUCUUCAUGUAGAUGAGCCUUUAGUGCUUGAUGCGGAGAAUGAGGGUGGUGACAUGGUUAAUGGUCAAACAAAGCCUAAGCGGACAUGGAAGCGAAAGGUCUAUCCAGUCUCCGCAGUGCGUAGGAGUGCUAGGAUCCGUACUGUCAAAAACUUUCAUGAUGACUUAUGAAAGGCAUUUUCUGGAAUAGCAGAGGUCUUAGAGACUUGGCUAAAAGGAGGUUUCUAGCGGAUGCUUCACUCGAACAUCAUUUAGAUUUUAUUGCUUUGUCUGAGACUGGAAGAAGCAAUUUCACAUCUCAAUUUCUUGCCACUUUGUCUGGGGGGUAGACUUUGAUUGGCAUUGCCUCCCACCUCGAGGAAGAUCCGGCGGGGUCUUACUUGGGGUUAAGUGUGAUACGUUGGAAGUCCGGAGUGUAGUCAUGGGCGAGUUUGCUGUUAAGUUUCGAGUUAGAACUAAGGCAGAUGGGUUUGAUUGGGCCUUGGUGGCAGUUUACGGAGCUGCUCAACCAGAACUCAAGCCAGAUUUUUUGGCGGAUCUGGUGCGCAUCUGUGGUAAUGAACAGCUACCUCUCUUAGUGGGCGGGGAUUUCAACAUAAUCCGAAGGCAAGAGGACAAGAAUAAUGCCAAUUUUGACGGUAGAUGGCCGUUUAUGUUCAAUACUAUCAUCGAAAGUUUGGAUCUCAGAGAGAUCCAGCUUUCGGGUAGGAAAUUCACUUGGGCUAAUUCGUUACCGGUUCCCACUUUUGAGAAACUGGACCGCGUGCUAGCUAGUGUCGAGUGGGAACAGAAGUUUCCCUUGGUAAUGGUGCACGCUUUGACCCAAGGUGUCUCGGAUCAUACACCGUUACUAGUCGACUCCGGAGUUCGAAAUUUCGUGGGUAACAAGAACAUUUUCUCGUUUGAACUUGCAUGGUUUGAAAGAGAAGGGUUCCUCGAGAUGUUAGCUAGAGAGUGGGCUAAGGACUCGGGAGGGAGGUCACCUAUCGACAGGUGGCAAUCCAAGAUUCGUCAUCUCCGACGGUUCCUUCGUGGCUGGGCUAAACACACGCAUGGGAUUUAUAAGGUGGAGAAGGAGCGACUCCUUCUGAUUAUUCAAAACCUCGAAGCUAAAGCAGAAACUUCUAUCUUGGAUUCCAAUGAGUUGGAAACAAAGAUAGAUGCAGAGAUGCAGCUUAAAAAGCUUCUCCGUGAGGAGGAAUUGAAGUGGGCAUUGCGAGCCAAGGUUUGCAAAAUCGUAGAAGGCGAGGAUAACACUCAAUUCUUUCACAUGAUCGCUAAUGGGAAGCAUCGUAAAAAGAGAAUCUUCCAACUAGAACAAGAUGAAGGGACGAUAGUUGGUCAGGACAAUCUCAAAGAUUACAUCACCAAUUAUUAUAAGCAGUUGUUUGGUCCCCCGGUAGAGACUUUCGUGUCGAUGGAUGAGUCUAGGGUUGAGGAUGUGCCUCAGCUAGAGACUGCCGAGAAUGAGCUCUUGACUGCUCUGUUCUCGGAGAAAGAGGUGUUUGAGGCUAUUACUCAGAUGGAGAAUAAUAAGGCCCCAGGACCGGAUGGGUUUCCGGCAGAGUUUUAUAAGAAGUGUUGGCAUUUUAUCAAGGGAGAUUUGAUGCCCAUGUUUCAGGAGUUUUUUGAGGGACAACUUCAAUUGUUUAAACUAAAUUUUGGGACAAUAACCCUUCUUCCUAAGAAGACUGAGGCUGUUCGGAUUGAGCAGUUUAGACCCAUAUGUCUGCUAAAUGUGAGUUUUAAAAUCUUCACCAAGGUGGGGACAAAUAGGCUUACACAAAUAGCACACUCAGUAGUUCAGCCAUCCCAGACUGCUUUCAUACCGGAUAGAAACAUCCUGCAAGGGGUUGUGGUCUUGCACGAAACGCUCCAUGAAAUCCACUCCAAAAAACUUGAUGGCGUAGUUUUUAAAGUGGAUUUUGAAAGAGCAUAUAAUAAAGUCAAGUGGCCUUUCCUUCAACAAGCGUUGCGUAUGAAAGGUUUUCAUCCGGCCUGGAGAAACCAGAUUGAUUCCUUUACGCAAAAAGGGAGUGUCGGGAUUAAGGUGAAUGAUGACGUGGGUCACUAUUUCCAAACACACAAGGGGCUGCGGCAAGGAGACCCUAUGUCACCGAUCCUGUUUAACAUAGUGGCUGAUAUGCUCACUAUUUUAAUAGGUCGGGCAAAGGAUGCAGGACAGGUAGGUGGCCUGGUUCCACAUCUAGUUGACGGCGGGUUGUCCAUUCUUCAGUAUGCUGAUGAUACAAUCAUUUUUAUGGAGCAUGACUUGGCGAAAGCAAGGAACAUGAAGCUGCUGUUAUGCUUAUUUAAACAAUUGUCUGGGCUUAAAAUCAACUUCCACAAGAGCGAAUUGUUUUGCUUUGGAAGAGCCAAUGAUGAACGGGAGUCGUAUCAACAAUUGUUCGGAUGUGAAUUGGGUUCUUUACCGUUUUCGUAUUUAGGUAUACCCAUUCAUCAUCGUAAGCUAUCUAAUAUUGAGUGGAAAUGUCUUGAGGAUCGGUUUGAAAAGAAACUGAGCUGUUGGAAAGGAAAGCUCAUGUCAUACAGAGGUCGAUUAAUUUUGAUUAAUUCGGUCCUCACUAGUAUGCCUAUGUUUCUCUUAUCCUUUUUCUUGGUUCCGGUCGGAGUUAGGAAAAGGUUAGAUUUCUAUCGAUCUAGAUUCUUUUGGCAAAUUGAUGAGCUUAAACGAAAGUAUAGACUUGCGAAGUGGGACAUUAUAUGCAGACCUAAGGACCAAGGUGGCCUAGGUAUAGAAAAUCUGGAAGUCAAAAACAUAUGUAUCCUUAACAAGUGGCUUUUUAAGCUGUCAUCUGAGACGGAGGCCACUUGGGCUCAGAUUUUGCGCAAUAAGUAUCUCUAUGCUAAAACUCUGGCUCAGGUGAAUGUGAGGUCUUCAGACUCACCAUUUUGGAAGGGUUUGAUGAGAGUUAAGCAACUCUUUUUCAACAGGUCUAAAUUUAUUGUUGGGAAUGGCACAACGACGAGGUUUUGGGAGGAUACGUGGCUUGGGGAGACCCCACUUGCACUUCAAUAUCCUUCUUUGUAUAACAUUGUCCAACGUAGAGAAGCCUAUGUUGCUAAUGUUUUACAAUCCGUCCCCCUCAAUAUCAGUUUUAGACGGACACUAGUUGGAAAUCGUUGGGAGGCCUGGCUCCAUCUUGUUCGACGUUUAAUGGAUGUCUGGCUGUCUCAAUAGCCAGAUCAGCUGCAUUACUAAGAACGGUGUGUUCUCGGUCAAAUCAAUGUAUCUAGAUGUCAUUAACUCUUCCGUCAUCCCCACAUCAUUACAUGUUUGGAAAGUUAAGGUACCCUUGCGUAUCAAAGUGUUUAUGUGGUUUGUGCAUAAACAUGUCAUUUUGACUAAGGAUAACCUUGCAAAACGUAAUUGGGUGGGCUCGUCUCGAUGUAGCUUUUGUGAUCAUAACGAAAACAUUAAAUACCUCUUUCUAGAUUGUCCUUUGGCUAAGAUUCUGUGGCGGUCGGUUCAUAUUGCGUUUAAUAUUGAUCAGCCCACCUCUAUUAGCAUGUUAUUUGGAACAUGGCUUGACGGGGUGGAUUCUGACAUUGCAAGACACAUUCGGGUUGGCGUUUGUGCGCUUUUGUGGGCAAUAUGGAACUGCAGGAAUGACUUAGUCCUUAACCGAUCAACAAACAUUCACUUUUUGCAGGUUAUCUUCAGGGCCACGGCGUUCAUCCGUAUGUGGUCGCUACUCACUCCGACGGAGGCCAGGGAGCGUUUGGUUACUGCGUCUACCCGAUGGGAGAUGGUAGUUCGGGAUAUUUUCAACCGGUUUGGAUGGUCAUGUAAUAGGAUAGGCAUGUAGUGCUCCUAUUGUUUUGCCAGCCGGUUGUGGCUUUGGGCCUUUCUUCUUUUCAGCUUUUGUUGAUGAUUGUACUACGACCUUCCGAGACUUUGUUACUGGAUUAUUCGUUUAAUAAUAUGAGCCGUAUGCAUCGUUCUAAUGCAGAGGCUGGGGUAAAUCCCCUUUUCCAAAAAAAAACUAAUUACAAAUUCAACAUUAGUUACAUACUAACUCCCUACUCAAUCAUGUCGAUCAACAACUUUGAAUAUACUUCUUGUAAGUGUUCUCCCCAAAAUUCAUUUUUCUAAUGCAAGUCCUUUUGGCAGCUGAUUCUUUCAUUGCAAAAAGAAAAGAACUCUCGGAAAUCCAAUUCGGCUCUUGGGAACAUAUACUCCUGUCCACCAAAAAUGUUUUUUUUGCAAAUGUCAAAAAAAAGAAAAAAAAAUAUAGAUGUGUUCAUUGUCACACCAAAACGUUACUUGCAAAAAUUUUAGGAGGAAGCUUAAAUAUUUUGAUCUGUGAAAAAAAAAACAAUUCGAACGACAAAUGUUGCCUUCAAAUAUUAAACUUUUUUUCACUGACGAAGCACCGUCAUCCCGUUUCGUAUGAAAAUUAUCAAACACACUUGUUACACAAGAACAUCUACAAAAAAAUCAAAAUUUAAAAUUUUAUUUACUAUUUAUUUUGAAUUUAGUGAUCAUUAGGAGCAUAUGCACCUCCGAGCCAAAACGGCCCUCCCAAGAACUCUUCACUAGUAAAUGAGAAUGAUACAAGCAUAUCGUCAAGGUCGACUCGUUAUUACUAUUCAUGUUCCAUCAAUUCAAAUCGUUGAUUGUAGAACGGUGGCACUUUCAAGAAAAAAAAAUGCUCAUAUAUGAUGUAAUGAUUUUAAUAUGGUCAUUAUGUUUCAUACGUUUCUUGUUAUUUUACUUUUUGGUUUUUCCUAUGAUACUUUGCCUACAAGAUAAUAUAUAUUUUGUAUGGGAGCUUUAUAGUGCGUUGCUAUAAAUGGGAAAGUAGUAAAAUGGACUCCGGUACAAAUGUUCAUCAGUUGAGUUUUCUCAUUUUCACGUUUCAAAAUUUUCUUAAAUUAUGUUCUGGAUGUUUGAUGACUUUCUUUUUCGGAGACAACUAUCUGAUGACUAGUCGUAACCAUUUUUUUUGCCAAUAUUGUAUUCAUUUGCAUGCUGCACAAAAAAACAUAUUUAUGCAGUUUACUGUAUAUUUUUCUCUUACAGAGCACAAACUUGUAUAUUUUGGCUAUAAUUUGGAUGUUCACACCACUUCUGACACUAUAUAAUAUAGUCAAGAGCCACUUCAGACACAACCUACAUCUCUCUUUAUAUUAACUUAAUGCAACUUAUGAAGAGAGAAAGAGGCGAGACCGGGAGGGUGCUGACGCGAGGGGGGUGGGAUGAAGAGAGGAAGGGUCGAGGAGCCGACACAAAUGUGAGACGAGGAGCCUGCUAGGUUUUCUUCAUGGGAGCUACCACCUUUUAUAGCUCAUGUCUGAAAUGACCAAAAUACCCUAGUGGGGUCAUGAUAUUUACAUUUAGUUGCAAUUGAAAUUUUAUGCAACGGCCCAAGUGAUCGUACACAUAAUCGGACGGCUCACAUCAAAACAACCCGAGAUCCAACAGACAGGAUUGCGAACGUAGAACGAUCGAACGGUCCAAAGUGCCUAAUCGCUCCUAGAUAUUCAUUCCCUCUUGCUCUUUACUCCUGGGAUAUCACGUGACCAUACCUAAUACUUAUAGAUGUCUAGUGGCUGGCCUACUGAAAGGAGGGUAGGGCACUGCUGCCACUUGUGAACUGCGUUGGCAUUUCCCCGAAGAGGAGAGGAUGAUGCAGUAUAGUAGAGAUAAGUAUUUCCCUUAGUUAAGAACCAAGGUUAUCAAUCCAGUAGGAAAACUAAGCAACACCUCAUUAGCAGCAAUUGCACACAAACAACCAAUCCUUGCAACCCAAUGCGAAUAAGGCGUUGCAAUCCCUUGACGGUUACGAGCAAGAUUAAAUUGUAUGGUAUUUGUUAGAUAAAUCGGACAAAAAUGCAAAAUAGCAUACGGUGGGUAGACAAAUUAGCAUACGGUGGGUAGAUAAAAUAGCAUACUUUUGGUUUUAGUAAAUGAUAAAAGAUAGACCCGGGGCCAUAGUUUUCACAAGAGGCCUCUCUCACUGAAAAUAGCAUACGGUGGGUAGACAAAUUACUGUCGGGCAGUUGAUAAAAAAGCAAAUAAUGAUAACGAUAUCCAAGGGAAUGAUCAAACAUAGGCAUCACGUCUGAGACAAGUAGACCGAGACGAUUCUGCAUCUACUUCUAUUACUCCACACAUCGACCGCUAUCCAGCAUGCAUCUAGAGUAUUAAGUUCAUAAAAAAUGGAGUAACGCCUUAAGCAAGAUGACAUGAUGCAGACAAGAUAAACUCACAUAUGAAUAAACCCCGUCUUUUUAUCCUUAAUGGCAAUGAUACAUACAUGACAUUUCCCUUUCUUUCACUGGGAUUGAGCACCGCAAGAUCGAACCCAUUACAAAGCACCUAUUCCCAUUGCAAGAUAAAUCAAUCUAGUUGGACAAACCAAAUAAAUAGAUCACAGAAGAAAUGUGAAGCUAUAUUAAUCAUGCAUAAAAGAGUUCAAAAAAACCUCAAAUAAUAUUCAUGGAUAGAUCAGAUCAUAAACUCACAAUUCAUCGUAUCCCGACAAACACACCGUAAAAAAAGAUUACAUAGAAUAGGGCUCCACGAACAUCAAGGAGAUAUUGUAUUGAAGAACACCGAGAGAGAAGAAGACAUCUAGCUACUAACUAUGGACUUGUAGGUCUAUGGUAAACUACUCACGCAUCAUCGGAAGGGCAGCAAGGUUGAUGUAGAGCCCCUCCGUGAUUGAUUCCCCCUCCGACGGAGUACCAGAAAAGGCCUCUAGAUGGGUUCUCUCAAGAACAGAGGCUUGCAGCGACGGAAAAAGUAUUUCGUGCACUUCUCUGUUGGUUUCUCGAUUUUAGAGAAUUUAUAGAGGCGGAGUUAGGUCAAACGGAGCCACGUGGGCCCCAAGAGCUACCAAGGCGCGCCCUGGUGCCUCGUGGACCACUGCUCCAUCUUCUCGUCCCCUCCCGAAGCUUCCAGGGUCUCUUAUGUCCAGGAAAAAAUCACUAGAAAAUUUCGUGACAUUUGGACUUCAUUUGGUACUAAUAUUCCGCAAAACCAAAAACAAGCAAAAAAAAAACUGGCACAGGGCACUAAGUUAUUAGGUUAGUCACAAAAAAGAUAUAUAGUUGUUUAUUAAUGUAUAUAGAACAUCCAAGAUUGAUACUAUAAUAGCAUGAAACAAUUAAAAAUAUAGAUACGUUGGAGACAUAUCAACUGCCACUGCAAGCGUCAUUGAAAGCUUCACUGCAGUUUGUAUUGGCUAUUAUGUUUUUGCAUCAUUUUUAUUUACUUGACAGUUCGCCCCACCUUAGAAAAAAUUGAUCCUCCGCAGACCGAUCCAUGGCAAGUCAGCGUAGGGUACUAGAGUAGUACUAUCUCUGUCCGAUUUUACUGUCCCUUGUAUUUUAGAUAAAAUUUUAACCACCUAUUUGACUAACAAAAAUACAAAUUAUACUACAAAAAAUACUGUUGGAUUUGUACUAAAAAAUGGUUUUCAACAAUAUUAAGUUUUGUGAUAUAGAGUUUAUAUUUUAUUAGUUAAAUCAAUGAUCAAACUUUAGCAUGAAAUGAGAGGUGAGCUAAUAAACUGGACCAAGAGAGUACUACUGAAUUUGCUCUUGAAAUGUCUCAGACAACGGUGGUUCUCCACCACUACUCAAACAAAGUCUAACGUUGUCGAGUUCAAGUGGAGGAUGUACCUUACCCUCGUGCGGCUCCGAGGGCUGUAUUGGGACGCCCAAAAAACCGGUGGCUUAAGCCCCCCUCCUACUCCUCUUCCCUCACCGCGCCGGAGUGCGUCGCCAGGCAAAACUCGGGUGGUGGUGGGCGGAGGUGGGGACGUAUUGCGGCAUGAUGGUGGCGGAUCUGGAGAUUCCAAGUCUUGGUAGGGUGGCAGUCUUGGCUCUGCGAGCUUUGGCAUGGACAUGGGUCGUCGGCCGCCCGAGGAUGCGCGCGUCUUCUCGGGGAGAUGCGAUAGAGGUGUUGUGGCGUGGAGGUGUUGUGUCUGCUUCGUUGGGUGGCCAACUGCUCCUAUGCCGCGCCGGUCAUCCAGUACGAUGGUCGUGCUUCAUUGGCCUUGUCCAAGAGAUGGUUGCUACUUGUGAGCUGUGUUGAGAUUUUCCCCGAAGAGGAAGGAUGAAGCAAUAUAGUAGUGGAUAGUAUUUCCCUUAGUGAGAAUCAAGGUUAUCAAACCAAUAGGAAAACCACACAAAAACCUAGUGAACAGUACCUACACACACAAGAGCAAAUACUUGCACCCAACGCAAGCAAGAGGGUUCACUAGUAUGCAUCGAUGCUAUACAAACGAUUUUUAACCCCUUUCCGCGAUGACAUUUGAAACCGUCACCAAGUGAGUGUGGGCGAUAGGGGGGUCCUUCCCACACGACCCAGAAACCGUCGGGGAUAGGCCCUCCUGGCACACUGACUGGGGCAAAAUGAGUUCGUGUGCGAUCUGGCGGGGCAUCGAAACCCAAUUGUUUCCAUUCGUAUGUACAUCCCACACGGUGAAUCCCCGAAAAACAUUUCCGUUCAUAUGUAUAUCACACACAGUCAAUCCAAGGAGAACAUUUUCAUUCUCAUGUACAUCCCACACGGUGAAUCCAGGGAAAACAUUUCCAUUUGUAUGUACUUCCCACACAGUCAAUUCAAGGAAAACGUUUCCUUUUGUAUGCACAUCCCACACAGUCAAUCCAGGAAAAACGUUUUCGUUUGUAUGUAUAUCCCACACAGGUUUAUGUAUAGACUCGUGUGUGAUACGUGUAACUAUCACACACGCUCUGCUUUGGUUAACCGUUUUCUUUUAUCAACUACAUCACACACGAUUUGAUAAAGAAAAUUGUGUGGUAUUGGGCUAUCCAUCACAAGCGCUUUUACUUCUAGAACCGUUUGCAAAGUUCCAUGACCCAUUUCGCAGGUUUAUUAGUUUACAAUUAAUAAUUCUAGUAUUACGCAAAUUCACGUUUCAUAUCGAACAGUUGUUUGCCAAUUUUAUAUCACGCACAUAGAUAUAUUUUAACAUCACAGUACGAUAGCUACCAGAAAAUAGCACAGUACAACAUAUAGAUAGUUCAACUUCAUAAGAACAAUAUUAGAACAAUAUAUUCAUUUCCCUAAUCGAGAUCAUCCAGACUCACCUUAUCCACCUCUGCUUUCAGUUCAGUAAGAACCUGUCUUGCACUGGCCAACUGGGAAAGUGCCUCCUCCUUCGCCAACAUCAUCUUAGCAAAGUCCGAUUUAAAAAAUCUGAGCUUAUUCUACACCUUUCUCUAAGCCUACCUCUGUACAUGCUCCAGAGCUUUGCUAGGCACAUCUUCAAAGACUGUGGCCAUUCUUGAUCAACCCACUCCAAGUAAGAACACUUCCGUUCAUCCUAUAAUAUUUAAAACUAGAUCAGUAACAAUUGUAGGGAAAAUGGGUUUAUAGCAACAUAGAAAAUCACCAAUACUUAUUUUGAAAAACUAAAGAAAUAGGUUAAUUAUGACAUAUCUUCUUAAAAAAAUCAAUGUGCAAAUGAAUUAAUUGCUACUAACACAACAACCAAAUUCUGAAACAUCAGAAGCUAAUUAACUACAACAACGCUACAAGUUCUUACUCAUGCACUAUAAAUAACAAAUUGAACAUUUUAAGAGAAAGGUAAAUAUAACUGCAACAGCAUAGCGACAGUGUUUGGAUGACAACAAAUUGAUACUAACAGGUGUGUACAUGCACAAAUUCAGUAACAUAGAACCAAUAGCACUAAGGCGUCCACUAUGUAUGCCAAAACCGGUGUAAAGACAGUUGUUGCUACAUCUCGCACCGGUGCCCUGCACUAGCGAGCCGAUGCAGUGGAAAAAAAUCAGGGACUCGAACUCCGGAGCACCUAGUUGCUCCGACGCCCAGUUCCUUCGUGCCAUAAAGAUUUAGUAUUUUACUGCUUGGCUGCUCGGAUGUGUGGACAAAUGGCUCCACAAACUGCUGAAGCGGUGCCAAAUAAUUUUCUAAUGGCACCGCUGAUGAGAUGGCAACAUUUUUAGAUACUAGGUACAAACUGUGACAUUGUCUUAGGAUGCGUUUGGUUGAAGGUGUUGUAUGAAUGGGUUGGGACCGUGAAAGUGUCUGAAUCACAUCUAACAAAUGAUUUGUAACAACGAAAGAGGGUCUAACCUUCUCUACACAUGCCAGAAACUUCCUCCCACUAUCCACAGAUUCAAAUGCAACUAGCUUCACGCAUGGAGAUUGAUGGUGACAACGAGAAGACAAAUCUUCAGCCACCCUGCUCCAUUCGUUGCAAGUGAUGGUCCUAGGGAACUACAAGAGGAAGAAUGACUCAAAUCGACCGCCAGGUAAAAAUUCUCCAUUUCAAGUCAUAGCUCGAGACAGAGAAGAGAGGCAUUCCCGGUGGUGAAGGAGUCGUCGUCGGAGGAGGGACCGCUAGAGAGGUCUUUGAAGAAGACCAUGGCGACCCCGGCGGUAGGAUGUGAGACGGCGAGAGCGAGGAAGCAAGCAAGGAAGCGGCUAUAGAUUAGGAAGGAAGGAAGGGGGAAACAGGGGAAAUGUGACUUGUGGUCGGGGAGAAAAGGGGGUGGGGAGGGGGAGGGUAGAUAUUUCGGCGGUAGGCCAAAAAAUUUGAAAUGUGGAGGGAAAAUUUGCGCGCGGUGCCACCGGACACCAUGAACUUUGAAUGAUAGUGUGCAUCGCAAAUGAUUCUUCUGCUUAAUGUGCAUGGGAUGAGUUUGAUAAUUGAAAUUUUGGUGGAAAUUUCCCCGUGUAUGUCAUUGCAUAAUUUAACAUCGCUUGCUAAUUUGGGCAAAGUAAAGAGCGUACAGCACACAGAUCAGACUUACUGAAUCGAGCAAUAUUAGUAAUUAAACAUAGAUAGUUCACCUAAACAUUGCUCUAACAAAAGACCAGCAUUAAAAACAAAGCCUAAGUACGAAUAAUUUUAACAAAUCCGCCACCGCGCCGGCCUAUGCAUCACCGGUGCGAGAUGAGACAUCGAUGACUUCUCCUGGCGACAUGCCGCCGUUGGUGGACUCCGCGUCCCCCUGCUGAAGUCGACCGCGUCCUCGUCCUCGUCCUUGGCACCGCCCUCAAGGUUGUAGUACUCAUAGUAGUGGCUGCGCCAAAGCUCGCAUUGGUACUCCACCGCCGAUUCCUCGACGAAAAGACUCUUCUCUACCUCGACCUAGGCCACACACAACUCCUCCUCCCGGCGCUCCUUGAUCUCCGCCGCCUCCUGCAUCCCCGGCUGCCGCUCGACGACCUCAUGAGGAAGCAGGUGCUCCAUGGCCACCACCACCUUUUUGGACGUGGGUUGCAUGCUGGAUUCCGAGGUGGCCUAGAAUAUCUUGGCGUGGAUGGCCUCGACCCGGGCGAGGGUGACAUCGUCGGAAAGGACGGCAACUCGAGCGCUUUCGUCGUUUGCAGUCGCGGUCGCAGCAGCAACUGCAGCUGUCUCGGCUGCUGCAGCUGCCCUUUCGGCUACCGCAGACGCCCUCUCAGCGGAAGCGGUUGCGCUCAAUGCUGAUGCGGCAGCACACUCGGCGUAGGCGGCGGCGCUCGGGGGGGUGGGGGUGGGGGACACGACCAUUGUACGGGCCUUCACGAAGCAUUUCCACGCCGUCAUCUUUGCAAGAAGGGGCUGAGGGAAUGGGGAUCGAGAUUUGUGAAUUCGGGGGUUGCCGACACUAGAGCACAUGAGCCGGCGGAGCUUAAGGAGGAAGACUUAAAUGGACCCGAAAUUUUCGUCGCAAGCGAUUCCUACAAAACAACUGUGUGUGAUGUUGUAGAUAUUUUUUAUUAGUUGUGAAAGACGAAUUUGGAGUAAAGUGGCAACGGAUGGUGUUUUAAAUGUACGAGAAAAUUUGUAGUACUAAUACAACUGUCAUGUCAAAAUUUGGAAAUUUUCAGGGGUCAUUUGACCUUUUAAGACAUUUAAGUGAUUUUCUAGCCAUUUAAUGACCGUAAUUGAAAUUGAACUACAUGUACAUGCAGCAGCUAACCAAAACGGUUUGAAAAGACAUAUUGUGUGUACUUGUGUGCGAUUUAAUUCCACGUGCAGUAAAUUGGAAGGAAUUUUCAAACAUUGGUCUAACGGCUAUGACACAAUUAAGUAUGGAGUGCCAUGGUAUUUAAAUUCCAAAAAAUUAAAAACAUGAAACCUUGCUUGAUGUAAUGUCAUACCAUCAAGAUGAUGUGGUACAAAAAUUGGCAUGUUUGACGAAAGUUUGGACACACACCCCUUACAAGCCGGAGCAACUCACUAGAAGGCUCAUGGUUCCGAGAGGGGAUAAUGCAUGUUUGAUCAUGAAUGGCAGAUAGCUUCCUCUUAGGGCCUUCAAAAAAUUUCUACAUGUAAUGUGCACUGAUACUAACUAUCAUGUGAAAAUUUGGAAAAUUUCAAGGGUCAUUGACCUUUUGAAGACAUUUAUAUGAUUUUCUAGCCAUUUAAUGACCAUAAUUCAAAUUUGAACUAGAUGUACAUGCAACGGCUAACCAUAACGGCUUGAAAAAUCAUGUUUGUAUACUUGUGUGCAAGUUAAUUCCAUGUGCAGUAAAUUAGAAUGAAUUUUCAAACAUAUUGGUCUCACGGCAUGGACACAUGCAUGGAGUGCCAUGACAUUUUAAUUUCAAAAAUAAAAUAAAAAAUGAUCAGGAAAACAUGAAACUUUGCUUGAUGUAAUGUCAUGCCACCAAGAUGAUGUGGUACAAAAAUUGGCAUGUUUGAUGAAAGUUUGGACACCCCCCCUCACAAACGGAGAAACUCUCUAGAAGGCUCAUGGUUCCGAGAGGGAACAAUGCAUGUUUGAUGACGAACGGCACAUAGCUUCCUCUUACGGCAUUCAAAAAAUUUCUACGUGUAAUGUGCACUGAUACAAACUGUCAUGUGAAAAUUUGGAAAAUUUCAGGGGUCAUUUGACCUUUUGAAGACAUUUAAGUGAUUUUCUAGCCAUUUAAUGACCGUAAUUCAAAUUUGAACUACAUCUACAUGCAAUGGCUAACCAUAACAGUUUGAAAAAUCAUAUUUGUGUACUUGUGUGCGAGUUAAAAAAUCAUCAGGCGAUGUAAAUAUCUGGUGUUCAAAAAAGAAAAUAUAAAAUCUAGCAAAACAACCGGCCCCACACGGUUGGCACUCUAUUUCAUGCAUUGAGGUUUGGAAGGUGAGUGGCGGGCUUUAUUAAUCAGACACAGUUCUGCAUUGGGAACCGUCAGCUAUUAUGUUCACAUACGGAUUUUGCUGCGGGAAUCGUGUGUAAUUCACACUACAGUAUUCGUAAAUUUCGACGACCGGCGCGUGUACUGUUCCCGUCGAUCUAGAUUCCGGCCGCCGAUAAAUACUACCUUGCUCACAUCGCCCCGUCUGCAUUCUCAUCUGGAUCCUCCCCUUGCUCUCUCUUUCUCUCUCUCUCUCUCAAAUCUCUGCCAUGGCGCUGCCGGUCUGCCCAUGCGCCGACGAGGAGUCACCAUCCCCCGAGGACGCUCACUCGAAGAGCAGCGACGAGGACACCUACGCGUCACCAGAUGAGAUUGCACCGGACCCCCCAACUUUGGAUUGGUUUUGGGGCCAGUACGAUCUUUAUCUUUGGAAGUCGCUGCCGCCGGCUGAUAAAGCCAGGCAAGUGGAUUUCAAGAAGAAGAUGGCGGAGGAAAAUGCUAGGUACCAGGCGGCCUAUGAAGCCCGUGUUGCCGCCUAGAAAAAGGAGGCAACACAGCUUUGGGGGUGGGUGCGUCGUUGUGCGGAGGAGGUGUGCGAAGACAUGUACUUCACGAGGAAGGCCAGAGGCGCUAGGCGCCUCGUCGCUGCGUGGAGCUGGGCCAAUAAGCUCCAGCGUGCCACCGAUGAGGAGCUCUGGUGGGCGCCCACAAAAAUGGUGAGAUCGUUCACGCGCGUCCGCCUACAAGAGGCAGAUCAGCACACCACAGCGCUGCGAGGUGGAGGAGGCGGAGUAUUGCCUCUGCUCUGGGAAGACGCCGCGUACCAGGGAGCUGCUGGCAAGGGGAUGCUGGAAUACUGGCCCCAGGGGGAUUAUUAGUUUUAGUAUUAUUCGUUUUCAAUUUUAUGCAUUGUACCUAGUAGUUAAGCAUCAUCACAUAUAUGUGAUGAUAUUAUAUAUAUUCUGUGAUGAACUAAUGAACAAUUAAUAUUAUACAUAUUAUGAAUUCCAUUUUCUAUGUGUUUUUGUAUACUAAUUUGAAUCUAUUUGUUAUCAUCCACAUGUAUAGAAUGGAAAACGUAUAAACACACAUUGGAACAUAACAUAUAAAAACGGAAAACAGAAUACACACAUUGAAACAGAGCAAUAUACAUAGCAAUAGUAUGAUUGCUGUGAAUACAUAGCUAUCCACGUCGAAACGACUCAACAAAAUAAAACGCGUCCAUGAGACCAUGAUCAGUAGCCCUUGCCUACGAUAGGUCUUGGCUCUGCCUGAACUCGUGCAGGAGUUCGUCCAAGCGGUCGACAUGCUCGCGGUACAUUUGGAGCGCGAUCUCAAGCUCCAGGUUGGCUAUUUCAUCGUAGAUCACCACCUUGAGGAUGCGACGGCCAUGUUCCACCUGGGCCAAGGAGGUGGUCGAGCCUACCGACCAACGCGUUGGCAUCGAGCGGGCUGCGGACAAGGUGAACGGCGCGACCCAUGCGAAUGGCACGACGGAUGUCUGGUGUUAGUACGGCGCAGAGGGCAUGUGCCCACUCUUCGCGAGGAAUGGGGGUACUGACGGGACGUGUAUCCAGCUGCGACGCCUAUCAACAGCAGGCAAGCAUCGAUGGAUCCGCUCUUGCAGUGCGGCACGCCGCGCCUCUCGCUCUGCAGCGCUCCAACGCUCUCGCCGUGCGGCAAGCCGCAGCCUAUCGGCACAGACACGCCUAGCUUGCUCUAUAGCACGCCAUCGAUCAUGUUGUGCGGCGAGCUGCAGCCUCUCAGUGCUGACAUGCCUAUCUUGAUCCGCGGCACUGAAGCGCCGUGCACCAAAGGUCUACUCAACCCUGGCGAUGACACACAUCACGACGUCGUCCAUCGUGUUGCCGGGGAGCGCCACGGCCUCGUCGGGCCAUGGCACCUUCUGGUUUUCCUUGUUGACGAGGUUGAUGGCAGAGUCGGCGCUUUGGUGCGUUGGCAUGCUUGGAAAAGGUGGAUGUGCUACAGGAUGCGCUUGUUGCCUCCGUGCAUCCUGUCGCGCCUAGGUUUAUGUGCAAUAUCAUCGAGUGGUGGGAAACAGGUGAGGAAAUGGCGAGAAACGGUGGCGUGUUCAUAGAAUGCCAUCAAUUAAUGGAAACUUAGCAUAUAAGGAACAUCGAGCUAGCACAAGAAGUAGAUGAUGAUGAGAUGAACACGGACCACACUAGGGAACCCAUUGGUGAUGAAUUCAUCAAUCGCAAACGGUUGUACACUAGCAAGCGUUUGCCCGCAACACACACGGCUUAUUCCAUCACUAAUAGGUCGGAUAGAUCAACUGUAUGCCACGUAUACACAUUGUCAAAAAAUAAUGCGGUAGACCUUCUUUAACAUAUGUUAGAAAAAAAUUAAAAUAAAAAACAAGGACCUCGAGGUUAAAUUAGCCGAGGGAAUGGGUCAUUUCAGCCAUUUGAACCGAAAUGACCCAUCCUAUCAGUUAAUUUAACAUCAACACAACUUCACAUUGAGUCACCUAUCUGCUGGCUGCUCCAGCCUGAGCACACUUAACUUGAGAGUUCUAUUAGAUGAGCUACUGGUGGAGCAACUAGUCCUUGCUGAUAUAGGAUGCCUCUUCGCAUCCUUAUGGCGUAUCCGGAUGACCGCCCAUCCCCUAAUGGCCAAUACAUGUUGUGUAGACAGAGCAUAUCACAUAUGUCUUAUUAGAAGCAAUCGUUUAUGUUAUUAUCGGUCUUCGCACACAUUUCUGAUUACAGACCUGUUUGCCGCGUAUCACAUACAUGUUGUUAUAUUGAACCGUUUCUGUUCUCUUGUCAACACAAACAGUUCAUCCGAGUGAACCGCAUGCUGUAUAUCGCACACACCUUGAUCUGGCUAACCGUUUCUUUUGUGUUGCCUAAUCACAAACAGUUCAUCCAAGUGAACCGUAUGCUGUGUAGUGCACACGCCUUCAUCUGGCUGCCUGUUUCAUUUGUUCCUCCUCAUCGCAAACACUUAAUUGAACUGAAACGUAUGCCCUGCAUCGCACACGGCACUAAAAUCUUAACCAUGUUUGAUGCAUCCAUCAUCGCAAACGUUUUGCACAUUUUUGACGGUUUUCUUACACCACUGUUUGCGAUUAUUGCAUCGCACAUAGUUUCUUGAAGGGUCUCUGAUCGUAGUGUCACGUAGCAGCAUCUUGCAGUAGUGGUUGUCAAUCCCCUUGAUCUUGUUACUUGCAAGGAUUAAAUCUGAUAGUGAUAGAUAGAUAAAUUGCAAACUAAAAUAUAAAAAUUGCAGCUAGGUUUAUUAGUAUGGUAAAAGUAGACCCGGGACCAUAGUUUUCACUAUAGGCUUCUCUCUAUAAAGAUAGCAUGCCAUGGGUAGAAAAAAUGCUAUUGGGCAAUUGAUAGAAAAGCGCAUAGUUAUGAUGUUAUUCAUGGCAAUGAUCAUGUAUAUAGGCAUUAUAUUCGUGACAACUAGACCGAAACUAUUCUGCAUCUACUGAUAUUACUCCACUUCAAGAGCGCUUCUAUGCUUGCCUCUCUACGUAUUAAGUUCAUAACAAACAGAGUAAUGCCUAAAGUAUGAUGAAAUAAUGUAUACAUAACGAGACCAACCAAUAUGAUUGAACCCCAUCGUUUUACCCUUAGUAGCAACAAUACAAAUAUGUGCCUCGCUACCCCUUCUAUCACGAGGUGAGGACAAUGCAAGAUUGAACCCACUACAAAGCACCUCUCCCGCUGAAUAUAAAUCAAUCUAGUUGGCCAAACUAAACAGAUAGAUCGGAGAGAAAUACAAUGCUAUAUACUCAUGCAUAAUUAAGUUUAGAGAAGACUCAAUUACUUUCAAUUAAUAAUAUGAUCAUAAAACCCACAAUUCAUCAGAUCCCAAAAAACUCACCGGAAAACAAGAUUACAUUGAAUAGAACUCCAUGGAGAUCAAGGAGAACAUUGUAUUGAAGAUGGGAGAGAAAAACAAGUCAUCUAGCUAAUCACUAUGGACCCUUAGGUCUGUGUUAAAUGCUACUUCUAAACUGCGUUGGAAUUUUCCCCGAAGAGGAGAGGAGAUGCAGUACAAUAGAGAUAAGUAGUUCCCUCAGUGAGGACCAAGGUUUAUCGAGCCAAUAGGAGAAUCAUGCAAAGCCUUGUGAAUAGCACCUGCACACACAAAAGCAGAUACUUGCACCCAGCAUGGGCAAGAGGGUUAUCAACCUCUUGAACUCGUUAAUUGCAAGGAUCAAAUAACAUAGUGGUAGAUAGACAAAUUGCAAAACAAAAUAAAAGAAAUAAAAUUGGAGCAAAGGUAUUUUGGUUUUUCAUAUGAUCAAAGUAGACUCGGGGGCCAUAGUUUUCACAAGAGGCUUCUCUCUCGAAUACAUAGCAUACAACGGGUGAACAAAUUACUGUUGGGCAAUUGAUAGAAAAGCACAUUGUUAUGACAAUAUUCAAGGCAACCAUCAUGUAUAUAGGCAUCACAUCCGAGACAAGUAGACCGACUCUUGCUUGCAUCUACUACUAUUACUCUACCAAUCGACCACUAUCCAGCAUGAAUCUAUGGUAUUAAGUUCAUAAAAAUAGAGUAACUCCUUAAGCAAGAUGACAUAAUGUAGACAAAGUAAUCUCAAUCAAUAUGAAUAAACCCCAUGUUUUACUCUUAAUGGCAACAAAGCAAAUAUGGAUCUUGUCCCUUUCUGUCACUGGGAUAUAGAGCACCAGAAGAUUGAACCCAUCAUAAAGCACCUCUGCAACUGAGGAUAAAUCUAGUUGGCAAAACCAAACAAAUAGAUUGGAGAGAAAUACAAAGCUUUAAAAAUCAUGCAUAAUAAUGUCUUGAAAAGACUCAAUUACUUCUCAUGAAUAUCCAGAUCAUAAACCCACUAUUCAUCGGAUCCCAACAAACAUACAACACAAGAAGAUUACAUCGGAUCGAACUCCAAGAAUACCGAUGAGAACAUGGUAUUGAAGAUCAAAGAGACACAAGAAUCCAUCUAGUUACUAGCUAUGGACCCAUAGGUUUGUGGUGAACUACUCAUGCAUCAUCGGAAGGCAACAAGGAUGAUGUAGAAGCCCUCCGGUAUUGACUCCCCCUGUGGAAGAGUACCGGAAAAGGCCUCCAAAGGGGAUCAUGGAAGAACAGAAACUUGAAGGCGACGGAAAAAAAGUGUUUCGGGUGGAUCUCUGUUGGUUUCCUAAUAUUUGAGAAUUUAUAGAAGUGGAAUUAGGCUGGACGGAGCCUCGAUGAGCCCACAAGACAAGGCACGGCCCCCUGGGCACGCCCUAUUGGCUUACCGUAUCCUCAUUCGUCAUCUAGUCUCCUCCCGGAGCUUCUAGGGUCUCUCUUGUCCAAAAAAAUCAUUAAGAAGUUACAUAGCGUUUGGAAUCCUUUUGGUGCUGAUUUUAUGGAAAACCAAAAACAAGCUGAAAACAACAACUGGCACUGGGUUAAUAGCUUAGUUCCCAAAAAUGAUAUAAAUACUAUAAAAGUGCAUAUAAAGCAUCCAAUAUUGAUAAUAUAAUAGCAUGGAACAAUAAAAAUAUAUAGAUACGUUGGAGACGUAUCAACAUCCCCAAGCGUAAUUCCUGCUCGUCCUCGAGUAGGUAAAUGAUAAAAACAGAAAUUUUGACGUGGAAUGCUACCUAACAUGUUUACCAUGUUAUCUCUUUUACAGUAUGAAUAUUUACAACAAGGCAUUAGUCUAAAAUUUGAUAUAAAGACAUCAAUACUCAGGCAUACCAACAAACAAUCAUGCCUUUUACAAUAAAAAUGCUAAAGAAUGCUAUCCCUCCAAAAAUCAUAUAGCCCAUCAUGCUUAGUCUUCCUAACACAAAAUAUUAAUCAUGAAAUACCCCAAUGACAAGCCAAGCAAUUGGAUCAUACUUUUUAACGCACUUUAGCCUUUUCAACCCCACCCAAUACAUGAGCGUGAGCCAUGGAUAUAACACUAUGGGUGGAAUAGAAUGCGAUGAUAGAGAUCAAUAAGGGGAAGUCAAAAAUAAAGAAAGUCUCGCAUCAACACAGCUCAUCAACGGGCUAUGGAGAUGCCCAUCAAUUGAUAUUAAUGCUAGGAGUAGGGGUUGCCAUGUAACAGAUGCACUAAGAGCUAUAAGUGUAUGAAAUCUCAAACUAAAACUAAGUGGGUGUGCAACCAACUUGCUUGCUAAUGAAGACCUCCGGCAUUUUGAGGAAGCCCAUCAUUGGAAUAUACAAAACAAGUUCUAUAACGUUAAACUCCCACUAGUAUAUGAAGUGACAACUCAGGAGACUCUCUAUAUGAAAGACAUGGUUCUACUUUGAAGCACAAGUGUGGAAAUUAAUAGCAGCAUUGCCCCUUCUCUCUUUUUCUCUCUUUUUUGUUGGACUCUUUUUAGGCCGCUUUUUUCUCAUCUGGUUCGUCAUCCCGACUUGUGGGGGAAUCAUAGUCUCCAUCAUCCUUUCCUCGCUGGUACAAUGCUCUAACAAUGAUGAUCAUCAAACUUCUAUUUACUUACAACUCGAUAACUAGAAAAAUAUGACUCUAUAUGAAUGCCUCUGGCAGUGUACCAGGAUGUGCAAUGAUCUAGUGUAACAUGUACAAAAAUGAUGAACAGUGGCUAAGCCACAAAUACUAUGUUAGCUAUGUGAUCAUGCAAAGCAAUAUGGUAAUAAAUGUGUAUGUCAUAAAAUGGAACGAUGGGAGUUGCAUGGCAAUAUAUCUCAGAAUGGUUAUGGAAAUGGCAUAAUAGGUAGGUAUGGUGGCUGUUUCGAGGAAGAUAUAAGGAGGCUUUUGUGUGAUAGAGUGUAUCAUAUCACGAGGUUUGGAUGUGAAGGAAAUAUGCCCUAGAGGCAAUAAUAAAGUUUUUAUUUUAUAUUUCCUUAUUCAUGAUAAAGGUUUAUUAUUCAUGCUAGAAUUGUAUUGAUCACAAACUUAAAUACAUGUGUGAAUACAUAAAUAAAAUACCGUGUCCCUAGUAAGCCUCUACUAGACUAGCUCGUUGAUAAAGGAUGGUUAAGGAUUCCUAACCAUGGACAUGUGUUGUCAUUUGAUAAUGGGAUAACAUCAUUAGGAGAAUGAUGUGAUGGACAAUACCCACCCGUUAGCUUACAUAAUGAUCGUUCAGUUUAUUGCUAUUGCUUUCUUCAUGUCAAAUACUUAUUUCUUCGCCUAUGAGAUUAUGCAACUCCUGGAUACCAAAGGAAUACCUUGUGUGCUAUCAAACAUCACAACAUAACUGGGUGAUCAUAAAGAUGCUCUACAGGUAUCUCCGAAGGUGUUUGUUGAGUUGGCAUAGAUCGAGAUUAGGAUUUGUCACUCCGAGUAUCGGAGAGGUAUCUCUGGGCCCUCUCGGUAAUACACAUCAUAAGCUUGGAGCAAAUGACUAAGGAGUUAGUCGCGAGGUGAUGUAUUACAGAAUGAGUAAAGAGACUUUCUGGUAACAAGAUUGAACCAGGUAUGAAGAUACCGAUGAUUGAAUCUCGGGCAAGUAACAUACCGAUGGACAAAGGAAUUACGUAUGUUGUCAUAACAGUUCGACCGAUAAAGAUCAUCGUAGAAUAUGUAGGAGCCAAUAUGGGCAUCCAGGUUUCGCUAUUGGUUAUUGACCCACGAGGUGUCUCGGUCAUGUCUACAUAAUUCUCAAACCCGUAGGGUCCGCACGCUUAACGUUCAUUGACGAUAUAGUAUUAUAUGAGUUAUGUGAUUUUGUGACCGAAUGUUGUUCGGAGUCCCAGAUGAGAUCACGGACAUGACAAGGAGUCUCGAAAUGGUCGAGAGGUUAAGAUUGAUAUAUAGGAUGAUAGUAUUCGGACACCGGAAGUGUUUCGGAGAGUACCGGGUACUUAUCGGGUCACCGGAAAAUAGUUCGGACACCCCCGACAAAGAUAUGGGCCUUAUGGGCCAAGAGAGGAAAUACACCAGCCACAAGGGGCUGGUGCGCCACCCAUAGCAGGCCAUCCUAAGGAGAAGAAGGGAAGGGGAGGGAAAGGAAAGUGUGGAUUAGGAUCCCACUUCCUUUCCUCUCACCCCCUCUUUCCUUCCCCCUUGGGAAUACAUGGUAGGGGGGCGCUGCGAGGGCAGGAGCCCUAGGGCCGGCCGGCCACCUAUGUGAUGCGCCAGGCUUCCUCCCCGCCCCCUCCCACCUAUAUAUAUGUGGGAGGGGACGCCUAGCACAACCCAGAUCAAUUGUUAGCCAUGUGCACCCCCCUCCACCGUUUACACCCCGGUCAUAUUUUCAUAGUGCUCAGGCGAAGCUCCGUGGAGAUCACAUCACCAUCACCGUCAUCACGCCGUCGUGCUUCCGGAACUCAUCUACUACCUCGCCGUCUUGCUGGAUCAAGAAGGCCUAGGACGUCACCGAGCUGAACGUGUGUAGAACGCGAAGGUGCCGUGUGUUUUGUACUAGAUUGGUUGUAGCGGAAGAAAGUUCGACUACAUCAACUGCUUUGUAAAAUGCUUCCGCUUACGGUCUACGAGGGCACGCAGACACACUCUCCCCCUCUUGUUUCUAUGCAUAUCCUCGAUAGAUCUUGCAUGUGCGUAGAUUUUUUUUGUUUUCCAUGCAACGUUUCCCAACAGUGGCAUCAUGAGCCAGGUCUAUGCGUAGAUGAUAUGCACGAGUAGAACACAGAGAGUUGUGGGCGGUGAUAGUCAUACUGCUUACCACCAACAUCUUAUUUUGAUUCGGCGGUAUUGUGGGAUGAAGCGGCCCGGGCCAACCUUACAUGUCCACGUACAUGAGACCAGUUCCACUAACAGACAUGCAACUUGUUUUGCAUAAAGGUGACUAGCGGGUGUCUAUUUCUCCUACUUUAGUUGAAUCGAAUUUGCCUGUGGCCGGUCCUUGAAGAAGGUUAAAAUAGCAAACUUGAUGAAUCACCAUUGUGGUUUUUGCUGUAGGUAAGAACGGUUAUUGCUAGAAGCCCGUAGCAGCCACGUAAAACUUGCAACAACAAAGUAGAGGACGUCUAACUUGUUUUUGCUGGGCAUGUUGUGAUGUGAUAUGGUCAAAACAUGAUGUGAUAUACAUUGUUGUAUGAGAUGAUCAUGUUUUGUGAAUUUAUCGGUAACCGGUAGGAGCCUUAUGGUUGUCUCUUUAUUGUAUGAAAUACAAAGGCCAUGUAAUUGCUUUACUUUAUCGCUAUGAGUUAGCAAUAUUUGUAGAAGCAAUAGUUGGCCAGACGACCACGACGCAAUGAUGGAGAUCGAGGUGUCGAGUCGGUGACGAUGGAGGUCUGCUUUGAAGAUGGAGAUCGAAAGCACAAGAUGAUGAUGGCCAUAUCAUAUCACAUAUUUUGAUUGCAUGUGAUGUUUAUCUUAUAUGCAUCUUAUUUUUCUUAGAACGACGGUAGCAUUAAAAGAUGAUUCCUUCACUAAAUUUCAAGGUAAAAGUGUUCUCCCUGAGUAUGCACCGUUCCUACAGUUCGUCGUUUCGAGACACCACGUGAUGACUGGGUGUGAUAGGCUCUACGUUCAUAUACAACGGGUGUAAGACAUUUUUACACAUUCAAAAUACUUGGGUUAACUUGACAAGCCUAGCAUGUACAUACAUGGCCUCGGAACACUGGAGACUUAAAGGUCGAACGUGAGUCAUAUAGUAGAUAUGAUCAACAUAGAGAUGUUCAUCAUUGAUGAGUACUCCAUAUCACGUGAUGAUCAGACAUGGGUUAGUUGAUUUGGAUCAUGUAUCACUAAAAUAACUUGAGGGAUGUUUAUUUAAGUGGGAGUUCAUUAGUAAUUUGAUUAGUUGAACUUAAAUUUAUCAUGAACUUAGUCCUGAUAGUAUUUGCAAAUUAUGUUGUAGAUCAAUAGCUCACGUUGUAGCUCCCCUAUUUUUGAUAUGUUCCUAGAGAAAAAAUAAGUUGAAAGAUGAUAGUAGCAAUGAUGCGGACUGGGUCCGUGAUCUGAGGAUUAUCCUCAUUACUGCACAGAAGAAUUAUGUCCUUGAUGCAUCGCUAGGAGACAGACCUAUUGCGGGAGCAGAUGCAGACGUUAUGGACGUUUGACAAAGCUCGCUAUGAUGACUACUUGAUAGUUUAGUGCGCCAUGCUUUACGGCUUAGAACCGGGACUUCAAAAACUUUUUGAAUGCAACGGAGCAUAUGAGAUGUUCCAAGAGAUGAAAUUGGUAUUUUAGACUCAUGCCCGUGUCGAGAGGUAUGAGACCUCUGGCAAGUACUUUUGCCUACAAGAUGGAGGAGAGUAGCUCAGCCAGUGAGCAUGUGCUCAGAAUGUCUUGGUACAACAAUCGCUUGAAUCAAGUGGGAGUUAAUCUUCCAGAUAAGAUAGUGAUUGACAGAGUUCUCUAGUCACUAUCACCAAGCUACUAGAACUUCAUGAUAAACUAUAAUAUGCAAGGGAUGACAAAAAUGAUUCCCGAGCUCUUCGCGAUGCUGAAAUCAGUGAAGGUAGAAAUCAAGAAAGAGCAUCACGUGUUGAUGGUUAACAAGACCAGUAGUUUCAAGAAAAAGGGCAAAGGGAAAGAAAGGGAACUUCAAGAAGAAUGGCAAGCCAGUUGCCACUCCCGUGAAGAAUCUCAAAGCUGGACCUAAGCCUAAAACCGAAUGCUUCUACUGCAAAGGGAAUGGCCACUAGAAGCGGAACUGCCUCAAAUACUUGGCGGAUAAGAGGGAUGGCAAAGUGAACAAAGUUAUAUUUGAUAUACAUGUUAUUGAUGUGUACCUUACUAGUAUUCGUAGUAUCCCCUAGGUAUUUGAUAAUGGUUUGGUUGUUAAGAUUAGUAACUCAAAACAGGAGUUGCAGAAUAAACGGAGACUAGUUAAGGGUGAGGUGACGAUGUGUGUUGGAAAUGAUUCCAAGGUUGAUACGAUCACCAUUACACACUCACUCUACCUUCGAGAUUAGUGUUGAACCUAAAUAAAUGUUAUUUGGUGUUUGCGUUGAGCAUGAAUAUGAUUUGAUCAUGUUUAUUGCAAUAUGGUUAUUCAUUUAAGUCAGAGAAUAAUUAUUGUUCUGUUUACAUGAAUAAAACCUUCUAUGGUCAUACACCCAAUGUAAAUGGUUUAUUGAAUCUCGAUCGUAGUGAUACACAUAUUCAUAAUAUUGAUGCCAAAAGAUGCAAAGUUGAUAAUGAUAGUGCAACAUACUUGUGGCAUUGCCAUUUAGGUCAUAUUGGUGUAAAGCGCAUGAAGAAACUCCAUGCAGAUGGACUUUUGGAAUCACUUGAUUAUGUAUCAUUUGAUACUUGCGAACCAUGCCUCAUGGGCAAGAUGACUAAAACUCCGUUCUCCGGAACAAUGGAGCAAGCUAAUGACUUAUUUGAAACAAUACAUACCGAUGUAUGCGAUCCAAUGAGUGUUGAGGCACGUGGCGAGUAUCGUUAUUUUCUGACAUUCACAGAUGAUUUGAGUAGGUAUGGAUAUAUCUACUUAAUGAAACACAAGUCUGAAACAUUUGAAAAGUUCAAAGAAUUUCAGAGUGAAGUGGAGAAUCAUCGUAACAAGAAAUAAGAUGUGAUCGUGGAGGCGAAUAUUUGAGUUACGAGUUUGGCCUUCAUUUAAAACAAUGUGAAAUUGUUUCACAACUCACGCCACCUGGAACACCACGGCAAAAUGGUGUGUCCAAACAUCGUAACCGUACUUUAUUAGAUAUGGUGCAUUCUAUGAUGUCUCUUACCGAUUUACCAAUAUCGUUUUGGGGUUAUGCAUUAGAGAGAGUUGCAUUCACGUUAAAUAGGGCACCAUCUAAAUCCGUUGACUUGAAACCGUAUGAACUAUGGUUUGGCAAGAAACCUAAGCUGUCGUUUCUUGGGGUUGCGACACUUAUGUCAAAGGGCUUCAGCCUGAUAAGCUCGAACCCAAAUCGGAGAAGUGUGUCUUCAUAAGAUACCCUAAGGAAACAAUUGGGUACACCUUCUACCACAGAUCCAAAGGCAAGAUCUUUGUUGUUAAGAAUGGAUCCUUUCUAGAGAAGGAGUUUCUCUCGAAAGAAGUGAGUAGGAGGAAAGUGGAACUUGAUGAGGUAAUUGUAUCUUCUCUCGAAUUGGAAAGUAGUACAUCACAGAAAACCAUUCCCAUGAUGCCUACACCAACUAGAGAGGAAGCUAAUGAUAAUGAUCAUGAAACUUCAGAUCAAGUUACUACUAAACUUCGUAGGUCGACCAGAGCACGAUCUGCACCAGAGUGGUACAGUAAUCAUGUCCUGGAAGUCAUGUUAUUAGACCAUGGCGAACCUACAAACUAUGAAGAAGCUAUGAUGAGACCAAAUUCUGACAGAUGGCUUGAGGCCAUGAAAUCUGAGAUAGGAUCCAUGUAUAAGAACAAAGUGUGGACUUUGGUGGACUUCCCGAUGAUCGGCAGACCAUAUAGAAUAAAUGGAUCUUCAAGAAGAAGACUGACACUGAUGGUAAUGUUACUAUCUAUGAUGUGACGGACAAGACCCACCAGUUAGCUUAGCAUAAUGAUCGUUCAGUUUAUUGCUAUUGCUUUCUUCAUGUCAAAUAUUAAUUCCUUUGACUAUGAGAUUAUGCAACUCCCGGAUACCAAAGGAAUACCUUGUGUGCUAUCAAACGUCACAACAUAACUGGGUGAUCAUAAAUAUGAUCUACAGGUAUCUCCGAGGGUGUUUGUUGAGUUGGCAUAGAUUGAGAUUAGGAUUUGUCACUCCGAGUAUCAGAGAUGUAUCUCUGGGCCCUCUCGGUAAUACACAUCAUAAGCUUGCAAGCAAAUAACUAAGGAGUUAGUCACGGGGUGAUGUAUUAUGGAACGAGUAAAGAGACUUUCCGGUAACGAGAUUGAAUUAGGUAUGAAGAUACCGACGAUCGAAUCUCGGGCAAGUAACAUACCGAUGGAUAAAGGGAAUUACGUAUGUUGUCAAUAACGGUUUGACCGAUAAAGAUCUUCUUAGAAUAUGUAGGAGCCAAUAUGGGCAUCCAGGUUCCGCUAUAGGUUAUUGACCGGAGAGGUGUCCCGGUCAUGUCUACAUAAUUCUCGAACCCGUAGGGUCCGCAUGCUUAACAUUCGUUGAUGAUACAGUAUUAUAUGAGUUAUGUGAUUUGGUGACCGAAUGUUGUUCGGAGUCCCGGAUGAGAUCACAGACAUGAUGAGGAGUCUUGAAAUGGUCGAGAGGUAAAUAAUGAUAUAUAGGACGAUAGUAUUCGGACACCUGAAGUGUUUUAGAUGGUACCGGGUACUUAUCCGGUCACCAGAAAGGAGUUUCGGACACCCCUAGCAAAGAUAUGAGCCUUAUGGGCCAAGAGAGGAAAAGCACCGGCCACAAGGGGCUGGUGCACCCCUCAUAGCAGGCCAACCUAAGGAGGAGAAGAAAAGGGAGAGGGAAAGGUAAGUGUGGAUUAGGAUUCCCACUUCCUUCCCUCUCCCCCCUCUUCCCUUCCCCCUUGGGAAUACAUGGCGACGNNNNNNNNNNNNNNNNNNNNNNNNNNNNNNNNNNNNNNNNNNNNNNNNNNNNNNNNNNNNNNNNNNNNNNNNNNNNNNNNNNNNNNNNNNNNNNNNNNNNNNNNNNNNNNNNNNNNNNNNNNNNNNNNNNNNNNNNNNNNNNNNNNNNNNNNNNNNNNNNNNNNNNNNNNNNNNNNNNNNNNNNNNNNNNNNNNNNNNNNNNNNNNNNNNNNNNNNNNNNNNNNNNNNNNNNNNNNNNNNNNNNNNNNNNNNNNNNNNNNNNNGCUAGGCUGCCUCCCCUCCCCCUCCCACCUAUAUGUAUGUGGGAGGGGCGCCUAGCACAACCCAGAUCAAUUGUUAGCUGUGUGUGGCUCCCCCUCCACCGUUUACAUCCCCGGUCAUAUUUUCGUAGUGCUUAGGCGAAGCCUUGUGGAGAUCACAUCAUCAUCACCGUCAUCACGCCAUCGUGCUGCCAAAAUUCAUCUACUACCUCGCGAUCUUGCUGGAUCAAGAAGGUUGAGGACGUCACCGAGCUGAACGUGUGCAGAACAUGGAGGUGUCGUGCAUUCGGUACUAGAUCGGUUGGCGUGCGAAGAAAGUUUGACUACAUCAACCGCGUUGUAAAAUGCUUCCGCUUACGGUCUACGAGGGUACAUAGACACACUCUCCCCCUCUCGUUUCUAUGCAUCUCCUUGAUAGAUCUUGCAUGUGCAUAGAUUUUUUUUAUUUUCCAUGCAACGUUUCCCAAUAGGAUGCACUGGUGAAGUUUACACCAACUCUCGAGAUGAUAAAGGGCAAUGCACGGUACCGAAGAGGCUAGCAAAUUGCAGAAAGGUAAGAGCGCGUAUAAUCCAUGGACUCACAUUAGUCAUAAAGAACUUACAUACUUAUUGUGAAAGUUUAUUAGUCCUCAAACAAAAGUACUACUCACAUGCCCCUUGGGGGAUAGAUUAGUAGGAAAAUAUCAUCGCUCGUCCCCGACCGCCACUCAUAAGGAGACACUGAAUAAUAAAUCAUGCUCCAACUUCAUCGCAUAACUAGAGACUAUAUGUGCAUGCUUCGGGAAUCACAAACCUUAACAUUAAUAUUCUUACUAAACCACAAUCAUUCACUAGUACAUCCACAUAUCACCAACUUAGUAACGCAAAUCUAUUGCAAGGAAUCAAACAUAUUAUAUUCAGUGAUCUACAUGAAAGUUUUUAUUAUAUACUUCUUGAGUACCUAUCCAUUAUGGACUAGUCUUAUAACCGAUGCAAAUUGCAGUAAUAUUUAUUAGCCUCUCAAAAAAUAUUUAAGUGAAGCGUGAGAGUGCAACUAUUUCUUUAAAAUAUAACCACUGCCUUACUCUAAAAGAUAUAGGUGAAGCACUAGAGCAACUGCCUAGCUCCAAAUAUAUAAGUGAAGAACAUAAAGUAUUCUAACAAAUCAUGAAUAAAUGGGUGUCCCUCUCAAAAGGUGUGUCCAAUAAACAAUGAUUGUGGUAAACUAAAAAGCAAAUAAAGCGAAAACUACUAUGGCACAAGACGCUCCAAGUAAAACUCAUAUCAUGUGAUAAAUAAAAAUAUAGCUCCAAGUAAUAUACCGACAGUUUGUAGACGAAAGAGGGGAUGCCAUCUAGGGCAUCCCCAAUCUUAGACACUUGGAUCUUCCAUGAAUAUUACCUUGGGAUUACUCAAGCUUAGGGUCUUGCCCCUCCUUAUUCCUUCAUCCAUUGUAAUCUCACCUAAAACUUGAAAACUUCAGCAUCCAAAACUCAGCAGAAACUUCAUGAGAUCUGUUAGUAUAACAAGCAAAUCAUAAACUUUAUGUACUGUUAUGAACCCAUUCAUAUUUUAUUAUUUCAUAAUACUUAAUUUAUUCUAACUUCUCCAUGACUUAAACCCCCGAUGUAAUACAUAGCAUCACUAAAACAAGCAAACUAUGCAACAAAAACAGAAUAUGUCUAAAAUAGAACAAUCUGCAAUGAUCUGAACAAAUGUCAUAUUUCUAUAACUCUAAUGAUUCUGAAAAUUUAGUACAACAUGGAAUUUUUUUAUAUAAAUCAUGUGUAAAAAGUUUAGAUUGAAAGCACGUUGCAGUGAUUUUAAAGAAUUCUGGACUGAGCACAAAAGUUUCUGUUUUUCACACAAUCAACUAUCAAACAAAUCAUCCCAAAGGCUUUACUUGGCACACACGCUAAUUAAAACAUGAAAACACAAUCAUAACAGUAGCAUAAUUAUUUAAGCACACCACAAAUAGAAAGUAAAAAGGAAAAUUAAAGAUAACUAUUGGGCCUCCUAACAAACGCUAUUGUUUUACACCCCUAGUUAGGCGUAAGACAUUGUUUCAAAUGUUGUCAUCUUUCAAGUCCAAUUCCUCAAUUAUAGAACCAUGCUUCCUAGGAGGCUCAGCAUUCAUGUUAGUAAUCGCACUCCUAGGGACAAAGUUAGGAAUUCAUUUUCAUAGACAGGUUCCUUUAUCAAAUCAAUGAAAUUGGGUGCAAAGUAAUCAUUUUAAUAUCUUCGUUCCCAUUACUAGAUGUUCCCCCCAUAUUCUUAGGCACGUACAUGAACUUGCAAUUCUUAUUAGGAGGAGUCCUUUCAAUAAUUUGAACGGGAGAAAAAUCAGAACCCAAGUUAUUAAUUACUUCUUCCAACUUAUCAAUUCUACAAGGACUUCGUUCUAUUCUCAUUAAUUAUUGGUUCCUUAUCCUUUAACAUUUUUAAGUGGUUCCUACUUUUGAGCCCAAUUGAGCAACAUGGUUAUGAAACUUUUUGUCUAAAUUCUCAAUAUGUUCAUUGGUAGGCAUUUUAUUCUCAAUAGCUUCUAGCCUUUUCAUUAAAUGUUCCAAAGUUAAAGUUGUUUCAUUAAUAAUAAUAGGUGGUGAUCCCACUAAAUUUAUCAUAGCAUUGAAAGUAUCCAUAGGGUGACUAAUCAAGAAAUUCCCUAUGGUAAUAGUGUCUAGCAAAAAUCUAUAUCAAGUAGUAGCACCCACAUAAAAUUGCGAAGAAGAACGGUGGUGGAUUGCUUACGAGUUGAUCUAUUUUGAGCACCGCAAAUCCUAUACCAAUCAUAUUUUAAAAUUUCUCCUCCCCUUUGUUUAAAAUUAAGCACUUCAUUUUUAGGGGUACAAGAGCUUGAGAAGAACUAGCCAUAGUGGCAAAGCAAGCAAACGAGCAAACAAAUAUUUUUGUGAUUUUAUAUUUAUUUUAUGAGAAGUGGGGAGAUGAAAAUGAGAGGCAAAGGCAAAUAUAAAUUAGCGCAAGUAGAUGAUAGUUUAUGCGAAGGUACUUGAUAGGUUUUUAUGAUGUUCCCCGGCAAUGACGCUAGAAUUCUCCCUGUCCCCGAAGAGGAGAUGAGAUGUUGUACAAUAGAGAUAAGUAUUUCCCUCAGUGAGAACCAAGGUUUAUCGAAUCAAUAGGAGAAUCAUGCAAAGCCUCGUGAACAGCACCUGCACACACAAAAGCAAAUACUUGCACCCAACACGGGCAAGAGGGUUGUCAAUCCCCUUGAACUCGUUAUUGCAAAGAUCAAAUCUCAUAGUCGUAAAUAGAUAAAUUACAAAACAAAAUAAAAGUAAUAAAAUUGCAGCAAAGGUAUUUUUUAUAUGAUUAAAGUAGACCCAGGGGCCAUAGUUUUUACUAGAGGCUUCUCUAUCGAACACGUGGCAUAUGGUGGGUGAACAAAUUACCGGCAAUUGAUAGAAGAGUACGUAGUUAUAAAGAUAUUCAAGACAAUGAUCAUGUAUAUAGGCAUCACAGCCGAGACAAGUAGACUGACUCCGGCCUACAUCUACUACUAUUACUCCACCAAUCGACCGCUAUCCAGCAUGCAUCUAUGGUAUUAUGUUCAGAAAAACAUAGCAAUGUCUUAAGCAAGUUGACAUGAUGUAGACAAAGUAAACUCAAUAAUGUGAAUAAACCCCAUUGUUUUGCCCUUAAUGGCAACAAUACAAAUACAUGUCUUGUCCCUUUCUGUCACUGGGAUAUAGAGCACCACAAGAUUGAAGCACUCACAAAGCACCUCUCCCACUGAAGAUAAAGAAAUCUAGUUGGCCAAACUAAACGGAUAGAUCGGAGAGAAAUACAAAGGUAUAAAAAUCAUGCAUAAUAAAUUUUAGAAAAGACUCAGUUACUUCUGAUGAAUAUUCAGAUCAUAAAACAUAAUUCAUCGGAUCCCAAAAAACACACCGCAAAAGAAGAUUACAUUGGAUAGACCUCCAAGAACACCGAUGAGAACAUGGUAUUGAAGAUCAAAGAGAGAGAAGAAGCCAUCUAAUAGCUAGCUAUGCACCCGUAGGUAUGUGGUGAACUACUCACGCAACAUCGGAAGUCAAUAAGGAUGAUAUAGAAGCCCUCCAUGAUCGAUUCUCCCUCUGACAUAGUACCGGAAAAGGUCUCCAGAUGGGACCGCGGAAGAACAUAAGCUUGCGGCGGCGUAAAAAGUGUUUGGGGUGGCCCUCUAUUUUCCCCAAUAUUUGAGAAUUUAUAGAAGUGGAAUUAUGUCAGACGGAGCCUCGAGGGGCCCACAAGACAAUAGGGUGCGGCCCCCUAGGCGCGCACUUUUGCCUUGCCAUCUCCUCGUUCAUCAUCUGGUUUCCUCCCGAAACUUCUAGGAUCUCUCUUGUCCAGAAAUAAAUGUCAAAAAGUUUCAUAGAGUUUGGACUCCGUUUGGUACUGAUUUUCUUAAAAACCCAAAACAAGCAGAAAACAAAAGCUGGCACUUGGCACUGGGUUAAUAGGUUAGUUCUCAAAAAUGAUAUAAAAUAGUAUAAAAAUGCAUAUAAAGCAUCCAAGAUUGAUAAUAUAAUAGCAUGGAACAAUAAAAUAUUAUAGAUACGUUGAAGACGUAUUAGUAAACUACUCACACAUCUUCGAAGGUGCGGAAAGGUUGAUAUAGAAGCCCUCUGUGAUCGAUUUUCCCUCCGACAGAGUACCGAAAAAGGCCUACAAAUGGGAUCGUGGAAGAACAGAGACUUGCGGCGGUGGAAAAAUUAUUGAGGGUGGCUCUUUGUUGGUUUUGGGACUCAUCGGAAUUUAUGGAAGUGGAAUUAGAUCAAACGGAUCUGCGUGAGACGCACAAGCUCACGUAGUCACGUGUCACCCCCCUAGGGGUGUGCCAUGUGAGCUUGUGACUCUCCCGUAAAUCUUCUGGCCUCCCCCAAAACUUUUAGGGUCUCUUCUGGUCCGGAAAAAAAUCACCAUAAAGUUUCAUUGUGUUUGAACUUCGUUUGGUAUUGAUUUUUUGAAAAUCAAAAAACAUGCAAAAAACAGCAACUGACACUAGGCGUUGAGUUAAUAGGUUAGUUCCCAAAAAUGAUAUAAAAUUUCAUAUAAAGUAUAUAAGAUUGAUAAUAUAAUAGCGUGAAACAAUCAAAAAUUGUAGAUAUGUUGGAGAUGUAUUAAUGGUGGAGCUCCGAGGUCGUGGUGGUGGCGCCUAAUGGAGGUGUGUCGGCACUCUGCAUCAAGGUCUAGCGUGGUGUGGCAGCUCUAGCCAGCGACCCGCGAGGCAUCUCAUCCUACUGCGGCUAUGAGGAUGCAAGAUUUGACCGCGGGGUUGCAAAUGCAUGGAUGUGUUGACCAGAGGAUUUCGAGGGUUGGGUGAAAACCCGUUUAUGGCCAUGGCUGGAGCCUAUGACGGCAACUUCGGUGGACGUCGUAACCUUCUUGAAGGCGUCGACUGGAUGCUCUCUCUUCCUAUGCGAGGGACAACUCCGGGGGAGACUCCAAACCCGACGGUUGGUUGUUGGCGGCGUGUUAAUGACGUUCCCCUCUCGAGGGCAUCAAUUUUGAAGGUUAAUCCGGUUAGAGGGGCCAGUGGGUGUGUUGGGAGGUUGGGCGAUGGAAGGCGUUGUUGUGGCGUCGAGACUUCUGUGGCCAGAUGAUUGGGCAAGUGAAAUCAAAGGCAUUGCGGUGGUUUCGGUAGUCGGCUCUUCUCCGACGUAUCCGUGUGAUUAACUUGAUUUGUUUAUUGCGGUGAAGUCGGAGCUGCGGCGGCAGGCCCCCUGUGGCAACGAGGACAGGCAUCAGGUGGUCUGUUCGGUGGUCUUCCAUGGUGCCAACCUGACAUAGUUCUUCUUUGGAUCUCUCCUUCAGAGUCGGAGCUGCGCUACCCUCGAUGCGGGUGGCUGAGUUCUGGCACAGAUCUUCAUGUGUUUCUACAUGGCCUCUGCGGUGAGGGUUGGGUCUGUGUUCGUCCACAGCAAAGUCAAAGUCGCUUGCUCAGCAAUUAGGGAUGGCAAUGACGCCUUCUAGGGGAUAAGUGAUGAUGAUGACGCAUGUGUGCUAGCUCGGCGAGACACACUCUGUAAAGGUGUGCGGGGAUGUCUGUGUGUGUGUCGAACAGCAGUUUAUGAUGAUUUUCGCUGGUCCUUCGCUAAUUAAUAGGCAAUUCUUUUUUCUUAAUUAAUGGGGAGGCAAAUUUUUUGCCUUUGUUUUUUUCUUUAAAAAAGUUCAAAAUGGACCGCCCGGUUAAAAGAAUGAAAAAUAAUAAUCAGGAGAGUCGAACAACUUGCAUAUAUAUAUCCGGUUGAUUACGUGCCCCUAUGAGAUACAUUGAGAAGAGAACAAGAGAGAUGACGACAUGAUUGGCAUCAUCAGCUGCUAGUGCAUCCCAUUUUAUUAUACGGUUGAUCGUUGUCUGGGCAUAUAUACACCGUAUUUUCACACGCGCAUCGCUGGAUUCAUGGAUGGACAUAAGGAGAGCUAGCAAGACGUGCCGUUGCAACCGCGUCAACAUAGCAAAUCUGAUAUGUAUAUCCUCCUCGUCUCAUGUUCAAGGGUUUUCUAACGCGCAUGUGCGUGUUAACCUACUGUUUGCUAUCACCGUCGGCACAAUUGCAACGGGAGACGCGGACGCGUACAGGUAAACAAGGUUUAACACACUUCGAAAAUUCAGUGCAGGCUGUUGCUAGUAGUCAAUCUAGAAACCUGGCAAUUAGCAGUUUGAAGAGUCUGAUAAGCUGAUGCGGUGCUGUGCUACUCCGGCGAUUUUCGCCUACUCAAAUCUAGAAACACUCCUCCAUCCAAAAAUGCUCUAGCCAUGUAAUCUAGUACUGCCUCCAUCCCAAAAUGUUAGAUUGUUUUUUACACUAAUGAUCUUAUAUUUUGAUGCGGAGGAAAUAUAGAAUAUGAGAGGACGCGGCAAUCUAUUUCUAUGAUUUUUUAUUCAUGUGUUUUAAAGAAUCCUACGAAUUAAAGAGGUCCUAAAAAUUCUAACAACAUCCACAACACCGCCGGCCCAUGGUGGCUCUAGGACCAUGGGGCGUGUUGGAUCCCGGUCCUCGCAGGUGGGAGGACUUCUUUAGACAUUUCUUCGAGUUUUGUUAGGGCUCGUGUCCUGCUCAGGAAGACGGGACGACGGCGGCUCUUUGAAGAUGGAAUAAGGUUCUCUCCGCCUAGCACUCGUCCCAGUGGUGCGCCCAGUAUCGUCGGUAGGCGUGUGGAGAUGUGUCUCCAGCGGAUCUGUCCAUGGUGGAUUUGCUUGGAUCUUCAGGUUAAAUCCUUCUAAUCAACGCUACUAUUCAACGGCGGCGGUUGUUGUUCUGGUCCUAUGAGGCCUUAGGACAAAGACUUCCCGACUGUCUACUACAACAAAUUUUGUCCGGUUCCGGCGUGGGAGGGGUGAUGAUGGCGGCGUAUCUUUGGCUUGCUUCAGUGCUUGUAGUCAUCGUUAGAAGGUCUACGAACUGGAUGUAAUUUUUAUUAUUUCUAACGUUCGUCGUAGUGCCAUGAUUGGAGAUAAAUAAAUCAAGAGUUUUCCUGCAAAAAAAUUACAUUCAUCAUGAAACAUUUUUGUACCACAUAUAUUAUAUUCCUUCCGUUCCUAAAUAUAAAUCUUGUUAAAGAUUCCAAUAUAAACUACAUACGAAGCAAAAUAAGUGAAUUUACAAUCUGAAAUAUGUUUAUAUACAUCCAUAUGUAGUUCACAUUAAAAUCUCUAAAAUAACUUAUAUUUAGAAACGGAAAAAGUAUAUUGUAGGUAUUCAGAUAUAGUUUUCAAAUAUACAUGAGUUUUCUAGAGCCUGAAUACAGGGAGAAGUUUUCCCAUGCUAGUCCGCAACGAUCACAUCGUAUGUUCCUCAAGCUGGGUGGCGAAGCACCCUAGCUACCUUUCUAUGAGGCCAAUUCCAACGCACGAUCCCAAAUGGUCCGGCUGCGUCCAUUUGGGCGCAAACGGACAGAACAGAUGGCCCAACGCGCGGGAGCAAACGGACCAAUGUCCAUUUUCGGCCUCUUUCGACCCAUUUCCGGCUUAACUUUGGACCGCGUUUGCAGCCGAACGGAGACGCGCGUACGGUGCGUGGAGCAUGUCCAUGUCCUCCCUUGACCCGCUCGUCCCGGACACUACAAAAAAAGAUGCAUCCAUGACAUUUUGGGCUGAACGGAUUUUUUUCCUGUCGUGCUUAUGACACUUCCAUGACGAUAAUUGUGCCAAAACCCGUUAUCAUCGUAGGUGUGGUGGGCUCCUACUUCUAUGACAAAAAAUCAUACAGAGAAUGGGCUUUUCGUCCUGGGCGGGUUCGGAAACGCAGCUACAUGACAUUCUUUGGGCCGUCCAUGACGGAAAACACCGUGGUAGAAGCGAGGGCGAGGAAAAUAUCAGGGAGUUCCCGGUUACAGUGGGUGGUCGGGGGCCAAGCGAUGCGCGUUUCUCUCGUACACGUAAGCGCGUAGGUGCGAGGCGUUAGGCUCUAACUGAACCCGAGCGAGGCGCUCGCCUACUAAACCCGAGCGAUUGCACUGUAGGCUAUGCGUAACUGAACCCGAGCGAUCAAUCGAUUUUGCUGUUAACUGAAGCCGAUCGAGCGAUUCCUUCGCUACUGCUGCUAACUGAAGCCGAUCGAACAUGCUGCCUCUUGAUGAACAGUGAGCGUUGUUGGGGGGUUGGAUGAACAGUUCCCGGUGGGGGGUUGGAUGAACAGGACCCCGUGGUAGUAGAGGCUGUUGCCGCUGGAUGAACAGGACCCCGAUCGAGCCGGUUGGGGGUGGAUGAAUAGGACCCGUGGAGGGCUGGAUGAACAGUAGCCCGUGGAGGGGUGGUUGAACAGGACCCCGUGGAGAGGGUUAGUUGAACAGUAGGCGGUGGAGGAGCGGUGGAGGCUGGAUGAACAGAAGCCCAUGGAUGAAUAGUCGCAGGUGGAGGCUGGAGGAGGUCGACGAUGGAUGAACAGUAGCCCGUGGAGACUGGAGGAGGUCAACGGUGGAGAUGAACAGUAGCCCAUGGAGUCCUGUUUUGCGGUACGCUACACCCCUCCUGAUGAACAGGACUCCCGUUUCGACCGUAGCGCUCUAACACAUGUCUGUUUCCUCCAUUUUGCGGUACGCCACACCCCUCCCGAUCAACAGGACCCCGUUUCAACCGCAGGCACUCAAACACAAGUCCAUUUCCUCUAUUUCGCGGUACGCCAGAUGUCGGCAUUUUGGGAACGGGGGUCCCCACACUUGCCUGCCUACGGCCUGCUGCGUGGCUCAACCAGUGGCCCAGUACGGCCCGUCUUCAUCGACCAACCACUCAAGACCCUUGCGAGGGGCCAAGCCUCGCGGGGCAGACGACGCAAGGCCUCCUCAGGAGUGGCCUCAUCAGGCAGGCUCACGAGGAGGUGGAGAGAUCAAGGCAAGGGGUACCUCGCGAGGUUCCCCUGACGCAAGCCAUGACGAUCAAGACCAGGCGGGCGCCAGCCCACGCAGUGUCCUCGUUUCCCCUUUGGUGCUAAGGGGGCAAGCACAGGCGCGGAGUACCGAGGCACCAGGCAAAGGUUUCCAUAUCGAUGCAACAAGACCAAGACCAGCAGGACGGCAGGACGGAGGUCACCGUGGAGCCCAAGACAGCGUCAUCACCAGCGCCUUUGGCAGGCGAAGACCACCUUUAGUCUGGAUAGCUUGUACUAGUUGUCCCCUUUCAAAAUGGCCUUUGUUGGAUCCCUUCCUGCUCAAUAUUUGGGAAGAGGACCAGGGCCUCUAUAAAUAGGGCUAGCCACCACAGUAGAGGGACAUCUAAUCCAAGGGCGACGGAUCGAAUCCUUCCAAAGCAGAGCACCACACCAGCUCAAGAACACCUCUCCUCACGAGGCCGUUCUUCCCUUGUACUGUUCAUCAUCAGCACAAGAGGCAAUCCACCAUCACACACAGGAGUAGGGUAUUACACCAAAACGGUGGCCCGAACCUGUAUAAAUCUUGUGUCUCUUGUGUUGUGAGUUCAUCGUGUUAGCUUAGAGAUCGCGGCGAGGCUGAGGGCGUGUUUCGGUAGGGAGAAAUCUUCAUGCGCACCCCUGUGUUCGAACCUUAAGGACGGGACUGAGCUCACUCAAGGGCCGGGACCUAAGGACGUAGAGCAUGAAGGAGAGUGUGGGGAAAAAAGGAAAAGCUCGCGAGGGCCUAACCUAGCUGCGCCACAGCUGCCGAUGCGCAAAUCAGGCGCAACGCAAAGGAACGACUCCAGACUACGGAGAUAAGUCUUGCGCUUGGAACAACUAAUCGUUGCAACGCAAAAUUUUCACUUGUUGUGGCUCUGUAAUGGCAACGUUGCCUUCCUUUAUCACCUCUAGGCGGCUGCUUGCACGCUAAAGGGGACCUCCUGAGCAUUGCGCCUCAGGGGCUCUUACUGGACCUCGGGCCGCUCACCUCCUGGCCUUGACCACGGCAUCACGACCUGGCAUACCAGCGACGGCUGCAGCCUGCCUGGGGACCGGGACCUGUCAGCAUAGAGCACCAAGUCGUCGCGAGGUUAGAAAGGGGGAACCAAGCCGGGACAGAACGAGCGCUCACAUGAUUUCAUAAUAAGGAUAACAUCAACAGAGGACAUCGCAGACCCUUUACACGCCCCCGCGGUGUGUUUUCUCGAUUCCUCGCAGGGAACAAAGGACGAGAAUCCUAAGGAGCCCUAACUACCCGCGCCUCCAUGGCCGACGCCAUCAUCAACAGUGGGCCACAAGAGACCGGCGCCAACCCCAUCCACAUCAGCCGCAACGAUGUCCUAAUGCUGCCGCCCUGCCCCGAGCAUAGCGCGAGCUCGGGGGCACGUAGCUAUCGUCGCUCGUAUUCAGAGUCUCGAAGAGCACAGAAGAGUCGCUGCCGCUGCCGAAGGAGCCUUUGGGGGAGCGAACGGCAGGCCCAGCUCCUGCCGCGACGAUCUCCCAACUGCCCCCUCCGGGGCAGCAUUCCAGGCGGUGGCCUUCCGCGUUAAAGACAUUGAAGAACAACAUGGAGGCGCCGUCGUACUCGAAAUGGAUCACGAGGGCGCCUCCUGUUCAGCAGGCCCGGGAGACCUCGCCCCAGCCUCGGGUCAUGAAUACCUUCCCGGGGCAACGACUUCAACCUCCGCUCCGGUCGCUAGAGCGCUGCAGCUGGUGUGCUGCAGCCAAAGCUUGAGAGGCCCCCUCAGCGGCAUCUCGGUGGCGAAGAACGAAGGGAAGCGGAUCCAGGUGCUUGGAGGCAUCACCGCAUGCAGCACGAGCUCGCGAGAGGAGUCCGCAGCGUGGACUCCAGGAGCGACGGCGCGCGCCGCCACGGCUCGUCGACCUCGCCUGCGGCGUGGGCGGCGUCGCUCGCCAUCCGUUUCUCCGGAGCCCUCGGCUUGGGCGUACAGGGGUAGCGGGAACCCAGGAGGUGGUCGCUCGCACCAAGGCCUCGUCAUCUCCAGCCUCGCAAUCUCGUCGCGGUGGCGGUGGGCCGGCCUCUUAUUCGGCGGGAGCAGAUCAGGUCCCUCCCGGGGAGCCUUCCCCUUCUCUUCGGCCAAGAAUCUACGGAUCGGUGCCAUUGGCAUGAAGAAUGGCGAUGGAGCAAGGGAGAAGAAGCAGGCGGAGCAAGAAGAGAUGGGCAACGGGGGCUCUCACCCCUCCUCAUUUAUAUUCCUAGGCAGGCCAACCGUCUACCUCCACGAUCGCAGGUAAUGAUGACUCUUUUUGCAUGCAGCAGGAACUCGUCAAAUCGGGCAGUUGCCGAGGCAGCAUGGGAAAGCGGAGACGCCCACGCCCAAUCAGUCGCCAUGCGUCAACCAAGGCCGCAGGCUGUUGGGGCCCGCGGUGCUCCGCACUUGCCCUUUGGCUUCGCUGCUAAGCCAAGUCCGAGCAUGCCUUGGGCCCGGGGGCUACUGUCGGCGUUCUGGGAACGGGGGUCCCCAAACUUGCCUGCCUAUGGCCUGCUGCGUGGCUCAACUAGUGGCCCAGUACGACCCGUUUUCAUCGACCAAACACUCAAGACCCUCGCGAGGGGCCAAGCCUCACAGGGCGGACGACGCAAGGCCUCCUUAGCAGUGGCCUCACCAGGCAGGCUCACGAGGAGGUGGAGAGAUCAAGGCAAGGGGUACCUCACGAGGUUCCCGAGAUGCAAGCCAUGACGAUCAAGACCAGGCGGGCGCCAGCCCGCGCAGUGUCGUCGUUUCCCCUUUGGUGCUAAGGGGGCAAGCGCAAGAGCGGAGUACCGAGGCAUCAGGCAAAGGUUUCCAUAUCAGUGCAACAAAACCAAGACUAGCAGGACGGAGGACAGCGUGGAGCCCAAGACAUCAUCAUCACCAGCUCCUUUGGCAGGCGAAGACCACCUUUAGUCAGGAUAGCUUGUACUAGCUGUCCCCUUUCAAAAUGGCCGUUGUCGGCUCCCUUCCCGCUCAAUAUUUGGGAAGAGGACCAGGGCCUCUAUAAAUAGGGCUAGCCAUCACAGUAGAGGGACAUCUGAUCCAAGGGCGAUGGAUCGAAUCCUUCCAAAGUAGAACACCACACCAGCUCAAGAACACCUCUCCUCGCGAGGCCGUUCUUCCCUUGUACUGUUCAUCAUCAUCCCAAGAGGCAAUCCACCACCACACACAGGAGUAGGGUAUUACACCACAACGGUGGCCCGAACCUGUAUAAAUCUUGUGUCUCUUGUGGUGUGAGUUCAUCGUGUUAGCUUAGAGAUCGCAGCGAGGCUGAGGGCGUGUUUCGGUAGGGAGAAAUCUUCGUGCGCACCCUAGUGUUCGAACCUUAAGGGUUUUGCCGGAACCCGAUAUCCGACACCAGACCCCUCCCGAUGAAUAGGAUCCUGUUUCGACCAUAGGCGGUCGAACACAAGGUCGUUUCCUCCGUUCUGCGGUACGCUAGGCCUUGUUUCGAUUGGCUGUUCCAUCCAAGCCGGUUGCCUCCCGAUUAACACGACGACGCAGUUUCUCCAUUGCGACCCAGCCGGUUGGCUACCGAUGAAUAGGACACCAUCGCUGCCUCUCCAUGUACACGAGCCCUGGCCGUACAUAUGCGCGAGUAGGCGUUCGAGACCCCGCCCGUAUGUACGCAUGUGGCUGUAUUUACUUUCUUGCACCUUGGCUGUACGUACAUGCACAUGCUACGUGCGCGCUUCUACUACGACACGUGCCCUUCCUUACUCGGCCACGGUUCAUUGCUGCACCCUUCAGGCAGACCGAUCGACCAGUAUGUACAUACAUGUUCGCGACCAGAAUGGCAACGCUACGUAUGCUUCGACCAGGUGGGUCCCGACUGUCAGGCACUUCCUUGCAUGCGAAGAUGUAGCUUGUGGGUCCUAGCAGUCAGGGGGGAAACGUUUUUUAAGUGAAAUACGGUGGCCCGUCUGGUGGGUCCCUGCUAUCAGGUGGAGGAAUCAUUAGUUUGCGCGUAAUAAGGAGGCACUUGCUUGCUGUGGCCGUGGACCCAGCUGUCAGCCUUUCCAUGUACAGUACUCUUCCAAUGGAAGUCGUUGCUUGACCACAUUGACCACGCCGCACCGAGAGCACCAAGGCGGUGGACGACGGCGAGGCCUAGGAAGGGGACGACGCGGAGCGGGGAAGAUGCGGCAGUGGAUGCCCACGUGGAGAGGAGAACGAGGGUUCACUGGUUCGGCUGCGGUGUGAGUAGAUGGAUAGCCUGGCUAGCGGUGGGAGUAGUGGGGGGCGGUGAGGACUCCACGGCAGCACAGCCGACCAUGGGAGGCAGGAGUAGGCGGCACGACCGGCGCUGGUUUGGGCGGCUGGAGCAAGAAGACCAGAGGUUGAAGAAGAACUACGGCUGUUGGAUGAACAUUGUACGGUCAGUAGAGGUAGAAUCAUUCAUAUUAACUAAGUUGACAAAGCCCUCCGCCCGCGUCAACUUAGUAGGCCCACAAGUCAGCCUCCGAACUGGUGCGCCCCAGAUGUCAGUGGGAGGAAUCAUUUUUUUCCCGUAAUAAGGAGGCAGUUGAUUGCGUGCGGCCAUGCCAGUGGAGGGAGUAGGGUGGGCCGGUGAAGCCUGUGCGGCAUCACAGCGGGCCACAAGAGGAGGGAGCAGGCAGUCCCGUCGGCGCUGGUUUAGGUGGCUGGAGCAGGAAGAUCGAAGAUUGAAGAAGCACGUCGGCCGUUGGAUGAACAUCCAACAGUCAGUGCUGCUAGAAUCGUGUGUUGACCGACAAAGCCUUGCGUAACAAAGCCAGCCUCGAAAACUAUGGCGUGUACAACCCAUUUGUUAUUAUUUUUAUAAUUUUUACUCAUUUUCUAAUUCAAAUGGAAUUUAUUGCAGCCCAUUUUCCAUUUUUAGAAUUGCCGCCCAUUUUUUGGUCAGUGCCAGGGUUAAAAAAUUGAACUAAAAAAUGUGCGAAAUUUUAAAAUUUUGCAUAUUUUUGCUGGGAACAAAAUAUUCUUAAUCCAAAAAUUAGUAGCCAUACUAAAACAAAUUUAAAAAUAAAUUAGUACUAUAUCAUGUUAAAAUCCAAUGAAAUAUAAAAUAUCCGUGAAGAACAAAAACAAAAAAGAAACUAAUUGCCCAUUUGCUAUAAUUUUUUUGGAAUUUGCAACCCCUUUGAUAUUACUUUUAGGAUAUACUGACCAUACUGUUUGGCCAGGCCAGAAUGCAUCCCUCCUCGUCUUGAAAGAUUUGCAGCCCAGUAAGUCGGAGAAAACAAAUAGGCCUAGCUUGGGUAUUCUUCAAAAAGAAAUAGUGGGCUACCUAUUUUCCCAAAGAAAAAACUGUUGGGCUAGUCAUAUUGUUAGGUGGGCCACAGAGACCGCACAACCCAGUUUAUAGCCUGCUCCUCUGAACAAAUCCUCAAAAAAAUGUUGUGCAAUUUUGUCUUGAAUUGAGUAUACGUUGACUACGAUAUGGGUCCCAAAUAUCAAUAGGGUGGAUUAGAGUAAAAAAUGAGGGGUGCAUCUUAGUAGUAAAAGAGGUGCUUGCUUGUGUUCGGGAGUGGACCGGGUGGGUCCGUACUUUCAUACUCACAACUACAGUCCUCUCCCGAUUCACUAUGUUGACAAGGCCGGACGGUGGCACCGCGGCGAGCGCACCAAGGCGGAAGAUAAAGUGUGAUCGCCAAUGUGUUGGCAUGGGUUGGACAUUCUUAUUGAUGGUUGCAGGAACUAUUUACGAUGUUAUUAUGAUUUUCAUGGGUUCGCUGGUUGCAGGAAAAAAUGGUGGGAGAAAGAAGACUGGUCGCUAUCUUUGCCUAAGAAUAAUAUCUACUGAAUGUAACGGCACUAUCAUAGAAAAUAAUGUCCUCCUGUUAAAAUUUGACUUUUCAAAUCAUGAAUUUAAAGAACUCGUGCAUGAACAUUUAGCUUUAUUUAUUUAGUUAUUUAGUUAUUCAUGUUUAGGGGACCAUGAGCAUGUACCUGGGCCGGAUUCAUGUGAGAGCCUCCCUUCUAGUUAAUUAUGGCCUCCUCUAUUGGGCCUUCAUCAAUGAGUUGCAUGUUAUCGACAAGUGGAAAAUGUGUUCCGUACCAAAAAUAGUAUGCGCUAUGUACAGUACGUGGCACUAAAGGAUCAGACUGUGCAAUGACUUCCAAAACAUUGUGUUUGUCGUUCCAAUAACAUAUUUAUUCAACCAACAGAUGAGAUAUACUACUGAUUGUACAUUGAAAACAGCAGCAACAGCAAUCAGGGCUGGGGAUGCAACAGAAGCAGUAAGCAGGCCAGAAGAGCAAAGACGCAGCUCUCUCUUCCAAACCAAACAUGAGCCAUCAUUACAAAAGGGCUACCAAAAAGGAACAAAUGUAUGCAUCAAACUAAAUAAAGAUCCUACUACACUAAGUGUACGCAUCUAACUAACUGGCUCAGUUAGACGUUACUAUUUAUUAAGCUGUGGAGAUUGGCUGACGGCUUGAACCAGAUGGGUGCCUGACGGGGGAAACUCCAGCCAGCAGAUCGAAGUUUGAUACUUGUGACCCUCUCUCCUACUUUGGGCUGCAGAGCGUGGCGGCACAUAUCAAGGUAUGGUGCAUGAAGAGACGCAUGGUACGCUGUGUACACACAGUUUUGCCUGAUGAACGAAACCGUGCUGCCAUCAUGAUCCUUGUCGUCGGUUGUCUCCUGGUUAAUUGGAUAAUUCAGUCCGAGAAAUAGAGAACGUGUACCAAGGCUACUUACUAGCCGCCAGUAAAAAAAUCCUGAAGUCCCAGAGAAGCUGGGAUCCUUCUUAAAGACCUUGUAUUGACUUUGAUUGUAUUCCGCGAAACAACACGUCCUGUACGUGCGAAUGAUCAUCAAUCAUUCGCGGUUGUCUGAUCGAGCCAGGAACCACCUGUAACUGUCAUGUCGCUUUUCUUUGAAAGGUUCUGGGAUUAGGAAGGGUCGGGACACCAGGUGGCCUACAACAUCAUAUCAAGUUGGAGUCAAAUAAAAAAGGGCUCUUACUGUAGUCGAUCUUAAAAACAACAUGUUAUGAGCAUGAAUAUUUUUUAGUAAAUGUUGACAGUAAUAUAAGAAGGCCAUCAUGAUAUCAUAGAAAAGUAACAUACUGCUGUAACAGCCGUUUGUAGCGAUGAGUAGAGUAGGCCAGCAAUAUGUCCAACCAUAGAAGGAGUCGACAUCAUAAAUGAAUCCCUUGUGUUCAAUGACAUCAGAGAACCAUGGAGGAUGUAUGAUCCGAUGGACGUGCAGAUUUAUCCAUUUACCACAGCGACCUGUCAGAUAGGUGAAACCGCGGUUGAAGAACACAAUUAGCCUGAAGUCUUUAUAAUUCACAGAUCUUGUGGGCACUUGGCAGAUUACAACCUUGAGCAAAUCAAACUUGGUAUCAUGUUGUCUACUGUAAGAUUCCGAGUAUUCUGGGCCACGGUGCCAAAGUAGUGCAGUUUUAAUCAAAGGAAGGGGGAUCAAUCGCCGGGUGUAGACCUCCACAAGCAUCCAGCUGCCGCAACCAUCGACGAGCACCAUCCAAGAUGUGUUCAUCCCGACCCGGUACAUACCGUUAAUGUAGUUGAGGGUGACAAGGAUCAGAUCGCAGUCAAGGGGGUUGAUGCUCGCCACCCUACAAUCGUUAUGCUACGUCACAUGCCGUUUCUGAAGAUCAGGCGACAUCAGCAAGCAAGGAGCUCGCUUAAAAAGCUCUGGCCUAAGGGCUUUGACUAAACGGUACAUCCCCACGAGCACGCGGCGAGCGGCAUGGUACUGAGAUUAUCCACUCGCGAAACAAUGAGCUUGAUUACCUCUGUGGGGAGCGAAUUCCAGCCACUCUUUCAGCGGAAGCUGCUCGGUUCUGCCAUUUUUAGUGCUUGGGUUUCAGAAGAGGGGGGAGGCGCCUUAGCGGGGAUGGAAGAAGAUUAGAUGAUCAUGUGCGGACAAAGAUGAAGAAGCGAAUAUGUGCUGUGGGAAGUGGAUAGGUGAUGAUGACUACAGCACGCCGCUUGACUUAUGAGACACAUACCAGCCGCGUAGGGUCAUAUCGAUGCCAGACAACUUGCUUGAGUGAUCACAGUACUAGUACUCCCUACAGUACCUACUACUAUGCCCUAGUUUGCAUAUAGAGUAGUGGAGUAGGACUCUGCUCUACUACUAGCACCGGAGGAGUAGUAUAUUCUAAUCUAAAAUAGUUACAAAUUUCAAUGCCCGAGUGUGGAACGACUAUGAACCGCCAUCGGUGCUUACUCCAAUCCCCAACAAACGUUCGCUGGGACACAUGGUAGUUGCAAAUGCCCGCGACGCAGUUAUAGUGCGUGUGUAAGGGUGGAGGUUUUUCCAAAUACUAUGGCUUAAAAAUAGGGCACCGUCAGAUGGAAAUCUAACGGUUACGUGGGAUUCGCCAGGAUUGAGGUCGUGGCGAACAAUCGCCAGAUAUCAUUACUAAAAAAAGGUUAAAACACCCAGGACUAUAACUUGCACCGGUUAUUAACAUAGUUGUAAAAUGGUCAAAGACCGUGUCUACAUGGUGUUUGGAAUUUAUAUGCAAAAAACUAGCAAGAUGCCCGUGCAUUGCACGGAACAUCAGAUGCAUUUUUUUAAAAAACAUUUGUUGUGAUUGACUCAUGCAGGAGUAAUCCCAUGUGUAAAAACUAAUGAUAUCUCGAGAAUUUUAUCGAAAAAAUGGUAACUUGAAAAUUUCAUCGCAAAAAUGAUAUCUCGAGAAAGAUGAGAGAUAAGGUGAGGAGGAGAGGGGCGUGGUGGUCGGAUUGGGCGGAGGCAUGGGCAUGGACGGCGCCGGCAGCGGCCACCAUGCCAGAUUGUUCUAGAGACUUCCUUUUUUAACCGCUCAACAAUGAGGUUGUGGGAGAUAAGGAUGAACGAGGCAAGGCCUUAUCUGUAAAUGUGGAGAGAUGUGCGGGUAUCUUUUGUAAAAUGGUCAUAGUUUUCUUUCUAUCAGUCAGAUAUAGAUCGGACGGUCUAUAUUACAAGAUGAUAUGCACACCAUCAUCACCAACUCGGCCCCUCGUGCUCCUAGUAGUAGUACUCAAGUUGGAAUUCCAAUUGCACGGCACAAUUUGUUAGGCAAAAAAACGAUACAGGGUGUAGGAAGUGGUUUGGGAAUUUGCAUGCCUUCCCGACCAUUGAGAUACUCCGUACAAAGCACUGUUCAAGAUAUCUUCCGAUAUUCCGAUAAAUCGGCCGAUUUAUCGCUUAUCGUGGUCAGACCGAUAAGAUAAAUCGACCGAUAAAUCAACCGAUAUGGCGAUAAAUCGGCCGAUAUGCCGAUAAACUGACCGAUUUACCCCUUAUCGUAGGUCGACCGAUAAGUUCCCGAUAAGCGAUAUCCCCAACAUUGGUACAAAGUAUGAUAGAGAAAUAACCACGGAGAAGGAAGCUAAAAGUAAACAAUCAAACGAGCAUUUUUGCAUUUGUUUUGCAUUGAAUUAUUUCAGAAGCUUGACUAGUGUUGUUUUUCUAAUUUUACAAAAACCGCAUCGUAAUGUUAAAAUGUGCAUUUGCACGUACAUAAGUAAUAGUAGUAGCAAAGUUUGCAAGCAUAGAGAGAGAGACGUAUAGUGCGAUAGUAUAUAGUAAAGUUUGUGCUAUAUGCAUGUACUUACAAAAUGCAUACAAAUACACAAGGUUUCCAAACUUUUCCUUUUACAUAUUUAAUUAAGGAUUCUAAUAAUUCCCGAACAUUCGGGAUUUCUCAUUUGCGUCCCAAAACUAAUGAGAUCGCCUUACGAAAUUAAAUUAUAUUCCUAAUAAAAGCCACGACGCUCGCAGAAGCGCUUGCGGCGCACCACAAGUGCCCUGGUGCGCGGUCGUUUCCAAAUGCGCCGACACAACGCCUAUUCCUCAGCCUGGCAACUCGCGAGGUGCUGAUUGGCGGCUUGCCGGCGGGCGAGCGCGAUCUCAUCGGUGUGGUGAUCCGGCGCCAACAUGUACUCCUCCUCGAUGGAAGCAUGCACCCGGUCCAUGUACCGCCAAGCGUAGAUGAGGCGCUUGGGCCCGAUUGCACUCAGGGCUUUGGCACGGGCUUCCUCCGCCACCCUCACGGCCCUCGCACGAGCCUUCUGCCAAAAAGCCAAUUGCCUGACUCUCUCGGACGCGACAUAGGCCUGCCAGGCAGCAUGCCUUGUGGCGCGCUUCUCUUCCUCGGCCUUCUUCUCCGCCUCUAUUUUGGCGCGCUGUGCCGGAGGCAAAGCCUCCCACAAGGCGACAUCCAUUUCUUUCCAAAGCUCCUCAAGGCUGGGGGGGGGGGCUCGGCGGGCGGCGCGGCAUUCUUGUAACGCCCCUGUUUCGAUGCGCCAGGUGUCUGCCAGUUAUUCGCCAUCCUUGCCAUGUCAUUUGUUUGCGUGUUGCUUUUUGUCAUGUCAUCAUGUGCAUCUCUUUUUGCAUACGUGUUCAUCUCAUGCAUCCGAGCAUUUUCCCCGUUGUCCGUUUUGCAAUCCGGCACUCCUAUGCCCUCCGGUGUUCCCUUUUGUCUCCUGUUGUGAACGGGUGUUAAACAUUCUCGGAAUGGAAAGUGAUUUUCCGAGUGGCCUUGGUAGAGCACCGGUAGACCGCCCGUCAAAUUUCAUUCCAUUUGGAGGUCGUUUGAUGCCCCAAUGUUUAACCGGGUAGCCGCAAAAGCCUCUUUUGUGUGUAGCCCAACACCCCUCCAAAGUGGCCCAUGAGCCCAUCCAUGGUAACUUUGAGUCUCUUUAGGAUAGUAUCGCAUAUUGGGCGUGACAAGUUGGUAUCAGAGCCUCGACCGACCUUCGGAGCCCCCCUUGAUUGGUCGUGUAGUUUGGUCGUUGUCAACUCUAGAAGAAAACUGUUUUCGGAGUCUAGUUAUAUCGGAGAGUAGGAAUUCUUUUUACUCCUCAGCCCCUUCGUCGCUCUGGUGAGGAAUCUUGACGUAGGUGUUUUGAACUACUCCUCUUCCCCGUCAAAUUUUUCUUUAGGAUCACGCAGUUGGUUUUCCGACCGUUGGUUCUCAGCUCUUUGCAUCCGGUGCAUUUCUCGUCAAGUUGACUCGAGCCUCUUCAUCUUUGCCAAGUUCAAUCCUCAGUUGUUUUCUUUUUCCCACCCGACCACCCCUUUUCUUCUCGAAGCCGGAGUCCCUAAUCGAGUAUCCAUCCUACUCGUGCGAAGUCUUUGCAUCCUUUCCUCAAUCAUUUCAACCGGUGUUUUUUUUCUCUUCAAGUAUUUGUCGGUUUCCCCUUCCAAGUUGCCUUUGUUUUUCCCGCCCUCCCACCCUUUUUCUUCCGGAGCCUGAGUCUCUUUCGACCAUCAAUGUCAUUCGUGUGGAGCCUCUUCAGUCUUUCAUCAAUUGUUCCAACCGGUGAAUUCUCUUUUGUUUGACAUUCUUCAUCUCUUUUUCUUUCCGGUGGAUUCAAUUCAAGUUUUUUGGGUUGAUCAUAUUCUUUUCCAUAGCUCAAGUGUUUUCCCUGCUCGUUUGCCUCUCGCCAUUCAAUCAUCCCGGAGUUCGGAAGACAUCUCAGGAGAUUCGUCAGUGUUCCAAUUAAUUCGAGGUGGUCACCUCAUUCAAAUAUUUCAAUUGUUCUGGUGCAUCAACUCCUCUUCAAUCCUUUCCAAUGGUGUUUUCUUUUAGUGGGCCGUAACCCACAGGUCUUUUCCCAGGAUCUUACCUGACUCUUCUAAUUAUUCCGGAGCUAUUCCCAAAUUCUUUUCAAAGUGUGACGUAAGAAUGAAUUUCAUCAGUCACAUGCCUUCUCCAAGAUCGCUUUCAAAAUUCUUUUCAUUGUUGGCUCAACCUUUUCGGUAUUCAUUCUCCCGGAGCAUCUUAACAAAUUUUGGUGGGGUUUCUCGUCGUCAUUUGAAGACAGAAGAAGAGUUUUUCCUCUAAAUCUUAUCCGUUCUCUCGAAGUUUCGUGGUUCUAGCUUCAUGUUAUCCUCUCAAAUUAUUCCAUUUGUCAGAUAUUCCUUUUCUUACCCAUCUGGAGUAUGUCAGAAGUUCUUUUCCCAUUUCUUUUCACCAGAGGCCAUCAUUCCAGAAGAAUUCUUUGUCCUCACAUUUCAGCUACCGUUAUCCAAUUAUCCCGGUGCUUCGUUCAAGUGUUCUUUAAUCAGCUCAUGAUCUCUUUGUUCUUUUGCAUCUAAAUCCCCUCUAGUAUAUUGGUUCUUCUAAUUCUUCCCGGUGAUUCAUUCUCUUUCAUCGGUCAUUUUCGAAUUCUUACGGUGGUUCGUCCAAGAUUCUUUUUCCUUGAUUAUCAUAUUAGUUAAUUCGUUCUUUUCAAUCCUACCGGUGAUUCAUGAAGACUUUCUCAAGUUUUGUGCUAUACUCUCCUUAAUCCUUUUCAAGAAGAAUAAGUAGUAUGUAAAAUCCGUUGCUUGUCAUCAAUUUAAUUUGAUGAAGGAUAAGCAUACAAUAAAUCUUAUUCUUAUUUCAUCCAAGUAAGUAAUCCCUUUCUUCGGAGUUUGUUCUUGUGAAUAAAUUCUAGUUCCAAGUGUUUUCAUCUUUUCUUUUCCGGAGUUCAAAUUUCCUCGGCCAUUUCGUCGGAACCUCCAUCUAAAUCACCGCAAGCCUCAUCUUAUUCUUUCUUCCUUCAUUCUAUCUCAUCAUAUUUUUGUCACCGGAGUUCUUCAUGGUGGUUCUUCAUGAUUUAAUUCAUUCUUCAAGAGUUCAUCAAGAUUCUUGUUGGUGGAGUUCAAGUAUCUUUUCUUCUCACGUCUCAAAGUGCAAUUAAUUCUCCGUAUUCUUUUAAAGUGGAGUUUUGCAUUUCUUCGUUCUUCUCGGCUAUUUAAUCCUUUUCGCUUGUGGUCGGAGAUCACCUCAUAAUUUUGAAAUGUUAUCUAUAAGUCCACAACAAGCAAUUCUUCUGUUGUUGAUUUCUCAACAACUUCGUUCAAUCUUCUCUUCAUAAGGAUACUUUUCAAAGUCAUUUGUGGUAGAAGCUGCCUUCUUCUUCUUCGUUCCUUUUCAUUCCACUAUUUCAAUUCUUCUGGAGGCAUUGUGUUGUUCCUCUCGGCAAGUAUAAUUCCAUCUUCUCAAGUUCAUGUUCUAUUCUUUCCCUUGUUCAGCCAGAGUGUUUCCUAAAUCCUUUUAGUCUUAUUCGUUUCUUAUCUCAUUCUAACAUGAGUGGUUUCAUAGUCUAUUUGAUUCCGUGAGCUUUCGAUUCUCGUCAUUCUCGUCGUUCCUCUCUUCUUCUCGAGUGCUCUCGAUUCUUUGCUUCUUCUCUUGAGUUCUUGUUUCACUCAUCCCUUUUCCCUUCCGUCUCGGUCCUAAGAUCUCGGGACGAGAUCUCUUGUUAGUGGAGGAUUGUUGUAACGCCCCGGUUUCGAUGCGCCAGGUGUCUGCCAGUUAUUCGCCGUCCUUGCCAUGUCAUUUGUUUGCGUGUUGCUUUUUGUCGUGUCAUCAUGUGCAUCUCUUUUUGCAUACGUGUUUGUCUCAUGCAUCCGAGCAUUUUCCCCGUUGUCCGUUUUGCAAUCCGGCACUCCUAUGCCCUCCGGCGUUCCCUUUUGUCUCCUGUUGUGAGCGGGUGUUAAACAUUCUCGGAAUAGACCGUGAUUUUCCGAGUGGCCUUGCUAUAGCACCGGUAGACCGCCCGUCAAAUUUCGUUCCAUUUGGAGGUCGUUUGAUGCCCCAACGGUUAACCGGGUAGCCGCAAAAGCCUCUUUUGUGUGCAUCCCAACACCCCUCCAAAGUGGCCCAUGAGCCCAUCCAAACCCCCUCCAUGCUCUCGAUCGUUCGAUCACGAUCGAGUGGCCGAAAACCGCUCCUCAUUUGGACUCUCCUAGCUCCCAGAAUCUAUAAAUAAGUCCCCUCCCCCGAAAUUCGCGGUGCAAACCCUAGCGUCUUCCUCCUCGCGCCGCCGGACACAUCCGUCCGUGCCGGACAUGUCCGCCGAACACGUCGCUCCGGCCAACCACAAGUCGACACAUCAUCGCCGCCGCCUCCCGCUCCAACCCCGUCUCGCCACCUGUCCCGCCGCUCCUCCGCACCGCGCCAGGCCCACCGGGCCCGGAUCGGGCCCGCGGGGCCCAUCCCGCCACCGCGGGCGCUGCCCCNNNNNNNNNNNNNNNNNNNNNNNNNNNNNNNNNNNNNNNNNNNNNNNNNNNNNNNNNNNNNNNNNNNNNNNNNNNNNNNNNNNNNNNNNNNNNNNNNNNNNNNNNNNNNNNNNNNNNNNNNNNNNNNNNNNNNNNNNNNNNNNNNNNNNNNNNNNNNNNNNNNNNNNNNNNNNNNNNNNNNNNNNNNNNNNNNNNNNNNNNNNNNNNNNNNNNNNNNNNNNNNNNNNNNNNNNNNNNNNNNNNNNNNNNNNNNNNNNNNNNNNNNNNNNNNNNNNNNNNNNNNNNNNNNNNNNNNNNNNNNNNNNNNNNNNNNNNNNNNNNNNNNNNNNNNNNNNNNNNNNNNNNNNNNNNNNNNNNNNNNNNNNNNNNNNNNNNNNNNNNNNNNNNNNNNNNNNNNNNNNNNNNNNNNNNNNNNGUCGCCGGUCCUUGUCCCCGCCGCCAGCGCCUCCCGCUCGCGCCCGGGUGCCCCGCGCCGCCGGAGCCCAUCGGGCUCGCCGGAGCACGCCGGCGCCGCCCCGCCGCUUCACUCUGGAGCUUGCCUCCCCGCGCCUCGCCGGAGCUUCUCACCGCCGGGAACGGGAUCCCCGGGUCCGGAUCCGGCCAGAUCCGGCCACCCCUGGCCUCCUCCGCCCUUCCCCGUGCCUCGCCGGACUGCCCCGACCCACCGGAGCCACUGCCGCCCGCAUUGACUUCGCCCCCCUCUCGAGGUUGAUUUCUGCCAAGUCCCCAAAAACUCAUAAAAUGUUGCAUUCUUUGACCUGCUGUAACUUCAUGUGUGUGGCUCCGUUUGCUGAGUGUAAUAUGUCAAAAUGUUCUUUGUGAGAUGCUAUUCAUUUCAUUCCAUUAUGCCAUGCUUGUUUGAGUCCAUCUUGAUGCCCAAAUCAUCGUCGCAAGAGUGCUAUAUGAUGUUAAUCUGCUGAAACUGUUAUAACUUGAUGAUUGGUCAUUUUUGUUGAAUUUGAUGUGUGCAUCUUAUGAGCUUGAGCCCUACAUGUGUUUUGAGAUACAUCAUGCCAUCUUUACAGUGGUGUCAUCCAUGUAUUUUUGUGAGCCUUGUAGUGAGUGCAUUGAGCUCGUGAAGUAGGGUACUUGCUGUUGCUGGUUUGCUAGGUUGAUUCUGUUAUAUUAUGAGGCUAUGUUAACCUGCUGCUAAAAGUCAUUCUAUGCAUAAUCUGGAGAUGUUCACUAAGGAUGUUUUGUUAUACAUGUCAUGCUCUAUCCAUUCAUGCCCCUAGUUGCAUUUAUAGCCUGCUGUAACUUGUUGUUAUCUUGCUCCAAACUUGCUAAAUAAUGUUGCUGUCACACUGUUAACUUUAAGUUCAAUGUUGCCAUGAUUGUUGUUAGUAAUCCAAGCAUGCUAUGAACUUGCUAUUGCCAUGUAUAGCUUCAUAAAUAUGCCAUCUUGCUGUUGGUCACCUUGGCAUGCCAUGUAAUUCUCUGUGGUGAGUGGUAUAAGCUCACCAACAUGCCUACUUAUUGUUGUUCCUGCCAUGUCUAAGUCUGUCAUAUUACUUGCUAUGUUUACAUGGGUUCCAUCAUAUCGUCUGUGCCUUUUUGGCUCAUGUUCAGUAAGGGACUUUCGUUCUAUGCUUUGAGUAGAAUCAUGCCAUGCUCUAGUUUGCCAUGAUAAGUUCUUGUAACAUGUUGUUUGAUAGCUCUAAACAUUGCAAGCUGAUGUUAUUUUCUGCUAACUCUGAAAUUGUUAUUAUUUGCAAUCUUGCCAUGUCCUUUUGAGCAUGUUCUAGUAGUUUCUGCAGAUGGAUCAGUGUUCAUGUUUUGUCAUGCUUUACCUGUACUUUAUGCCCAUGCCUUUUGUUAUUACGUUGAGAUACUGUAGCAUAUUGUUUUGAUGCUUGCAAUAUGCCUAGUUGCUGUUUUGGACAGCUUGUCCUUUAAACUUGUAUAGAGUGUAUGUGUUGAACCGUUGCUCCGUUUUGGGUGUGCUCUAUAUGAAACUUGCUUAGAUUUGCAUGUAGUUUCAUAUUAUCAUGUUGCAUCCUUGUCUUGAGGUGUUUGCUUGAUGUUUGGAUGCAUUUAGCAUCAAUGCCAUGUUUGACUUGUUUUGCUCAUAUCUUCUAGGCCAUAGCUCCGAAUUAAAUGAACUUUAUAUGUAACUUGACUAGAAUCUCGUGUAGAUCAUCUUGGUGCAUCUUAACUUGCUGUUUAACAACUUGAACAUAAGGUUUAUUCAGAUCUGUACCAACUUUGAAACUUGCAUAUGAGGACUUACCGGAAUUGUUAUAUGUUGUUUCCGGCCUCAUUUAACCUUGCUUUGAUGUGUUGUUCUUGUAUGCAUCAUCUCUUGCCAUGAGUAGUCUCAUCUAGAUUUGUCAUGCAUCAUGCUUGUUAUGCAUCAUGUCUUGUCUAUGUUUGGUGUGUUUACCAUGUUGUGUGCUUCUUCUCGAUAGUUCAUGUUUCAUUGCGAUUGUGAGGAUUCGUUCGUCUACGCUUGGUUCGUCUUCGUGGCUUCAUCUUCUUCAUGGACUCGUUCUUCUUCCUAGUGUGAUUUCAGGCAAGAUGACCGCUACCCUGGAUCUCACUACUAUCAUUGCUAUGCUAGUUGCUUUGUUCUAUCGCUUUGCUGCGCUACCUAUCACUUGCUCUUCAAGCCUCCCAAUUUGCCAUGUCAGCCUCUAACCUUUUCACCCUUCCUAGCAAACCGUUGCUUUGAUAUGUUACCGCUUUUGGCUCAACCCCUCUUAUAGCGUUGUUAGUUGCAGGUGCAGUUGAAGAUUGCUCCAUGGUGGACAGGAUUAUGUUGGGAUAUCACAAUAUCUCUUAUUUAAUUAAUGCAUCUAUAUACUUGGUAAAGGGUGGAAGGCUCGGCCUUAUGUCUGGUGUUUUGUUCCACUCUUGCUGCCCUAGUUUCCGUCAUACCGGUGUUAUGUUCCCGGAUUUUGCGUUCCUUACGCGGUUGGGUGAUUUAUGGGACCCCCUUGACAGUUCGCUUUGAAUAGAACUCCUCCAGCAAGGCCCAACCUUGGUUUUACCAUUUGCCUCACCACCACCUAUACCCUUCCCUUGGGUCGGCCAACCCGAGGGUCAUCUUUAUUUUAGCCCCCCCGGACCAGUGCUUGUCUAAGUGCUGGUCCAAACCGAGUAGACUGCAGGGCCCCCUCGAGGAAACUCGAGGUCUGGUUUUACUCAUAGGAUGUCUCAUCCGGUGUUGCCCUGAGAACAAGAUAUGUGCAGCUCCUAUCGGGAUUGUCGGCACAUCGGGCGGCUUUGCUGGUCUUGUUUUACCAUUGUCGAACUGUCUUGUAAACCGGGAUUCCGAGACUGAUCGGGUCUUCCUGGGAGAAGGAAUAUCCUUUGUUGAUCGUGAGAGCUUAUCAUGGGCGAAGUUGGGACACCCCUGCAGGGUAUUAUCUUUCGAAAGCCGUGCCCGCGGUUAUGUGGCAGAUGGGAAUUUGUUAACGUCCGGUUGUAGAUAACUUGACACCUGAUUCGAAUUAAAACGCAUCAACCGUGUGUGUAGCCGUGAUGGUCUCUUCUCGGCGGAGUCCGGGAAGUGAACACGGUCUUUGGGUUAUGUUUGACGUAAGUAGGAGUUCAGGAUCACCUCUUGAUCAUUACUAGUUAACGACCGUUCCUUUGUUUCUCUUCUCGCUCUUAUUCGCGUAUGUUAGCCACCAUAUAUGCUUAGUCGCUGCUGCAACCUCACCACUUUACCCCUUCCUUACCCAUUAAGCUUUGCUAGUCUUGAUACCCAUGGUAAUGGGAUUGCUGAGUCCUCGUGGCUCACAGAUUACUACAACAACAGUUGCAGGUACAGGUUAUGCGAUGAUCAUGACGCGAGAGUGAUGUUUGCUUGUUUUGGAGUUCUUCUUCUGCUUCUUCUUCGAUCAGGGGAUAGGUUCCAGGUCGGCAGCCUGGGCUAGCAGGGUGGAUGUCGUUUGAGUUUCUGUUUGUGUUUCAUCCCUAGUCGGAUGGUGCUCUUAUGUAAGAUGAUGUUGUAUUUGUGUGGCAUUGUAUGCCUCUUGUAUGUAUCCCCAACUAUUAUGUAAUGUUCAUGUAAUGAUAUCCACCUUGCAAAAGCGUAUCAAUAUGCGGUUCUAUCCUUAGUGGGACCUUCGAAUCUCUUUAGGAUAGUAUCGCAUAUUGGGCGUGACAAUUCUCCUCGUAGCGGGGAGCCGACGCGUCCUUUGACACACGUGCUGGCGAGACUGGGAACACCGAUGUGUCCACCUCAACGCAUCGCGGCGAGGAGCGGAACACCAACACGUCCUCCUCAACUAGUGGCGGCGAGGAAUGGAACGGCGACGUGUGACCGUCCGCUCGGUGCAGCGAGGGGCGCCUAGGCCUUGGGUGGGACGAUGCCAUGGUGGUCGACCUGAGAGGGAGGGGGAGGAGAUAGCGAUGAACAUGAGCAUUCUCCCGAAUGCCAUGGGAGGCACAAUAUUUAUAGCAAGCAAUGGCACACCUAACUAAGAUAUGGACUGAGCUUCACUGACUUAACUGCAGGUGUAGUUGCGUCAUUGACUUGUGGGCCAGAUGCCUGUUAGGCCCACAUGUCAGUGACCCAAUGCACUUGUAGUUGAGUAACUAAAGCAUUGUCCCAUAAGAUAUGUUGCGUGAUUAAUGUAACAACUACGUGGGCAUAUUUGUUGGAGUAAAUUACGGGAGAGGGAAGGUGUGGAAAUAUUGCUGGUCACAACGGAUUGGACGAGUGCGGGGGGAGGAGAGUCAUGCAUGCAGAUUUUUUCCACAUGGGGUGGAGUGGUGGGACUGCCGGAGGGAGAAGGAGAGUCAAGUAGGCGUUCAGAUUUCAAGGUGCACUAAAUUAUUGCACGCGAUGAUUAAGGAUGUCCAUAGUGGUGGUAAUGUGGUAGUAUCUGGUAUCAUGCACACGGGAAUAGCAAACAUGCUGACGUGGCAAAGAAUUAAAGAAGAGAGGGGGGUUCGAGCAACAAAUCUAUAUAGGCCGUCCGAUCUAUAUCUAACGGAUAGGAAGGAAACUAUGACAAUUUACCCGCACUCCUCUCCACAUUUGCAAAUAAGGCCUUCCCUCAUUCAUCCUUUUCUCCCACAAUAUCUUGAUAUUCUGUGCAACGCAUGGACAUCUUUCUAUUGCAUGUAAAAAUCUUUGUCAUUUACUAGUGUUCAUGCAUGCAUGCAAUGCGAUAAUGUAUUGGUAAACACAUUUUUAUGAAGAGCGAGAGCAUUAAUUGAGCAUUUCAUGCAUGCAUGAACACUAGUGAAUGACAAAGAUUUUUACAUGCACUAGCACAUCAAGAUCUUGUGGGAGAAAAGGAUGAACGAGGGAAGGCCUUAUUUGCAAAUGUGGAGAGGGGUGUGAGUAUCUUUUUGCAAAAUUGCCAUAGUUUCCUUCCUAACCGUCGGAUAUAAAUUGGACGGCCUAUAUUGCAGGAUGGCAGGCACACCAUCAUCACCAACUCUGUUUUUAUAAGAGUAGAGAUAAAUAUAAAUAUAAAAUAAAUAUAAGAGUAGAGACAGCAGGGACGUCACGAAAGGAUCGCGCACGCGGGAAAAAGCUGCCGGGCGCGCGUUCGGCGCGCUUUAUAAAAUCCAACGCCCUCCCACCGCUCUGUGCCUUGCCACCUCUCUGUGCCUCGCCACCGCUCUUUGCCCGCUCUUUCUUGCCUUGCCGCAGCCGCGCCACCAUGCUGCCGCGUCGCUGGGAAACUUGGGGAUACCACGGCGUCCGCGUGCGCCCCUCAGAUCCAGUUCCACGGGAUGCGCCUCGGCCUCAGCACUUUUGACACUACCCACAAGGCCGCCCGCGCAUACGACACGGCGGCGUGGUGCCUCCCGUGGCCUCAUAGAACAUUGAACUUCCCCAACGUGCCAACACGGGAGCAGGCAAAGGAGCUCGUGCCUCCGCCGCGGCUUAUCACCGACGAGGAUCGUCAAGACAACCGGAGGCAGGAGCACAAUCUCAGCAUCACCGAGAUGGACGAGGAAGCAAUGGCGCUGUGGCGCCAACACUUCCCGCAGGACAACAUCAACGAGCACGAGUUCUACGCGCAAAGAAGUGCGGAGUGGGAGAAGAGGAGGCAGAGCACGCUGCCUAUCGCGAGGACAAGCGUACGCGGAAAGCGGCCACUCAAUUUAACAUGAGGCUAGGAGCAGCGUCGCCUUGGGACUCUGACGAUUAUCGGUAUCUUGACGCCUACAUUAGACGUCGGAGGAGGACAUCACCGAGGAGGAGGACAUCACCGAGGAGGAGUCAGACGACGAGGAGUAGUUGAUCUAUCUAUUUUCUUAUCUAUCUAUGCUGAGAACUAUCUAUGUCUCUACUCUCUACUCUCUAUCUCUACUUCUCUAUCUCAGCACUCCGGUCCCGCAAAACCUAGCUAUUCCGGCGCUGUAAACGCUUUUUUAACGCGCCGCGUGUUGCGCUUCUGUUGGAGAUGCUCUAACAUGGCAGACGAGUGCUUUAAUGUUGACCACAAGAUGCGUGAGUAUUACUAGUAUAUUUUUCUUACCAUGUUGAUAUUUUAAACCACGGGUGCGAACAUGCAGAGGAGCAAUGAAGACCAAACACGGGAUAUUGGGGACAUCUUCAAGGAGCGUGGCAAGUUAAAGAGGAGCUGCACCAAAGAGGAGCUGCACUAAACACGGGAUAAUGAGAUUUGGUAAGUAACACCCUUUCAAUUACUUUCGUUUAGCCUCGUGUUCUUCGAUGUGUCCAUCUUGUAGCGACCACGAUCCCAAUGGAUCGAAGUCUAUGUGCUUAAGUGUCAACCCUGGAUCAGUAUGCUGACACACACAGUACUCGAGGACUUAUAACAGAGUUCAGUCACACAAUUAUUACAUCGAGGUCCUCAUAAAGAGUAUUUAUUACACAAAUAAUAUGGUUGAAGGCCAUCUAAAUAAAAUAACCGCAGAAACUUCGAAGAUAAAUGAGUCCAUCAACUCCAAUGGCAUAGCUGAGUGCAUGACAACGACCUAUCACACCUUAUUGUUCGUCCGUAAAGUCUACAAUAUGAGAUGUUGCAGCCGUGUAGGUCAGCACAUGGAAUAUGCUGGCAGUGUUACACUGUAUAGCAAUUGAAUGCAAGAAACUAUAUCUACAUGCAUAUUUGGCUGGUGGAGGCUCUAAGUUUAAUGUUUUGCAUAAAGCUAAUUUUUCCCUACAACAAAGGAAUACAUUUUAUUUACUACAAAGUUUAUACCAAUGAUUGAGAAGGUUCCUCCAACUCAAAUCCCAAAAUUAACCAAGUAUUCAUCAUUAAACCCAAUACAUUAAUUAAAGAGUGAUGAGAUCAAUAAUAAUAUCUACCUCUAGAUACUCAAAUUGUCCAUAAUCGGGGACACAGCAAACCAUGAUUAGUUUAUACACUCUGCAGAGGUUACGCACUUUUCCCCAAAAGACUCGACCGCAUCCAUGAUCGGAAGAUCGAGACAUAGUCUUUCUGAAGCAUUAACUCUCUACUCUGGGUAGACCAGUACACCUACUUUCCCCUACAUCUGCUAGUCCACCUCUUCAAGAGCUCACACAACUUACUCAACUAUGCUAGAGCCCAUAAUGGCUUGUGGCUGCACAUGGAAGUUUCUAGGCAUGAAAUAUCAUAUGAUCCCUUUGAGCCUGGGUGGCGAACCGAGGGAAAAUCACACGGGUACUCCGGGAUUCCCAUGGGCAAGCACUGGUUUCUCCAGGUGCCCCAACCAAUCCACCCAGAUGUGUAUUAAAGUUGCCACCUUAAUGUUAUCCAAAAAUUAUUAUCUCUCACAACUUCCAUGAAUCUCAUGAACCAAUCCCCGUCUACGAGCAUGGCUAAGCAUUAUAUGAGCAUAAUGUAUAUUCCCGGGGUGAUCAAAGGUAAUAGGUUCCUACCUCAAGUACUACAACCAAACCACAUGUUCCCAAUCCUACUCAUGCAAAUCUUUGAGGGGCAAAACUAAUGCAUAGUAAAAAAAACUUGGUAUUGAAAAGUAUGAUCAAAGUGUAACUUGCCUUGCUGACGAUCGGAAAACACUAGAGAUUCGUAGUAACAAGCUUCGCACUCCGGAAAAUCUAGCGUAGACAAACAAUAGCAUACAUAAGCAAACAAGCAAACGAUGCAAAGAGAAAAUGAGAAAAGAUCCAAAGAAAACUCAAAAGCAAUCAAAUAAAUAAUCUAAACAGAAAAAAAUUCUAGCAGCAUUAUAAUUAUGUGGAUUAGAUCUUAACAGUGGGUAUAUGUGAUUAGCUACGAUUUGCAAAAAGAAUCAACUAAAACAGAGCUACGAAACUCAAGAUACGAACAAAACAAGAUCAAAUUCAAAUCUGAACUAAACUCAAAUUUUAAAUUGUCAAAAACAUGUUCAAGUUGAUUUACUAGAUAGAUGGGAUCACUCUGAAGAUUUAGGCGUUGGUUUCGUCGAAUUUGAACAAACGAGCAAAAAGUUACGAGGGUUUAAAGAUUAGGGGCUAAUCUGCAAAAAAUAUUCGUGCAUAGGUACCUGGCCGAAAACUAAAAGAAAAAGAAAAAUCUACCGGACGAACGUUCGCCACAGAACCUAAUCUAAUGAAUCUGUUCGUUUCAGAAACUAAAUGAACGAAUGUUCGCUAAAUAAACUAAUAAAAUGAAAUAAACUGAUCUAAAAAGAAAAACCGAAAAAAAUUGAUUGGACCGGUGAUUUAUACCGGUUCGACUGGUUCGAUGGCGGUGGCGGCAAAGUCGACGGCGGCUGGGGCGGCUUGUGCGAGGCAACAACGGCGGCUUGCGGGCGAGGCGAUGGCGGCAGCUUCCAUAGUCGGCGACAGCGAUGACUACGGCAGCGGCGGCGGCGGUGGCGACGGCGGCUUGCGGCGGCGCGGCUAGGCGACGGCAGUGGUGGCAUCAGCUUGGGGUGAGGAGGAGAUGGGCCGGGACGGGCUAUUUAAAGAGGGGGAGGGGAGGCGAGGCCAGCUUGCGGGAGGGGGCAGAGAGGCGGCGGCGCGGUUGGAGUCCGGGUCGGACACGGCCGCCGCCGGCGGCGCUGCUCGGGACUUCGUCCCGGGCGUGAGCGGGAGUGGCGGCUGGCGACUGGGCCGGCUGGGCUGGGUGCGGCCCAGUUCGGUCGGCCCGAACUCUUUUUUUUAAAACAAUUUUUCACAGAGACAAAACUAGCUAAAAUAAAUAUAAAUAAAAUCCUAAAAAUUCUAAAAAAAAAACUCAUGUGGCUAUUUGGCCUUAUUAGUGACCUAAUGAACAUUUUUCUGGGCCUAAAUGCCUAAACUAAAAACAAACAUUAUAGUACUAAUUACUCCGCUAACUAAUAAAUAAACUAGCAAAUAAAAUCAAAUAAACUCUCCAAAAAUUCAAAAUUCGUUUUCCAAUAUUUCUUUGCUGAUUUUGAAGAAGUCAUAUUAUCUUCUCUCUUUAUUUUACAACAAUUGGAAAAGAAUUUUGGAAAACAAUUUGAUCCAAUACCAAAUUUUGAUCAAAAUUGGAUUUUUGUGAAACCUCCAACUCUCUCAAAUUGGUCCUUGAGUUGCAUCAGGCCUCUUGGAUCAAAAUGCAACUAAAACAGAGCAACAAAAUGCAUAAAUCACGGAUGCAUAUGAAUGAUCUAUGAAUAACAUCCAAAUUGAAAAUUGGGAUGUUACAAACCUACCCCCCUUAAGAUGAAUCUCAUCCUCGAGAUUCGGGUUGGCCAAAAAAAAGGUGUGGGUGGUCCUUGCGGAGGUCUUCUUUACGCUCCCAUGUAGCUUCCUCCUCGGUAUGGUGGCUCCACUGAACUUUGCAAAACUUGAUGACUCCGCUGCGAGUAACUCAGCUAGAAAACUUGAGAAUCUUAACGAGUUUCUCUUCAUAGGUCAGAUCACUAUCCAACUGAAUCGCUUCCAGUGGCACUGUAUCUCUCAGAGGAAUGUCAGCCAUCUCUACAUGGCACUUCUUCAACUGGGAAACGUGAAACACAUCAUGAACUCCUGACAAACCUUCGGGUAAUUCCAACUUGUAGGAAACUUCUCCCAUACGUUCCAAAACUCUGCAUGGUCCCCCAAAUCGUGGUGCUAGCUUUCCCUUGACUCCAAAUCGUUCAACUCCUCGAAGUGGGGACACACAAAGAUAAGCUCUAUCUCCGACUUCAUAGGCUACCUCCUUGCGUUUCGUAUCUACAUAACUCUUCUGCCUGGACUGGGCUAUCUUGAGUCUAUCACGAAUCAACUUAACCUUCUCCUUAGAAUCUCUGAUUAAAUCUGGUCCGAACAACUGUCAAUCUCCAACUUCAUCCCACGACAAUGGUGUCCUGCACCUCCUUCCGUACAAAGCUUCGAAAGGGGCCAUCUUCAGACUGGCUUGAUAACUGGUGUUAUAGGAGAACUCUGCAUAGGGUAAAUUACCAUCCCAAUUAGAUCCAUAAUCUAGCGCACAAGCUCUCAACAUGUCCUCCAAAAUCUGAUUGGCUCUCUAGGUUUGUCCAUCUGUCUGCGGAUGAAAGGUUGUACUGAACUCUAGCCUGGUACCCAAAGUUUCGUGCAACUGAUUCCAAAACUUUGAAGAAAACUGUGUUCGUCUAUCUGAUAUGAUGGUCCUCAGAACUCCGUGCAGACAUACGAUCCUGGUCAUGUAUAUCUUCACCAACUUAGCACUCGUAUAAGUUGUUUUCACGGGGAUGAAAUGGGCUACCUUGGUUAAGCGAUCGACUACAACCUAGAUAGAGUCAUAGCCUGAACGGGUUCUAGGUAAUCCGGUGAUGAAAUCCAUGCCAAGUUUAUCCCACUUCCAUUCGGGUAUCGACAAAGGCUGAAGUAACCCUGCUGGUUUCUGAUGCUCUGCCUUAACUCUCCUUCAAGUCCAAAUACAUCUUGGUGUUGCCUGGGUGAAUCGAAUAAGGCGAAUCAUGGGCCUCCUUAAGAAUUAACUUCCUGAUCUCAGGGUCAUUAGGCACAUAGAUACAAUCCUCAAACCAUAAAGUUUCGUGCUUAUCCUCACGAAAACCUUUCGCCUUUCCUUUACUCAUCGUUUCCUUUAUCUCUGCAAUCUCCUUGUCCGUCUUCUGGGCUUCUCGGGCCUUUCGCAGCAAAGUUGACUGAAUUUCCAAUGCAGCAACAUAACCUCUCGGAACUAUCUCCAAGCAAAGUUCUCGAAUAUCAUCGGCUAACUCCCAAGGUAAUCCUCCGGUUAUGAGCGUGUUAACAUAACUCUUGCGGCUCAAAGCAUCUGCUACGACAUUGGCCUUUCCUGGAUGAAAAUGCAAUCUCAUGUCAUAAUCCUAUAUGAGCUCCAACCAUCUCCUCUGCCUAAGGUUCAACUCCUUCUGUGUGAAUAUGUACUUCAAACUCUUAUGAUCCGUGUAAACAUCAUAACGGUUACCAAUGAGAAAGUGUCUCCAUUUCUUGAGGGCAUGCACUACGGCUGCUAACUUCAAAUCAUGCGUAGCAUAAUUCAACCCAUGAGGUCGAAGCUGUCGUGAGGCAUAUGAAACAACUCUUCUGUCCUGCAUAAGAACGCCUCCAAGUCCUUGAAGAGAAGCGUCGCAAUAUCUUGGAAAUCCUUGCGUAUGUCUAGGAGAAUCAGCACUGGGGGUGUAACCAAACAUUUCUUCAACUCCUAGAAACUGGCCUCACAAUCCUCAGUCCAUUUAAACUUGGUGUCUUUCUUCAGUAACUCUGCCAUGGGCUUCGCAAUCUUGGAAAAAUUCUCAAUAAAUCUUCGAUAAUAACCUGCAAGUCCAAGAAAACUUCUAAUCUCUCCAACUGUGGUGGGUGCCAACCACUCAGUGACAGAUGCAACCUUGGUAGGGUCUACUGCUAUCCUUUCUCCUAAUAUAACAUGUCUGAGAAAUCCAACUUCCUUCAACCAAAACUCACAUUUGCUGAACUUGGAAUACAACUGAUGUUCCCUGAGCUUCUCAAGAACCAAGCGCAAAUGUUCCUUGUGUUCUUCUUCAUGCUUCGAGUAGACCAAUAUAUCGUCAAUGAACACCACAAUGAACUUGUCCAAGAACUCCAUGAACACUUUGUUCACCAUACUCAUAAAAUAGGCAGGGGCAUUAAUCAAACCAAAUUACAUAAUCGUAUACUCAUAUAGCCCAUACCUUGUGGUAAAAGUUGUCUUAGGUAUAUCCUGCUCUCGGAUCUUCAGCUGGUGAUAACCUGAUCGAAGAUCAAUUUUAGAGAAAACUUUAGCUCCCUGCAGCUGGUCAAACAAAUAAUUGAUCAUUGAUAGAGGGUAUUUGUUCUUGAUCAUCUCCUCAUUCAGCGCAUGAUAAUCAACAACCAUCCUCAAAGAUCCAUCCUUCUUCUUGACUAGAAGCACUAGGGCUCCCCAAGGUGAUGAGCUUGGUCGAAUAUAACCUUUCUCCAAUAACUCCUUAAUCUGCUUCUUAAUUUCCACUAGACGAUUUGCGGGCAUCCAAUACGGUCUCUUUGAUAUUGGUCCGGUGCCUGGCAAUAACUCGAUCAGAAACUCUAUGUCUCGGUCUGGUGGCAUGCCUGGUAACUCCUCUGGAAAUACGUCGGGAAAAUCCUUCACCACUGGUACUUCCUCCUGAACAACUCCAGAAAGGGAAUUCACUUGAGUUCUCCUUGACGCAUGCCUAGACACAUACUUGAUCCUUUUUCCUUCUGGGGUGGUGAGAAGAAUCGAUUUACUGGCACAAUCAAUGUUUCCCUCAAACUUGGAUAAUCAAUCCAUACCUAGGAUCACAUCCCAUCCUUGUGACUCCAGGAUAAUAAGGUCGGUGGGGAAAACAUGUCUACCUAUGGUUAUUGGCAACUGAUAACAUCCCCGACUAGCCAUAUACUCUGCUCCUAGGGAACUCACUAACAUAGGUGACUUAAGGGCUACAGUUGGCAAUUUAAACUUGUCCACAAAACCCCUUGAUAUGAAUGAAAGAGAUGCACCAGUGUAAAAAAGAACAAGGGCUGUAAAUGCAUUAAACAAAAACUUACCGACACCUGCGUCGAGCUGCUCCUCAAUCUCCUCCACAUUGACAUGGUUCACCUGACCUCUGGUGAAAGGGUUGGGCUUCUUUCUAGAACUUCCAUUGCCAUUUCCAUACUUUGCUUCAGAACAUUCAGUGGCGUAGUGUCCGAUCUUCCCGCACUUGAAACAAGUAAUGUGACUCAGAUCCUUCUUGGCGGGUGUCGCGGGGUUGGAACGGCCCUGACUAUUGCUUCCUCCAUUCCCAUUACCAUUCUUAGGGCCACUAUGGUUGUGUGAACUUCCUCCGUUGUGCGAAUGUCCUCCAUGGUUAGGUCCUCCAUGGUUAUGAUGAGUGUGUCCUCCCGAGUACAGGGAAUAGCGAGGCUUCUGCUGAGCUCCAGAAUUGUACUUCCCCUGUCCAUACUUCCUCUUGCGGUUGUCUAUCUACUGCUGCUUGCCUUCUAUCAUGAGGGCCUUGUCUACCAGCUCCUGGUAGUUGUUGAAGGUUGCCACCAUCAAUUGCAUACUCAUCUCAUCAUUGAGUCCCUCAAGAAAUUUCUCCUACUUCGCGGCAUCUGUGGCCACAUCAUCUGGGGCAUAUCGUGCUAACUUGCUGAACUCAUCCACAUACUGUCCCAAUGUACAACUCCCCUGGCGUAAGUUGCGGAACUCACGCUUCUUCAAACUCAUGGCUCCAGCUGAAACAUGUGCGGUGCGAAAGGCCUGCUGAAACUGAUCCCAUGUAACAGUAGCAAUGGGGUAAGUGGUGGUGAAAUUCUCCCACCAAGAGGCUACGGGUCCAUCAAGCUGAUGUACGGCAAACCGCACUCUCUCCGCACAUGUGCAUCCAGCAAUGGUCAGCUCCCUCGCAAUCUUGCGGAGCCAAUCAUCUGCAACAAUCAGCUCGGUGCUGCUAGAAAACACUGGUGGAUUCAACCUCAGAAAAUGGGCUAGGUUGUCAACAGGGGGUGGUGGCGGUGGGUUGUUGUUGUUGUUGCCUUGGUUCUGGAUCAUCAUCUACAUCAAGGCAUUCUGCUGUUGGAUCAACUGGGUGAUCUCCGGCGGGAAAGUGAAUCCGGGGUCACGUCUCGGAGGCAUCUGAUGGGUUAGAGGGGGUGAGAAAACAGAAUAGAGUAAGGUCUAUGAGAGAUUGCACUACCCAUAUACAUAUGCGGCAAAUACAUUCAAUUCACACCACUCAAUAUCAAACAAGAUUCACACAAAUGAUCUAAACUAGUAUUACAAAUCGGUCAAUUCUAACUACUUGGAAGAAUACUACUUAGUAACAUGGUGGUCGUCUAGAAGUUUUGAUCGGUGGAAGACUCCAUAAUAUCAGCUCCAGCUUCGUCUUCAUAAUCAUCAUCACUGUCAUCAUCUGCAUUACUGUCUGUGUUGGUGUCAUCCAAUAUGAUGUAGUCCUCCGAACGAAUAUCCACUUCAGGUUCUUGCUUUGGUUUGAUACGUCCAUUUUGCAUCAUGCUUUUAUAUCGAUAUUUAUUGCAUUAUGGGCUGUUAUUACACAUUAUGUCACAAUACUUCUGCCAAUUCUCCCUUAUUUUACAAGGUUUACAUGAAGAGGGAGAAUGCCGACAGCUGGGAUUCUAGGCUGGAAAAGGAGAAAAUAUUAGAGACCUAUUUUGCACAACUCCAAAAGUCCUGAAACUCCACGAAAUUUAUUUUUGGAAUUAAUAAAAAAUACUGGGCGAAGAGAGUACCAAAGGGGGCCCACACCCUGUCCACAAGGGUGGGGGCGCUCCCUACCCCCUCGGCGCGCCCACUGCCUCGUGGGCCCCCUAUUAGGCCUUUGGUGACCAUCUUCUACUAUAUGAAGUCUUUUACCCUGGAAAAAAUCAUAAGCAAGCUUUCGGGAAGAAACACUGCCGCCACGAGGCAGAACCUUGGCGGAACCAAUCUAGGGCUCCGACGGAGCUGUUCUGCCGGGGAAACAUCCCUCCGAGAGGGGGAAAUCAUCACCAUCAUCAUCACCUUCAAUCCUUUCAUAAGGAGGGGGUCAAUCUCCAUCAACAUCUUCACCAGCACCAUCUCCUCUCAAACCCUAGUUCAUCUCUUGUAUCCAAUCUUUGUCCCAAAACCUUAGAUUGGUACCUGUGGGUCACUAGUAGUGUUGAUUACUCCUUGUAGUUGAUGCUAGUUGGUUUAUUCGGUGGAAGAUCAUAUGUUCAGAUCCUAUAUGCAUAUUAAUACCCCUCUAAUUAUGAACAUGAAUAUGAUUUGUGAGUAGCUACGUUUGUUCCUGAGGACAUGGGAGAAGUCUUGCUAUAAGUAGUCAUGUGAAUUUGGUAUUCGUUCGAUAUUUUGAUGAGCUGUAUGUUGUCUCUCGUCUAGUGGUGCUAUGUGAACAUCGACUACAUGACACUUCACCAUGUUUGGUCCUAGAGGAAGGCAUUGGGAAGUAAUAAGUAGAUGAUGGGUUGCUAGAGUGACAGAAGCUUAAACCCUAGUUUAUGCGUUGCUUCGUAAGGGGUUGAUUUGGAUCCAUAUGUUUCAUGCUAUGGUUAGGUUUACCUUAAUACUUCUUUUGUAGUUGCGGAUGCUUGCAAUAGGGGUUAAUAAUAAGUGGGAUGCUUGUCCAAGAAAGGGCAGUACCCAAGCACCGGUCCACCCACAUAUCAAAUUAUCAAAGUAACGAACGCGAAUCACAUGAGCGUGAUGAAAUCUAGCUUGACGAUAAUUCCCAUGUGUCCUCGGGAGCGCUUUACUCCAUAUAAGAACUUGUCCAGACUUGUCCUCUGCUACAAAAAGGAUUGGGCCACCUUGCUGCACUUUAUUUACUUUUGUUACUUGUUACCCGUUACAAAUUACCUUACCACAAAACUAUCUGUUAUCGAUAAUUUCAGUGCUUGCAGAGAAUACCUUACUGAAAACCGCUUGUCAUUUCCUUCUGCUCCUCGUUGGGUUCGACACUCUUACUUACCGAAAGUACUACGAUAGAUCCCCUACACUUGUGGGUCAUCAUUUCACCAUGGGUAUUCCUAGCUUCUCCUUCAGAUCUUCAUGCUUCUCUAGUAGCACAACAAUUUCUUCUUCAUAUCCAUCGCGUGUUGACUUGAGUUCCUCUUCUAGCUCGAUAUUCGUCUUCAUCACCUUCUUGGUCUUCUUCAUGAUAGUGCACAUCUAGUUCUCAUAUAGACGAAUGUGCUGAUCCAUCUCAUGAAUGUACGCUACAAUUGAUCCAUCCUUCCUGGUACGAAUCAUCUCCCAUUGCUCGUCUCGGCGUCCACAUAUCUGAUAGACGGUGUCUUCAAGCUCCUUGUGGUACACCUCACAAAUGCGUCCAAAAGUGAUGUGGGCUGCCAUGCUCUUUCCCAAGCUCCAAGUUGGUGCAUCCAAGGUGACCUCAAUGGGCUCCGUUGUUGGUGCAAACGUCCUCCCAGGUACAUGAACUUUGAUCCUCCAGCGCUCUUCUUCUGGUAAAGUUGCAGUGAAGAUUCCAGUGAAGCUUGGUAGUUCAAUGUUAAGGUACUUCGUGACUUCCUUCAAGUGUCGUCCGAAAGGGGUGUCAUCAUCUGGCUGAGUGAACUUGUUCCUGGGGUCCGUCAUCUAUAGAGUAGAAAUGGAGGAGGAUUAGAAAUGAGUAGAGAAGAGUAUCUUGUGGCUUUACCUAGUGGUCACGUCCUACAGUCAGCGUGUGCUCUGAUACCAUCUUGUAGUGACCACGAUCCCAACAUAUCAAAGUCUCUAUGCUUAAGUGUCAUCCCUGGAUCGGUAUGCUGACACACAUAGUACUCGAGGAAUUAUAACAAAGUUCAAUCACACACAUAUUACAUCAAGGUCCUCAUAAAGAGUAUUUACAUGAGUCCAGCAACUCCAACGGCAUAGCUGAGUGCAUGACAACGACCUAUCGCACCUUAUUCUUCGUCGGUAAAGUAUGCAACAUGAGACGUUGCAGCCGUGUAGGUCAGCACAUGGAAUAUGCUGGCAGAGAUACACUUUAGAGCAAUUGAAUGCCAGAAACUAUAUCUACAUGCAUAUUUGGCUCGUGGAGGCUCUAAGUUUAAUGUUUUGCAUAAAGCUAAUUUUUUUUCCUACAACAAAGGAAUAAAUUUUAUUUACUACAAAGUUUAUACCAAUGAUUGAGAAGGUUCCUCCAACUCAAAUCCAAAAAUUAACCAAGUAUCAUCAUUAAACCCAAUUCAUUAAUUAAAGAGUGAUGAGAUCAACAUAAUAUCCACUUCUAGAUACUCAAAUUGUCCAUAACCAGUGAAAGCACAUUUGCUCCCUGGGUGGUUUUGGUAAUUAAUGACAACAUACUUUGUGGUUGGACUAAUGCUUUUAUCAAGUAUGUUUCAGGAAGUUCAAUCACUCUGGCAUGGCAAAAGGACUGGAAAGGUGGACACCUAAGAUGCUAAGACAAGCAUUGGCAAAAGCUCAAGACUCUUUUUUUUGGUUUAGUGAUCCAAGAUCACAUUGAGUCUAUAGGAAAGCCAAUACUAUUAAAAGGGGAUGAGGUUAUGAUAAUGAUCUGGUUGCUCAAAGUGCUUAGUGAUCUAUCUCCCAAACCAUCAGCAAUCUUUCAUUCCAACAUACACUCAUAAGUAAUCUCGGUCCCACCGAUUCCAUAAACUCAGUCACACCGAGAUGAACCACCUCAGCCACAAAGCCAAACCCUAGUAAUUUCGGUUUUUCCGAUUCCAAACUCAGUCUCACCGAAACUAGUGUUGCCAACCUUCUGUAACCUUCUGUCAUCAAAUCGGUGUCACCGAGAUGAUAAAGUCGGUCCCACCGAGAUUGGAAAACCCUAGUCUUUGGAAGAAUCGGACUCACCGAGAUUGUAUUUUCGGUCCCACCGAAAAUCCCAACGUUCACAAGAUUUGAACUUUCGGUCUCACCGAGUUGUCAACUUCGGUCUGACCGAGAUUGGUCAAAUGUGUGUAACGGUUGGAUUUUGUGUGGAGGCUAUAAAUACCCCUCCACCUCCUCUUCAUUCGUGGAGAGAGCCAUCAGAAAGAACUACCACUCCUACCUUACAUUUCUGAGAAGAAAACUACCUACCCUUGUGUUGAGAUCAAGUUGCUCCACUCCCACCAUAUGAAACUUGAUUUCUAGCCUUCCCAAGUUGCUUUCCACUCAAUCCUUUCUUCCACCACAGCCAAAUCAGUGAGGAGAGUUGAGUGUUGGGGAGAUUAUCAUUUGAAGCACAAGAGCAAGGAGUUCAUCAUCACCAACACCAUCUAUUACCUUUUGGAGGGUGGUGCCUCCUAGAUUGGUUAGGUGUCGCUUGGGAGCCUCCGUCAAGAUGUGGAGUUGAACCAAGAAGUUUGUAAGGGCAAGGAGAUCGCCUACUUCGUGAAGAUCUACCCCGAGUAAGGCUAGUCCUCCGUGGGCGUAUGCCAUGAUGGCAUAGACAAGGUUGCUUCUUCGUGGACCCUUCGUGGGUGGAGCCCUCCGUGGACUCUCGCAGCCGUUACCCUCCGUGGGUUGAAGUCUCCAUCAACGUGGAUUGACGAUAGCACCACCUAUCGGAACCACGAGAAAAAUCUCCGUGUCUCCAAAUUGCGUUUGAUCUUCUCCACCUCUCUUUACUUCAUGUGCAAUUUACUUUCCGCUGCCCAUACUCUAGAAUUGCAUGUGUAGUAUGCUACUUGACUUGUGCAAUAUGCUAAAUCUGCCAAGAACUUGUCUUUGUAAAAGGCAUAAUUUUUAUCUUGUCGAGUAGUCUAAUCACCCCCCCUCUAGACACUCUUACCUUCAACGAUCCUACAAUUGGUAUCAGAGCAUUGAUUUCCAUUGCUUUGGUUUGCACACCAUUGGAGGAAGAUGGACGUGUCUACGUUUGGGAGUGUUAGCCAUAGAGUGCCUACUCUUGAUGGAGUGUCCUAUAGCUCGUGGAGGAUUGAAAUGCUUGCUAUCUUUAAGAUGUACAACUUGCGCAAAUAUGUUGAAACCCCAUAUGUACCUCCAUUUGACCCCUUGCACCCUACUAUGGAUGAAGAGCUUGAUUUGCUUCGUAACCUUAGAACUGUAAAUCUUAUCAUUAGAGGUUUACCCGAUAACUUACUUGAGCUUGUCACAAACUUUGAGUGCGCCUAUGCCAUAUGGAAGUUCUUGGAAGAACUUUGUCCUGACUACUCUUUGAGAGGUCUUGAUGAAUUUCUAUACAAGACUAUUGAAUUUGAUAUGAUGCGCCCCAAUGAUCCCAACUUUGAUAAAUGCUUCUUUGAGCUUCGUGAUCUUAUGAAAAAGAAGGGUGAUCCCGGACUUAUCAAUGUUCUAAUUAGAAAUGCUCUUGUAUUGCAUUCCGAUGAUUAUUGUCACUUUGACAAAACUAAUGCAAGUCAUUGUCAAAUUGACCUAGGUGUUGAUGAUGAACUAUCUAUGGGUCAAUAUGAUGAUGAGCAUGAGCAUGAUGACAAUUACUCCGAUUCGGACACCGAGCUAGACAAGAUCAUGAAGAGUCUCAAUCUUAUGGCAAAUCUGAGAGACUACAUAUCCGGUGGAAAAGAGUGGAUUCUUGAUAGUGGAUGCACCGAUCACAUGACCGGAGACGAAGACAUGUUUCGAGAGCUUGCAAAGAACGAUGGUCCACGCAAGUAUGUGACUUUUGGAGACAACUCCAAGGGUAAGGUACUUGGCCUUGGUAAGGUGGCCAUAUCUCAUGAUAGCUCCAUUCAAAAUGUCAUGCUUGUUGAAUCACUUGGAUACAAUCUACUUUCCGUGUCUAGAUUAGCUGACUUUGGAUUCAAUGUGCUAUUCACCGAAAUAGAUUUCCAAGUUUUUCGUCGUGACAAUCAUAACAUGGUAUUUACCGGUAUCCGUAGAGGUGAUCUAUAUAUCGUUGAUUUCACUAAGAAAGCUCAACCUAGAACUUGCUUCAUUGCUAAAUCCGCUAAAGGUUGGCUUUGGCAUAGAAGGCUUGGACAUGUUGGUAUGCGUAAUCUAGAUAAGCUAAUUAAAGGUGAUCAUAUUCUUGGUGUUAAAGAUGUUUUCUUUGACAAAGAUAGACUCUGUAGUGCUUGUCAAGCAGGAAAACAAGUAGGUGGAAGUCAUCCCGUGAAGAACAUCAUGACCACAAGGAGACCGCUUGAGCUUCUUCAUAUGGAUCUCUUCGGUCCCAAUGCUUACAAAAGCCUUGGUGGUAACUCCUUUGGUCUAGUAAUAGUUGAUGAUUAUUCCAGAUUUACGUGGGUAUUUUUCCUUGAUGAAAAAUUGCAGGUUCAGAGAAUCUUCAAAACCUUUGCCAGAAAGGCCCAAAAUCAAUUCGAGGUGAAGAUCAAGAAAGUUCGGAGUGACAAUGGAACGGAGUUCAAGAAUGCCCAUGUGGACUCUUUUCUCGAUGAGGAAGGAAUUCUACAUGAGUUCUCGGCAACGUACACACCUCAACAAAAUGGAGUUGUUGAGAGGAAGAACCGAACGCUCAUAGAGAUGGCGAGAACGAUGCUUGACGAAUACAAGACACCGAAACACUUUUGGGGAGAAGCCGUCGAGACAGCUUGUCAUGCUAUCAACAGGCUUUAUCUUCAUAAGCUCCUCGGCAAGACUUCAUACGAGCUCCUCACCGGUAACAAACCCCAAGUGGGAUACUUUCGUGUCUUUGGUUCAAAAUGCUAUAUCCUUGAUAAGCAUCGUCGGUCUAAGUUUGCUCCUAAAACUCAUGAAGGCUUUUUCCUCGGUUAUGGAUCAAACUCCCACACCUACCGUGUCUACAAUAAUUUCACCCGAAAGGUUGAAGAGACGGUAGAUGUGAAGUUUGAUGAAUCUAAUGGCUCGCAAGUAGAGCAAAUGCCUAUUGAUGUAGGAGACAAGGACCCAUCGGAAGCCAUUCAAGAUCUAUCCAUUGGAAAGAUUCGUCCCAUGGAAGUGAAGGAGAGUACCUCAUCUACAUAUGUGGAGCCCCCUACCUCACGGAGAGAUGAACCUCAAGGCAACAUGGAGGCUUCCACAAGUGGAACUCACCAAGAUGAGGAAGUGCAACAAGAAGAUCCACCACAACCUCCUUCCCCACCACCUCAAGACAACACCAACAACAAUGAAGAAGAAGAGGAAGAUGAGGAUGAUGAGGAAACUCAGCCGCGACCACAACAAAAGCUAUCUCGAGUUCGAGCAAGAAUCAAGAAGAAUCAUCCCGUGGAACAAAUGAUGAAUGACAUCGACUCCGGGAGAAUUACUCGCUCUAAAACUCGUUUAGCUAACUUUUGUGAGCAUUACUCAUUCAUUUCUAGUCUUGAACCUAUGAAGGUAGAAGAAGCGCUUGAAGACCCGGAUUGGGUGAACGCUAUGCAUGAAGAGCUACACAACUUCGAGAGGAACAACGUCUGGACUUUGGUAGAGAAGCCCAAUGAUGAUCAAGACGUCAUUGGAACCAAAUGGGUGUUUCGGAACAAGCAAGAUGAGGAUGGACAAGUCAUCCGCAACAAGGCUCGUCUCGUAGCUCAAGGUUACACACAAGUCGAAGGUAUGGACUAUGGUGAGACCUAUGCCCCCGUUGCUAGACUUGAGUCCAUUCGCAUUCUUCUUGCUUAUGCCAACCACCAUGAUAUUACUCUCUAUCAAAUGGACAUUAAAAGUGCUUUCCUAAAUGGUGAAAUUGAGGAGGAAGUAUUUGUGAAACAACCUCCCGGAUUUGUGAAUCCUAAAAAGCCUAAUCAUGUUUACAAGUUGCACAAAGCUCUUUAUGGUCUUAAACAAGCCCCUAGAGCUUGGUACAAAUGCUUAACUAGCUUUCUUCUUGAGAAAGGAUUUGAGAUUGGUAAAAUAGACUCAACGCUUUUCACGAAAAGGGUUGAUAGUGAACUGUUUGUGUGCCAAAUAUAUGUUGAUGAUAUUAUCUUUGGUUCAACUUACCCUCAUUUUAGCGAGAAGUUUGGAAAGCUCAUGUCCGAGAAGUAUGAGAUGUCCAUGAUGAGUGAACUCAAAUUCUUCCUUGGGUUGCAAAUCAAGCAAUCUAAGGAGGGUACCUUUGUCUCACAAACAAAGUACACCAAGGAUCUCUUCAAGAAGUUCAACAUGCAAGAAAGCAAAGGUAUGAGAACCCCCAUGCCUACUAGUGGACAUAAUGACUUGACAAAAGAUGGAGAACCUGUUGAUCAAAAGGUUUAUCGAUCCAUGAUUGGUUCUCUACUAUAUCUCUGUGCUUCUCGUCCUGACAUAAUGUUGAGUGUUUGCAUGUGUGCUCGAUAUCAAGCAGCCCCUAAAGAAUGUCAUCUUAAAGCCGUUAAAAGAAUUGUGAGAUAUUUGAUACACACACCUAACUUUGGCAUUUGGUAUCCUAAGAGGGCCUCUUUCGAUCUUGUUGGCUAUUCCGACUCGGACUAUGCCGGAGACAGGGUUGAUAGAAAGUCAACUUCGGGUACGUGUCAAUUUCUUGGUCGAUCCCUUGUGUCUUGGUCCUCCAAGAAACAAAAUUCAGUAUCACUAUCUACUGCUGAAGCAGAAUAUAUUGCUGCUGGUUCAUGUUGUGCUCAGUUGCUAUGGAUGACACAAACGCUUAAGGAUUAUGGGAUACAUGCGAGACAUGCUCCUUUGCUUUGUGACAAUGAGAGUGCGAUUAAGAUUGGACACAAUCCUGUGCAACACUCUCGCACGAAACACAUUGAAGUUCGUCACCAUUUUAUUCGUGAUCACAUUGCCAAGGGUGACAUCGAUCUUAAGCAUGUUCGUACUGACAAACAGCUUGCAGAUAUCUUUACAAAACCACUUGAUGAGAAAGUGUUUUGUCGCUUAAGGAGUGAGUUGAACAUCAUUGAUGCUUCAAACUUGGAGUGAAAACUCCAUUGAUGCAUGCAAGGCAUGAGCUUACAUGACUAAUCCUUGAUAUUUCUCUUAUGAUGAUGAUCAUAUGUCUUGGACACAUUUGCCCCCUUGUAUUGCAUCUAACUCCUUGCAGGUACUUGGAUGGUCUACAUUCCACAAGAUUACCACACACUCAAAUCUUGAGUAAUCUUGUCAUUGACCAAGUAUCUAGCCCUUUGGGAUGUUGAGUACAAGGAACAAAAUUCCACAUAUCCUUUUUGACACUGUGUACAUCUAGUAUUUCACUCUUGUCAUCUUGGAUACUCUUGAGUAUUUCCUUGCUUGCCUAACCCAUGUAGGAAGAUGAACUACACAAGUUGAAAUGGUGCUCCAACUUCACAUUCAAUGAGCACCUACAUCAAGUUCACCUACAUGAACAAAGCAACAACAAGCCCAAGGUAUGUUCUUCACAUCUUGAAGGAGCUUUGCUCAAAGUCAUGAGUACAAGCAGCUUCAUAAGAUGUGAUCACAUCAAAUGCUUAAUUGAAAAAUGGCAACCCCAUUUUGAGCUUAAACGAUGAGUAUGACCUAUGAUCAAAUGUUCUCAUUUGACUCCUAAGUCAAUAUACUCAAACAUAGGUGACUUUGUCGCCGACCCUUAUCUAGAUGAAGUACAAAUGUUUUGGAGUUUUUCUAUUUUCUCUUAUGUUCUCUCAUUGAGUUUUCUUUUUUAUCAAAAAAAAACUUCAUCUAGCAAUCUUUUUCAUUUCUAUUCUUCUGUCUUUGUGAAUAUCUUUUUGGCUCUGAUCAAUUCCUUGAAAAUCAUUUACAAAUUCAUUACAAAUCUUUUGGAACAUUCCUUGCAAAGUGAGCUGAAUUAUUUCUGUAUUUCCUUGGAAUUAAACUCGGCGUCACCGACCCAAAACUUUCGGUCUGACCGAAAAAGGAUCUGCCCUAAGUCCCAGACUUUCGGACCCACCGAUCCAUCUAAUUCGGUGUCACCGAUUUUUCCUUUAGGAUAGCAUCUUCUGCAGCUCAACUCAAUGAUUCUUUAUGCAUGUUUCUUAUAGCACAGUUGUGAUUCUUAAGGAUCCCACUUCUUUCCUUCCAUCUUUCCUGACCUUCCUAGUUUACUGUCCUUUUCGGCACUUGAUGUCAAAGGGGGAGAAGAUUUAGGGGGAGCUUAGGGGAGAUUGGGAGAUAAGGGGAGAAGAGAAGAUUUAGGAGGAGAAGAAGAGCAAUCUUACCUUAAGGGGGAGAGAAUCACAUCAAAGCUUUGCCGUGUUCCACAUUGGAUAUUACAUUUGGCAUCAUUCUUUUGAUUUUGCUUUCCUCGCUCUCACAAUUGAGAUCUUAUGAAAAGCAAAAUCUCUCAGAGCUCAUUGAAAAAUCUUUCAGUCUUGGGAGACAUGUUUGCUGAUUCAAGCUUGUGCUCAAUAUGAGACACUCUUUACACAUGUCAUCCCUGGCUUGGUACUCUUGAUGUUCUUGCAGUUGGAUGAAGAAAUACUCUUGUGUUAUCUAACCUUGUUUUCCCAAGUUUAUUUCUUCAGGUACAAUGCCAAGGAACUUCAAGGUAAGUAUAUGCAUCUUGCAUAAUGUACAUGAUGGUGACUUGCUUGUGAAUAUCUGUUGCAAGAAAUCACCAUGUACAUAUGCAUUAUCACUCACUUCUUUUCAGCUGCUCUGAUGCAUAUAGCCAAGCUGCAUGUAGCACAUCUUGCUGUUCUCUCUUGUGUGCUUGUGGUAGUCCAAAACCAUAAUCAAUGAAAAUCUUGCACACUUGUAGGGGGAGUCUGUAUACUACAUGUUUGUCAAAGCUUUAAUGAUAAUUCUGUCUUUCUUUCAGUAAGCUUUGAUGUCUUGUUUUGUGUGUUGCCAUCAAUUACCAAAAAGGGGGAGAUUGAAAGCACAUUUGCUCCCUGGGUGGUUUUGGUAAUUAAUGACAACAUACUUUGUGGUUGGACUAAUGCUUUUAUCAAGUAUGUUUCAGGAAGUUCAGUCACUCUGGCAUGGCAAAAGGACUGGAAAGGUGGACCCCUAAGAUGCUAAGACAAGCAUUGGCAAAAGCUCAAGACUCUUUUUUUUUGGUUUAGUGAUCCAAGAUCACAUUGAGUCUAUAGGAAAGCCAAUACUAUUAAAAGGGGAUGAGGUUAUUGUAACGACCAAAUCUCGAAGGAUUUGAGUCUCUGUGCUUACCGUGCUAGUCCCUGGAUCGAACUCGCUAGCACACACAGUAUAGAUGAAUACCAGAAUAGCAAGUGCAUCAUUUAUUACAACGUAUGAUCCAGAAUGUAUAAAAUAAAACAAUCUGCAUAGCACUUGGCUAGCUUUAUUCAAUCAAACAGCGGAAAGUAGCAGAAAAUAACGAUGAGUCCCAUCAUAGCCCACUGGCGAUGCUGAGUGCAGACUCGCGACCCUAACGGUACCUUACUCUUCGUCUGAAUAUCCUGCAACAUGAGACGUUGCAGCCAUAUAGGUCAAUACUUUGAAUGUAUUGGCAAGUUACACAGGAGUAAUAAUAUAGCAGACCUACAUGUAUAUGCAUAGUACAACAAAGGAAGGCUUGAGGGUUUAUUUUUGCAUAAAGCUGAUUUUAUCCUAAUAACUACCUAAUAGUCAAAUUUUUAUUUAGUUCUUUUAUUACUACAAUUAAAUACACAAGGUUGAGUUGGCAAAAUCAACUCCAACCUACCCUUUAUUAAGUUGCCCACAAUUAUUAUUAAGUGUCACAUCUGUCAAGAUCAUCCAACAACUGUAAUGGCAUAGUGGCUCAAAUUUACCCAUAACCGGGGGCACGGCUAAUCAUGAUUAGUUUUAAUACUCUGCAGAGUUUUGUACGCUUUACCCACUGGACCCAAUCCGAAGAUUGAGACGAAGUCUUUCAGAAGAGGUUCCCUUAACCACCUGACGGUCACAUCCCACCUACAUAUACUACAUCUGUCGACACAGUCUGGGCAAGGGUUCCAACAACUGAUCAACUAAGCCAGAGCCCAUAUAGCCAGUGGCCGCACAUGGAAGCUACUAGUCACUAAGUCUGUCUGAUCUUUUUGAACCUGGGCGGCAUUCCACUUACAUUCAGAGGGUAAAAACCAUGAUGUUCUUGAAACCACCCUUCAACACCAAUUCCGCCCAGAGGUGAAUUAAGUCCUCAAUUACUACUCAAUUUGAUUAUAUUUAUAAUCCUCACAUAAUCUCAAUGUAUACACGAACCACCCCCGUCUACAAAGCAUAGCAAACUACAACUACCACGAUUUGCAAAAGACGGGAAGAUAGCUCAACAUCAUAUAGCAAAAUAAUAUAGUAUUCCUAUACAUGCAUAAAUUCAUAGUGUGAUAUAACUACAUGCAUAGAAAACAAUAGGUAAAGGAUGAUCAACAUGUAACUUGCCUUGGUUCUGGUUCAGAAAGUCACACUCCUGACAAUAGUUCGCGUCGCACUCCGGACAAUCUACACGUUUCACACAAUUCAACAAAUCAAUCACCGAAACACGAAUAGAACCAAAAUAUAAACCAACAGCAAGAAAAUCAUUUUCAAAAACACAACAACAGAAGCUUAACAGCACCUAAAUUGCACUACGGUCACAACGCAAAAAGAAUCACUCGAAUCCGAUAAACGGUUUAAGAGUUAUGGCCUCCGGAAGAUUUAAUUCAAAUUUAAACGAAUUCAAAUUUAAACAGUGCAAACAUGUGCAAAGUCGGUACUGUGAUAAUCUGCUGAUUUUCCUGAGUGCACAGGAAAAAGAAUUACCUAAAUUGGCUAUAUAGAAUAAAAGAUAUAGCUAGUUGAAGUUAGAGUUGAAAUCUGAAAAUAAAACAAAAGAAAACAGAAAUCCCCUGCGUUACUGUAGCAACUCCUGUGCGUGUCCUGUAGCGAAGUGCCAUGUGGCAGCACCGGAUUGGUCAGCGGCUGCUGUGCGCGUGUGCUCACCAGAAGCAGAGGAAAACGGCGGCGGCUUCGGGCGUCGGCGGCGGUGGCUCUCCGGCGAGUCUCCGGCGAAGGUGAAGCGACGGAUGGGUGCGGCGGUGAGUGGCGGAGGUGGUGGUGGUGUUCAACGGCGGCGGGGCGUCCUCUGCGGGCGGUAGCGACGAGGUGAACCACGGUGGUGCCCCGGCGAAGUUGGGCGUCGGCGGCGGCAUCGUUCUGGUGAUCUGCAGGUCACCCCGAUUGGUAAAACGAGUGCGGCGUCGAGAGGGGGUUCGAACGGUGACAAGCGGAGCGGCCGGGCGUCCUUACAGCGGUGGAUUCGGACGGUCAACAACGGCGGCCUCGGAGCUCCUCCGGCGAGAUCCAGACGGCGCAGCGGCUUCGAGCAGACGAGAAAAGAAAGGGGAGGGCGUGCGCUAGGGUUCCCGAUGGCCUUUUGCUCGAGCGGGGAGUCCCAGGGGUGCACGGGGUCGGACCAGGCAUCGGAUCGAUCCGGAUCGGCCUCGGCGUGCGCGCGGCGGCGCGUCCGGCUCGGUGAAGGGGAUGAACAGGGCGCGGGACCCGCUGUCAGCGGCUGGGGCGAGGUGGAUCGGGCGCGGGCGAGCGAUGCGGGUCAGGUGCGGGCGUACCGCUUCGCUAGGUUUAGCGGGCUGCGGGCGGUGGGGUUUGGUGGGCCGCAGCGGUGUGGUGCGGCGCUGCUGGGCCGUGCAGUGCGCUGCGGCGCUGCGCUGCGUUUUCCUUUUUUUUAAACAAAAACUACAGCAGCAAGACUAAAAAUAAAUAAAAUAAAAUACACAAUAUAAAUUCUAAAUAAAAAUACCUAGACACACAGUAAAAAUAGCUCUACAGCUAUAAACUACGGGAACACUAGUUCCAACUCUAAUGCAAUUUUGUAAAAUAUUUUUGAUGCAAUAGGCCACUCAAACAGCAAUAAAACAAACAAAUAAAAUAUUUUGAAGAUCACAAGAAUUACCAGAACAUAUCAAAUGAACUGGAAAUAAUAUUCUGCACAUUAUGAACAUUUUUAAAAUAGGGGAGAAGUCAUGUUAUCUCCACUCCAAAUAAAUUGCCUUUUGUUGCAUAAUGAUUUGAAUAUUACCGAAAAGCAAAUAAUGCAUGGAAAAUAUGAUAUGCAUAUGUAUGAUCUAAUAACAUCCUAAUUUAUGAAAAUUGGGAUGUUACAAACCUACCCCCCUUAAGAUGAAUCUCGCCCUCGAGAUUCGGGCUGGCUAGCAAAUAGGUGUGGGUGAUCCUGCUUGAGAUCUUCCUCUCGUUCCCAGGUAGCUUCCUCCUCGGUGUGAUGAUCCCACUGAACCUUGCACAACUUGAUUGUCUUGGUGCGAGUAACUCUCUCUGCUGUCUCCAGAAUCUUAACAGGUUUCUCCUCAUAUGUCAAAUCACUCUCCAACUGAAUUGCCUCAAGUGGCACUGUGUCCCUCAAUGGAACAUCCAUCAUCUCUGCAUGACACUUCUUCAACUGAGAUACAUGAAACACAUCGUGAACUCCUGACAAGGAUUCUGGCAACUCCAACUGAUAAGCUACCUCUCCUCUACGCUCCAAGAUCGUGUAAGGCCCCACAAAACGUGGUGCUAACUUACCCUUGAUUCCAAACCUCUUAAUUCCACGAAGUGGUGAAACUCUAAGAUAUGCACGGUCUCCUACCUCAUAUGUCACCUCCUUAUGUUUCGCAUCUGCAUGACUCUUCUGUCUGGACUGUGCUAUCUUCAGCCUGUCACGAAUCAACUUGACCUUCUCCUCAGCAUCUCUAAUCAAGUCUGGCCCAAAGAACUGACGCUCUCCAACCUCAUCCCACAUCAACGGUGUCCGGCACUUUCUGCCAUACAAUACCUCAAAUGGUGCCAUCUUCAGACUAGCCUGAUAACUGUUAUUAUAUGAGAACUCUGCAUAAGGUAAAUUAUCAUCCCAACUGGACCCAUAGUCCAAAGCACAAGCUCUCAACAUAUCCUCCAAAAUCUGAUUUACCCUCUCUGUCUGCCCAUCUGUCUGUGGAUGGAAAGCUGUACUGAACUCCAGCCUGGUGCCCAAGGAUUCAUGCAACUGGCGCCAAAACUUAGAUGUGAACUGAGUACCUCUAUCAGACACUACCUUCCUCGGAACUCCAUGCAGACAAACAAUUUUAUACAUAUAAAUCUUUGCUAGCUGAGCACUGGUAUAAGUAGUCUUUACCGGGAUGAAGUGAGCAACUUUAGUCAAACGAUCAACAACUACCCAAAUAGAAUCAUAACCUGAUCGAGUCCUGGGUAGACCUGUAAUGAAAUCCAUACCAAUCUCAUCCCACUUCCAAUCAGGUAUAGGCAAUGGCUGUAACAAACCUGCUGGUCGUUGAUGUUCUGCUUUAACCCUCUGGCACACAUCACAUGUUGCAAUAUAUCCAGCAAUUUCCCUCUUCAGGCUAGGCCACCAAAAUCUUUCCCUCAAAUCCAAAUACAUCUUAGUAUUACCUGGGUGAAUAGAAUAAGGUGAAUCAUGGGCCUCCUGAAGAAUCAACUUCCUGAUGUCUGCAUCCUGAGGUACACAAAUACGCUUCUCAAACCAUAUGGCCCCAUGUUCAUCCUCAUGGAAACCUUCUGCUUUACCUUUAACCAUGUUCUCUUUUAUCUCAGCAAUCUCCUUAUCACCCUUUUGAGCUUCUCUAAUCCUAUCAAGCAAAGUAGGCUUUACCUCAAGUGUUGCCAAAUAUCCCUUAGGAACCAUCUCCAACCUGAGAUUCCUGAAUUGUUCACAUAACUCGGGUGGCAUAUUAUCAAUAUUAAUUGCAUUAGCAUGCCUCCUACGACUCAAUGCAUCAGCAACAACAUUAGCCUUACCAGAAUGAUACUGCACAUUCAAAUCAUAAUCCUUGAUAAGCUCCAACCAUCUCCUCUGCCUGAGGUUCAAAUCUUUCUGAGUAAAGAUAUACUUCAAGCUCUUAUGAUCAGUAAAUAUAUCACAACGAUUACCAAUAAGGUAUGGCCUCCAAGUUUUCAAUGCAUGCACAACUGAGGCUAACUCCAAAUCAUGUGUAGGAUAAUUAUGCUCAUAAUUCUUAAGCUGACGUGAAGCAUAUGAAACAACUUUACCUUCCUGCAUCAAAACACUCCCAAGUCCUUGACGAGAAGCAUCACAAUAUACCUGGAAGUCCUUAUGUAUAUCCGGCAGUGUUAAGACUGGUGCUGUAACCAAACGCUGCUUCAAUUCCUGAAAGCUGGCUUCACAUUCAUCAGUCCAAACAAACUUCUUCUCCUUCUUCAACAAUUCAGUCAUAGGCUUUGCAAUCUUGGAAAAAUUCUCAAUAAACCUCCUGUAAUAACCUGCAAGGCCCAAAAAGCUGCGAAUCUCCCCAACUGUCGUGGGUGUCUCCCACUCUGUAACUGCAGCAACCUUAGAUGGAUCAACUGCAACUCCCUUACUUGACACAACAUGUCCAAGGAAAGCUACCUCAUCCAGCCAAAACUCACAUUUGCUGAACUUGGCAUACAACUGAUGUUCCCUCAAUUUCACCAAUACCAAACGUAGAUGCACCUCAUGCUCUUGCUUUUUCUUGGAGAACACCAAUAUAUCAUCAAUGAAAACAACCACAAAUUUAUCCAAGAACUCCAUAAACACCUUGUUCAUCAUAUUCAUGAAGUAUGCAGGAGCGUUAGUCAAUCCAAAUGACAUAACAGUAUAUUCAUACAACCCAUACCUCGUGGUGAAAGCAGUCUUGGGAAUAUCUUGCUCACGAAUCUUUAAUUGAUGAUAACCAGAACGAAGAUCUAUCUUAGAAAACACAGUAGCUCCCUCCAACUGGUCAAAUAGAUCAUUUAUCAUAGGCAAAGGAUACUUAUUCUUAAUGGUAACCUCAUUCAGAGAACGAUAAUCAACACACAUCCUCAAGGUUCCAUCCUUCUUCUCCACAAACAAAACUGGAGCUCCCCAAGGUGAUGAACUUGGGCGAAUAAAUCCUUGUGCCUGCAAUUCUCUUAUCUGCUUCUUCAAUUCCUCCAACUCUUGAGGAGGCAUUCUAUAUGGUCUCUUUGCAAUAGGUCCAGUGCCUGGUAUUAAAUCAAUAAGAAACUCAAUAUCCCUAUCUGGUGGCAUACCUGGCAACUCCUCUGGAAACACAUCUGGAUAAUCCCUCACAACUGGCACCUCUUCCAGGCUACCCCCCUUAAGAGAGUUCACCUGCACCUGAUUAUGCUUAUACUUACACACAUAUUUGAUCCUCUUCCCUCCUGGUGCACUGAGAGUAAUAGAUCGACUGGCACAAUCAAUACGACAUUUAUAUAACUGCAACCAAUCCAUACCCAAAAUAAUAUCCAGACCUUGUGACUUCAAUAUAAUCAAAUCUGUAGGAAACUCAUGCUUCCCAAUAGACAAAGUCAACUGAUGACAACCAACACCUGCUAUCAUCUCAGCUCCUGGGGAACUCACUCUAAUAGGCAUACUAAGGGUUUUGGUUGGUAAUCCAUGUUUAUCAACAAAUACCCUCGAAAUGAAUGAAUGCGAUGCACCAGUAUCAAAAAGAACAACUGCAGGUACUGAAUUAAUCAAGAACUUACCAAUCACUGCAUCAGGUUCAUUGUAAACCUCCUCCACAUAAACAUGAUUUACAUGACCCUUUUGGAAGGGGUUUGGCUUGCUGGAUCCUGAGUUCUUCGCACCUGGGCAAUCUGUGGCAUAGUGCCCCAUAGCCUUACACCUGAAGCACUGCACCUGACUCAAAUCCCUUGGCGCACGUGUAACCUGGUGGUUCUGGUUAUUGUUCCCUCCAUUGCCAUUACCAUUACCAUUACCAUUACCAUUACCUCUGCCAUUGCCAUUGUUACUCUUGUGCCCAUUAUGAUGAUGGUGGCCAUUAUGGUCGUGGCCAUUCCCUCCAUGAUGAUUAUGAUCAUUACCUCCAUGAUGAUUAUGAUGCCCAUUACCUCCAUGAUGAUUAUGUCCAUUACCUCCAUUACCAUGAUAUGAAGUGCGUGGCUUCUGCUGUGGUCCUGAAUUAUACCUGUUACUAUUGUUGUACUUCCUCUUGCGAUUCUCUAUGGCCUGUUGCUUUCCCUCUAGAACGAUAGCCUUAUCAAUCAGCUCCUGGCAAUUAUUAAAAGUGGCCACUGUCAACUGAAGGCUCAACUCAUCAUUUAGGCCCUCCAAGAAUUUCUCCUGCCUAGCUGCAUCAGUGUUAACAUCAUUAGGAGCAUAACGUGCAAGAUUAUUAAAUUCAUCCACAUAAGCAUUAACUGUGCGACCACCCUGGCGCAAACUGCGAAACUCCUUCUUUUUCAGACUCAUAGCACCAGCAGACACAUGUGCAGCACGGAAAGCUGUCUGAAACUGCACCCAAGUGACAGUAGCAAUGGGAUAAGUGACCAAAAAGUUGUCCCACCAAGCUGCGGCAGGACCCUCCAACAAAUGUGAGGCAAACCUCACCCUCUCUGCAUCUGUGCAUCCAACCGUAUCCAGGUUCUUAUUGACUGCACGGAGCCAAUCAUCAGCCACAAUAGGUUCAGGGGAACUGGAGAACCUCUGAGGAUUCAACCUCAAGAACCUGGUAAGCAUAUCCACAGGUGGCGGUGGUGGCGGAUUGUUGUUGUUAUUGUUGUUGUUUCCCAUGUUCUGAGCAAGCAACUGGAUCAACUGAGCCUGUCCCUGAAGCAACUGCUGCAUGUAUGGCGGUAUAUCAUUGCCAUUGUUGUCUCCUCCUGCAGCAGUGCGUCUAGUAUCACGCCUCGGCGGCAUCUGGUGGGCAAGCAUAGAUGAGUUAUAGAUAUAAUAGGGCCAAAAGCUAUGUAUAUAUAAAUAUAUUCUACCCAAAUGCAUAAUAUGAUCAAGCCAACAAAACACAACAAUGAAUAACACCAACAACAAACAACAAACAACAAACAACAAACAAUAUUAUAUAUAUACGUAUAUAGUCGAAUAAUUUCGACAAGAUAUAAAUUAACAAACAAACUACCAAUCAAGCAAACAAUCUAGUAUCGUCAUACCACAAAAGUGGGUAUAAUCAGAUACGCUAACAUGAUAACGCUGCAAUAUAAAAAAAACCUGAAUGGUGGUCUCAGCACUAGUUCCUACUUAACUGGUCAAGAUACUUGAGGGGCUUAACUAAUAAAUAGUAAGAAGUAUAACUAGUUGAUAAAUAAUUUUCACUCCUAUGGCUUUUCUAAUCCAUUUUCUAGGGUCACGUCCUACAGUCAACACACUGCUCUGAUGCCAUCUGUAACGACCAAAUCUCGAAGGAUUUGAGUCUCUGUGCUUACCGUGCUAGUCCCUGGAUCGAACUCGCUAGCACACACAGUAUAGAUGAAUACCAGAAUAGCAAGUGCAUCAUUUAUUACAACGUAUGAUCCAGAAUGUAUAAAAUAAAACAAUCUGCAUAGCACUUGGCUAGCUUUAUUCAAUCAAACAGCGGAAAGUAGCAGAAAAUAACGAUGAGUCCCAUCAUAGCCCACUGGCGAUGCUGAGUGCAGACUCGCGACCCUAACGGUACCUUACUCUUCGUCUGAAUAUCCUGCAACAUGAGACGUUGCAGCCAUAUAGGUCAAUACUUUGAAUGUAUUGGCAAGUUACACAGGAGUAAUAAUAUAGCAGACCUACAUGUAUAUGCAUAGUACAACAAAGGAAGGCUUGAGGGUUUAUUUUUGCAUAAAGCUGAUUUUAUCCUAAUAACUACCUAAUAGUCAAAUUUUUAUUUAGUUCUUUUAUUACUACAAUUAAAUACACAAGGUUGAGUUGGCAAAAUCAACUCCAACCUACCCUUUAUUAAGUUGCCCACAAUUAUUAUUAAGUGUCACAUCUGUCAAGAUCAUCCAACAACUGUAAUGGCAUAGUGGCUCAAAUUUACCCAUAACCGGGGGCACGGCUAAUCAUGAUUAGUUUUAAUACUCUGCAGAGUUUUGUACGCUUUACCCACUGGACCCAAUCCGAAGAUUGAGACGAAGUCUUUCAGAAGAGGUUCCCUUAACCACCUGACGGUCACAUCCCACCUACAUAUACUACAUCUGUCGACACAGUCUGGGCAAGGGUUCCAACAACUGAUCAACUAAGCCAGAGCCCAUAUAGCCAGUGGCCGCACAUGGAAGCUACUAGUCACUAAGUCUGUCUGAUCUUUUUGAACCUGGGCGGCAUUCCACUUACAUUCAGAGGGUAAAAACCAUGAUGUUCUUGAAACCACCCUUCAAUACCAAUUCCGCCCAGAGGUGAAUUAAGUCCUCAAUUACUACUCAAUUUGAUUAUAUUUAUAAUCCUCACAUAAUCUCAAUGUAUACACGAACCACCCCCGUCUACAAAGCAUAACAAACUACAACUACCACGAUUUGCAAAAGACGGGAAGAUAGCUCAACAUCAUAUAGCAAAAUAAUAUAGUAUUCCUAUACAUGCAUAAAUUCAUAGUGUGAUAUAACUACAUGCAUAGAAAACAAUAGGUAAAGGAUGAUCAACAUGUAACUUGCCUUGGUUCUGGUUCAGAAAGUCACACUCCUGACAAUAGUUCGCGUCGCACUCCGGACAAUCUACACGUUUCACACAAUUCAACAAAUCAAUCACCGAAACACGAAUAGAACCAAAAUAUAAACCAACAGCAAGAAAAUCAUUUUCAAAAACACAACAACAGAAGCUUAACAGCACCUAAAUUGCACUACGGUCACAACGCAAAAAGAAUCACUCGAAUCCGAUAAACGGUUUAAGAGUUAUGGCCUCCGGAAGAUUUAAUUCAAAUUCAAACGAAUUCAAAUUUAAACAGUGCAAACAUGUGCAAAGUCGGUACUGUGAUAAUCUGCUGAUUUUCCUGAGUGCACAGGAUAAAGAAUUACCUAAAUUGGCUAUAUAGAAUAAAAGAUAUAGCUAGUUGAAGUUAGAGUUGAAAUCUGAAAAUAAAACAAAAGAAAACAGAAAUCCCCUGCGUUACUGUAGCAACUCCUGUGCGUGUCCUGUAGCGAAGUGCCACGUGGCAGCACCGGAUUGGUCAGCGGCUGCUGUGCGCGUGUGCUCACCAGAAGCAGAGGAAAACGGCGGCGGCUUCGGGCGUCGGCGGCGGUGGCUCUCCGGCGAGUCUCCGGCGAAGGUGAAGCGACGGAUGGGUGCGGCGGUGAGUGGCGGAGGUGGUGGUGGUGUUCAACGGCGGCGGGGCGUCCUCUGCGGGCGGUAGCGACGAGGUGAACCACGGUGGUGCCCCGGCGAAGUUGGGCGUCGGCGGCGGCAUCGUUCUGGUGAUCUGCAGGUCACCCCGAUUGGUAAAACGAGUGCGGCGUCGAGAGGGGGUUCGAACGGUGACAAGCGGAGCGGCCGGGCGUCCUUACAGCGGUGGAUUCGGACGGUCAACAACGGCGGCCUCGGAGCUCCUCCGGCGAGAUCCAGACGGCGCAGCGGCUUCGAGCAGACGAGAAAAGAAAGGGGAGGGCGUGCGCUAGGGUUCCCGAUGGCCUUUUGCUCGAGCGGGGAGUCCCAGGGGUGCACGGGGUCGGACCAGGCGUCGGAUCGAUCCGGAUCGGCCUCGGCGUGCGCGCGGCGGCGCGUCCGGCUCGGUGAAGGGGAUGAACAGGGCGCGGGACCCGCUGUCAGCGGCUGGGGCGAGGUGGAUCGGGCGCGGGCGAGCGAUGCGGGUCAGGUGCGGGCGUACCGCUUCGCUAGGUUUAGCGGGCUGCGGGCGGUGGGGUUUGGUGGGCCGCAGCGGUGUGGUGCGGCGCUGCUGGCCCGUGCAGUGCGCUGCGGCGCUGCGCUGCGUUUUCCUUUUUUUUAAACAAAAACUACAGCAGCAAGACUAAAAAUAAAUAAAAUAAAAUACACAAUAUAAAUUCUAAAUAAAAAUACCUAGACACACAGUAAAAAUAGCUCUACAGCUAUAAACUACGGGAACACUAGUUCCAACUCUAAUGCAAUUUUGUAAAAUAUUUUUGAUGCAAUAGGCCACUCAAACAGCAAUAAAACAAACAAAUAAAAUAUUUUGAAGAUCACAAGAAUUACCAGAACAUAUCAAAUGAACUGGAAAUAAUAUUCUGCACAUUAUGAACAUUUUUAAAAUAGGGGAGAAGUCAUGUUAUCUCCACUCCAAAUAAAUUGCCUUUUGUUGCAUAAUGAUUUGAAUAUUACCGAAAAGCAAAUAAUGCAUGGAAAAUAUGAUAUGCAUAUGUAUGAUCUAAUAACAUCCUAAUUUAUGAAAAUUGGGAUGUUACAGUUAUGAUAAUGAUCUGGUUGCUCAAAGUGCUUAGUGAUCUAUCUCCCAAACCAUCAGCAAUCUUUCAUUCCAACAUACACUCAUAAGUAAUCUCGGUCCCACCGAUUCCAUAAACUCAGUCACACCGAGAUGAACCACCUCUGCCACAAAGCCAAACCCUAGUAAUUUCGGUUUUUCCGAUUCCAAACUCGGUCUCACCGAAACUAGUGUUGCCAACCUUCUGUAACCUUCUGUCAUCAAAUCGGUGUCACCGAGAUGAUAAAGUCGGUCCCACUGAGAUUGGAAAACCCUAGUCUUUGGAAGAAUCGGACUCACCGAGAUUGUAUUUUUGGUCCCACCGAAAAUCCCAACGUUCACAAGAUUUGAACUUUCGGUCUCACCGAGUUGUCAACUUCGGUCUGACCGAGAUUGGUCAAAUGUGUGUAACGGUUGGAUUUUGUGUGGAGGCUAUAAAUACCCCUCCACCUCCUCUUCAUUCGUGGAGAGAGCCAUCAGAAAGAACUACCACUCCUACCUUACAUUUCUGAGAAGAAAACUACCUACCCUUGUGUUGAGAUCAAGUUGCUCCACUCCCACCAUAUGAAACUUGAUUUCUAGCCUUCCCAAGUUGCUUUCCACUCAAUCCUUUCUUCCACCAUAGCCAAAUCAGUGAGGAGAGUUGAGUGUUGGGGAGAUUAUCAUUUGAAGCACAAGAGCAAGGAGUUCAUCAUCACCAACACCAUCUAUUACCUUUUGGAGGGUGGUGCCUCCUAGAUUGGUUAGGUGUCGCUUGGGAGCCUCCGUCAAGAUGUGGAGUUGAACCAAGAAGUUUGUAAGGGCAAGGAGAUCGCCUACUUCGUGAAGAUCUACCCCGAGUAAGGCUAGUCCUCCGUGGGCGUAUGCCAUGAUGGCAUAGAUAAGGUUGCUUCUUUGUGGACCCUUCGUGGGUGGAGCCCUCCGUGGACUCUCGCAGCCGUUACCCUCCGUGGGUUGAAGUCUCCAUCAACGUGGAUUGACGAUAGCACCACCUAUCGGAACCACGAGAAAAAUCUCCGUGUCUCCAAAUUGCGUUUGAUCUUCUCCACCUCUCUUUACUUCAUGUGCAAUUUACUUUCCGCUGCCCAUACUCUAGAAUUGCAUGUGUAGUAUGCUACUUGACUUGUGUGAUAUGCUAAAUCUGCCAAGAACUUGUCUUUGUAAAAAGGCAUAAUUUUUAUCUUGUCGAGUAGUCUAAUCACCCCCCCUCUAGACACUCUUACCUUCAACGAUCCUACAA
This 107952-nucleotide long non-coding RNA is filed under the name Triticum aestivum (bread wheat). Its description in RNAcentral is "long non-coding RNA (TAES_LNC016415)". The record is from RNAcentral. Lineage: Eukaryota; Viridiplantae; Streptophyta; Magnoliopsida; Poales; Poaceae.